RNAcentral lists this long non-coding RNA (93454 nucleotides) under Citrus maxima (pomelo). RNAcentral describes it as "long non-coding RNA (CMAX_LNC003850)". The stretch from base 9003 to 9106 matches the Rfam family "Plant small nucleolar RNA R71". Lineage: Eukaryota; Viridiplantae; Streptophyta; Magnoliopsida; Sapindales; Rutaceae. The record is from RNAcentral.
ACCGUACAUGUGAAUAGUGCCAUUUUUCCUUUUAUGCCCCUCCUAAGGUUUUCGACCGUCCUGAGUUCAAAAGUGAUGUCCGUUUUGCCGUCUGAUCUCUCCUUUAUUGUGAAAUGACUAUAAUGCCCCUAAAAUACAUAAAAUACUUAAUUAAAAUAACACACACGUAAUUACAUCACAAGAAGGUUAAAUACAUAAAAGUAAGGGUUGUUAGUAAGACUUGAAAUGUAAAAUGACGGUUUUCUCCUUUAUAAAUAUGCAUUUUCUAACACUCAACACACCCCCCAACCAGCUUAUUGCUAGUCCCUAGCAAAUAAAGCGAAAACAAAAUUCAAAUUCAAAUUUUUUUUUUUAGAAACACUCGUGUUUAUUCAAUCAGAUUAAUGAUAGCAAUCGAAUAAAAGUAUAAGCAUUAUCUCCAGUCUAAAGCAACAUCACACCCACAUCAACCAUCCACAUGAAUUAGCCCAGUAGACUUGGUUAUAGCUACUUUCAAGAAUGACAUAUCAAACCCCAAAAUCUCACUGGAAGUAAUGACACUCUCACAAAGAAAUUAAAACCCAAUAAACAUAGUCACUCCAAUGAAUGGUAAUUGAGAGAGAAAAUAAUAAAGAAAUGAUAUCACAUGCUCUCACCAAGAUGAAAUAAAUAUGCCCUCAGCUUAGAAAUAAUACGAUCUCAAGUCAAAUAAAAUGUUAGUCAACCCACUUUAUUUAUCUUUUUUUUUUUUAUUAUGCAUUACUACAUCUUUUUAGCCCAUAUAACUAGCUUCUACUUCAAACUAUAGUUCCCUAAAAUCAAGAAGGACUUUUAUUAGGACGUAACGUAGGCUAGGGAUAUGGCUAACAAAGAAAGGAAAUAAGGAAAACAAAGUAUAUGUUUGAGAAAAAUGCAGAAUUUUUUUUUUUUUUUUUAAAGUUGCAAGGUGGAUUUCACCUAUUAUUGUUAUUUUUAUUCUUUUGAAACAACAACUUUUGUUUUUUGUUUUUUUUUCUUUUUGCGUUUAUUUGGCAUAACUUCAAUGAACAACAUAAUUAUUUACAUUUUCUCAAACAUAAAUAGGUGAUGGAACUUAAAAGACAUUGGGUAAUACUCCAAAUCGGAGUGGGUCAAGAUGAUAAGUUGACAAAGAAAAUGUUUUUUUUUUUUUUUUUUUUUUUAAAGGCUCAAAAUGGGUAACUAUGGAUAUUUAAUAACAAGGAUGGCUAGAAAGGCUCAAACGGAUCAAAGAUGGCCUUUCCAUCGUUUUUUAGGGCUCUAAAUAAUUAUCCAUAUCUACUAGUUAGAUGGGCCUCCCAAUGUAGCAACACACAUUUUUUUCUUUUUUCUUUUUUUUCUUUUUUUAAUUAUUACCAUUUUUUUUAUAGGGUUAACUCAAAAGAAAUCUAGAGAUCGUGUAUAAAAUAAUAAACUGCUAAGCUGUAUAGAAAAUGGGCAAAAGGGUUACUCUCCAAGAAAAUGAUAGGCUCAACAUCUCACUUGGCACUUAUUUAUGACAUGUUCAUUCCUUCAAGCAACUCAUAUUUGUCUCCGACAUCAACAUGUAAAGUAGCAAACAUAGCGUAACAUCACUUAAGACCAAAGAUAAUACAAAUACUAAAAUUUGAAAUUAAUCAUGUCAUCCAAUGUUAAAACAAAUAACACAAAAUUUUUUUUUUUUUUUUAAACAACAUUCUACCCCCCAACCUAUUCUAAACAUGAAAGGAAAAUAUGCAUGCAGAAAUGUGAAAAUGAUGUAGAAAAAUUAAUUAGAAAAAGAAUUGUUUUUUUUUUUUUUUUAACUAAGAAGAUGCGUUUCUAGAGGCACUACACUCCAUAUUCAGCCAUCUUCGACUCAAAAAUUUGAAACUACAUAUUUAUAAAGGAGAAAGAGGAAGAAAACGAGUUUUUUUUUUUUUUUUUUUUAAAAACGAUGAAGAUGCGUUUCUAGAGUAACUACACUCCAUAUUCAGCCAUCUUCAACAUAAAACGUUAGCAACAGUUAGUUUCUACAACAAAAAAUCAGUAAAAACUUAACCAAGAUUCCACAAUUGUCGACUAUUCCCUCCCCCCAACCAGAACGAAACAUUGUCCUCAAUGUUUUAAAGGAAAGAAGUAGAGUUUAGAAGACAUCACCUGGGUGGUGCAACACAGAAGAAAAUAUUUACAGGCGGAGAGUUAAAUCUAAUUUGUACUUCUUAUUGCGGCUACUGUUACCAUCAUUAUUUGGUCGCUCCAACACAAAGGUCCAGGGGUCUGGCUCCGGUUUAUAAGCUUGUAACAUAUCAAGUAGCUCAUUAGCAGUGUGAGCACAAAGAAAGAGUUUUUUCACAUUAGAAGGAAUGAAAUAGUUUUUUAUUGCAUGGUUAAGAAAUGCGAUAAAGCUAUCAUAAAAGUUAUUGACAUUUAACAAACCGAUGGGUUUCUGGUGAAUGUGUAGAUGGGCCCAAGAUGCUGGUGUCAUAAGUGCCUCUAGUGUUGCAAGAUCUCCUGGAAGGAAAAUAAAAGCAUCAGCAUGAUUAAGCAUUUCAGUUAUUCUUUCUUGCAUACCUGAGACGACUAACUCUUCUCCAGUUGAUGAGUCAGACGAACUGCCCAAUGGUUUUAGGACUCUUGGGAUGAUGCCUAACACUUGACUUCCUCUGAUAAAAGCUGCUUCUGAGACCAUUUUUGAUAACCCUCGGUUAUCUCCUCCAUACACCAAGUGUAAUUUUCUCGCUGCUAUGCUUCGACCAAGAUCUAUGGCUGCCUCCACGAACUCUUUAUGUUUGCCAUAGGUAAAUCCAGAAAGCACACAAAUGUUCUUGAAUUGUCUAUUGGGAGUAGCUGUCAUUGUGAUACUUCUCAAAAACAAUUUGUGAGUGCUUGACAAAAGAUAAAUCACAUUUAAGAGUCUUGGUGACAGUGGGUCACAGCUGUGUAUGAGGUAGCAUGUCAGUGUCAAAUAACGCGUAAAGCACGUGGCUCGCGAGUCAAAAAGGAAACAGUAAAAAAAAAAGAAAAAGCAAACAGUAACAAAAUUAUUAAAGACAAUAAUAAAACAACAGUGAAAUGAAAUAAAAUAACAGUAAAGUAAAAGGAUAUUUACACGUAGUUGCGACUGUGGCUCACAUCUUCCUCUGGUUUUACGUCCAGAAACGGCUUGAACGCCCUCUAUGGGUCGAGGAUAGGCUUCCUAUCCAGUUUUCUUAUAAACUGGCAAACAGGGUCGUUUAUAGUCAGAUUCCCGAGACUAUAUCGUGCAUGCUCUUUCUGGAAUAAUGGCCAUAACUGGAGAAUCGCUCCUUGCACAUAUCCACUAGGAUGCGUUUCAAGAGACAAAAGGAUAUCAUCCAAUGACUCCUUAUUCAAGCCAUCCCUAAUGAAUUGAAUCUUAUCUUCCCUGUUAUCAGACACCAUUCCUAAAGAACAUGGGUUUCUAUCGCAACUCAUUCUGGCACACUUAUGACAAGCAACAGAAAUUCUUCGAGCUCGUUGUUUUCUUGCAUAAUUUCCUUUACCACAACCAGGCAUGAAUGCAAUAAAUUUUGGAGGUAUCUCACCUGCCGAUCGUACUUUAGCCUCGAUUAACCAACGGAUGUCAGCAGGUAUGUUAUUCUUCAUGAGUAAUCGCAUGCGUUCGGACCGAGCUUUAUAGAUCGUAAGGAGGGCAUUCUGAGGAAGUGAAGGGAAUCGCUUGUGAAGCUUCGCUAGAAUCUCGUUUCUGUCCAUACUUUCGCCUCAGAAUGUUAGUUAUUAUGGGAAACUGAAGUAACCGACUUGAUUGUCACGGAGUACCGUUAUCCGCCACUUCACCGCGGUAACAAACUAAAGCACACAAACAGAAAAAUAAAUUAAAACACACAAAGAAAAUUAAAAUCGUCCUCUUAUUGAAUUUACCUCAAGCUCCAACUGGAUGUCGUAAACACUUCUCUCAAUGUCUCUGAGUUGGCGUUCUAAACCCUCAACAUAGGCUACUAACUCUGGUGGUUGUAGAGCCCAAAUGCGUUGUGUUUUACAAAAUUGAAUCUGCUUUUUGAGAUGAGUUUUGACACGUUGAAGUGGUUUAAGAAUGUUCAGGAGGAACGGUCUAAGUAUGGUACUCAUGAUUAACAAUGAUAAGAAAAAAAGAAAACUUAAUGGUAAAACAAACACACUUAUGCAAAAAUAAUUUCAAUUAGCAAAAGACUAAUAAAAAGAAAGAAAGAAAAAUCAAAUCAACAAAAAGAAAAAAUCAAUUCAAAUCUGGUGGGUCACUCAAAUUUAUUUCGGUGUCUUCUCCAUGUGGUUGGUACUCAAGAUAUGGCUUUAAUCUUUGACCAUUAACUUUAAACGUGACACCGUUCUUUGGGUCUUUAAUUUCAAUUGCCCCAUGUGGAAAAACAGUAUGAACAAUAAAGGGACCAGACCAUCGAGAGCGUAACUUACCUGGGAAUAGGUGCAAGCGAGAAUUGAAUAAAAGCACUUUCUGACCUGGAGUGAACGAUUUUCUCAUAAUGUGCUUGUCAUGAAAGAUUUUCAUUCGUUGCUUGUAAAUCUUGGCAUUUUCGUAUGCAUCAUUGCGAAUUUCUUCAAGUUCUGCCAGUUGUAAUCUUCUUUCUGAGCUGGCUUGCUGCAUGUCAAAGUUGAAUUUCUUGAUGGCCCAAUAUGCACGAUGCUCGAGUUCCACAGGUAGGUGGCAAGCUUUUCCAUACACUAGCCUGUAGGGUGACAUCCCAAUCGGGGUCUUGAAAGCCGUUCUAUAUGCCCAUAAUGCAUCAUCAAGUCUUAAUGACCAAUCUUUUCUGUCUGGCCUCACCGUUUUUUCUAAUAUGUGCUUGAUUUCUCGAUUGGAGAUCUCAACUUGGCCACUGGUUUGCGGAUGAUAUGGGGUCGCCACUUUGUGUGUGAUUGAAUACUUUGUCAAAAGAGCCUUGAAUGCUUUGUUACAAAAGUGGGCACCACCAUCACUGAUUAUCGCUCGAGGGAAUCCAAAGCGUGAAACAAUGUUGCUUUUCAAAAAUCCUAUCACCACUUUGUGAUCAUUGGUUCUGCAUGGAAUUGCUUCCACCCAUUUCGAUACGUAGUCAACAGCAACCAAUAUGUAUUGAUGACCAAAAGAUGGAGGAAAGGGUCCCAUGAAGUCGAUACCCCAUACGUCAAAAAUCUCAACCACUAAAAUUGGAUUUAGUGGCAUCAUGUUCCUUCGUGUAAUGCUCCCCAUUUGUUGACACCUAUCACAUGAAGAACAGAAAGUGUAAGCAUCUCGAAAUAUAGUUGGCCAAUAAAAACCACAUUGUAAAACUUUAGUCGCGGUUUUCUUAGCACUGAAGUGGCCUCCACAAGCUUGUGCAUGGCAGAAUGAAAGAAUAUUCUGAAUUUCAUUUUCAGGGACACAUCGUCUAACAAUUUGGUCUGCACAAUACUUGAACAAAUAUGGGUCAUCCCAAAAGAAAUUCUUUAUUUCCGCAAAGAAUUUAGCAUUGUCUUGCUUGGUCCAAUGCUCUGGAAGUUUACCUGUAACAAGAUAAUUAACUAUAUCAGCAUACCAAGGUAAUACUUCCACAUUCAUUAAUUGUUCAUCUGGAAAUGACUCAUUUAAUAUUAAUGGCUCUGUAAUUGUGUCAAAAUGGAGACGAGAGAGGUGGUCCGCCACAACAUUUUCUGUGCCUUUCUUAUCCUUGAAUUCCAAGUCAAAUUCCUGCAAAAGUAACACCCAACGAAUUAGUCUAGCUUUUGCAUCUUUCUUUGUGAGAAGAUAUUUAAGAGCAGCAUGAUCUGUGAAUAUAAUUAUUUUACAACCAAUGAGAUAAGAUCGAAAUUUCUCUAAUGCAAACACUACUGCUAGCAUUUCUUUUUCAGUAGUUGAAUAGUUCAACUGUGCAUCAUUCAAUGUCAUACUAGCAUAGUAAAUAACAUGAGGAAUUCGAUCAACUCUUUGUCCUAAAACUGCUCCUACUGCAUAAUCAGAUGCAUCACACAUAAGCUCAAAUGGUAAGCUCCAGUUUGGGGCCUGAAUGAUGGGUGAUGAUGUCAACAAUUGCUUUAAUUUUUCAAAAGCCAUAAGACAUGAAUCAUUAAAGAUAAAAGGUACAUCCUUAGCAAGUAAAUUACAUAAGGGUCUAGAAACUUUGCUAAAAUCUUUAAUGAAACGUCUAUAGAAACCAGCAUGCCCAAGGAAAGAUCUUACUUCUCUAACUGUUUUGGGUGGAGGAAGAUUAGAAAUGAGAUCCACCUUGGCUUUGUCAACCUCAAUACCUUUGCUUGAAAUGAUGUGACCGAGAACAAUACCUUGUUUUACCAUAAAAUGGCACUUCUCCCAAUUUAAGACUAAGCUCUUCUCGGUACAUCUCUGCAGAACUAGCGUUAGAUGAUGUAAACAUUGAUCAAACGAGUCACCAAAGACAGAAAAAUCAUCCAUAAAGACUUCAAGGAAUCGUUCAACCAUAUCAGAAAAAAUGCUCAACAUGCAUCGUUGAAAUGUAGCAGGUGCAUUACAUAAUCCAAAUGGCAUUCUCCUAUAUGCAAAUGUGCCAAAAGGGCAAGUGAAAGUGGUCUUCUCUUGAUCUUUUGGUGCUAUGGGAAUCUGAUUAUAUCCUGAGUAGCCAUCUAGAAAGCAAUAAAUUUCAUGGCCUGCUAAUCUAUCAAGCAUUUGAUCAAUAAAUGGUAAAGGAAAAUGGUCUUUACGUGUGACAGAAUUCAACUUUCUAUAAUCAAUGCAUACACGCCAUCCUGUAGUUACUCUAGUUGGUAUCAAUUCAUUAUCAGCAUUGGUAACUACUGUGACUCCUGACUUUUUGGGGACAACUUGUACAGGACUGACCCAUGAACUAUCAGAAAUUGGGUAAAUGAUACCUGCAUCUAAUAGCUUAAGGACUUCAGUUCUAACAACUUCUUUCAUGUUAGGAUUUAACCGACGUUGCAUCUCCCUAGUAGUUUUAGCAUUUUCAUCAAGGUGAAUGUAAUGCAUGCAGUCUACUGGGUUUAUACCUUUUAUGUCUGCUAUGGUCCAUCCUAAUGCCCCUUUGUGCUCUUUUAAAACAUCCAACAACUUACCUUUUUGUUCGUCAUUUAGGGAUGAUGAGAUGAUUACCGGCAGAGUACUUUCUUCUCCCAAAAAUGCAUAUUCCAGAGUGUUGGGUAAUGGUUUGAGCUCGAGUUUCGGUGGUGAUUUUGAUGAUGGAAUGAGUUUCUUCUCUGAUGGUGCUAGUUGUUCAACUCUUGACUUCCAUUUAUUAGUGUCCAUGGAUGGUGCUGAGUCAAGUAGGGCGUUGACCUCUUCGACCGAUCUGUCAAUAUCAAAAUCCAAACCAAAGUGAGUUAAACAUGUUUGUAAAGGAUCAUCACUAAGGUUUGAAAGAAAAGUAUUAUCAACUAUUGUUUCUAUUAAAUCCACAUCAACAAUUCCAUCAUCUGCACUGUGAGGUUGUUUGGCAAUGUUGAAAAUGUUUAGCUCCAUAGUCAUGUUGCCGAAGGACAAUUGCAUAUUUCCGGUCCUACAUUGAAUAUGAGCAUCUGCAGUUGCCAAGAAAGGUCGGCCUAGAAUAAUGGGGAUGUGCUUCCUUGAGUCCUGUAUUGGUUGAGUGUCAAUUACAAUGAAAUCAAUAGGAAAAUAAAACUUGUCUACCUGGAUAAGCACGUCCUCUACAAUACCUCGAGGUAUUUUCGUGGACCGAUCUGCAAGCUGUAACACCACUGGAGUUGGGUGUAAUUCUCCCAGUCCAAGUUUCACGAAUACAGAGUAAGGCAACAAAUUUACACUAGCUCCUAAAUCCAACAAAGCAUUCUCAAUUGUGUGGUUCCCUAUACUACAUGAGAUAGUGGGGGAGCCUGGGUCUUUGCAUUUUAAAGGAAUUUUAUGUUGGAGUAUAGAACUAACGUUUUCUGUUAAAAAUGCCUUCUUUUGAACAUGCAUGUUUCUCUUUUUAGUACAAAGGUCUUUAAGAAACUUGGCAUAAGAUGGAACUUGUUUAAUAGCAUCAAGUAAAGGGAUGUUAACACUUACCUGUUUGAAGAUUUCGAGAAUCUCACUUGUGGAUUUUCCCUUUUUUCCUUUCGCUAACCUAUGAGGAAAUGGAGCUUUGGGAACAUAUUCUCGUGGGUUGGUUUUUUCUUUUUCCUCCGGUGGUGAGUCCUCAGCAUUUACAGGUACAAUUUGAUUUUCUUUUGUCACCGGCAUCUCCACUUUAUUGUCGACUUCUUUUCCUUUUCGCAAGGUCAUGAUUGCUUUGACCUCUCCAUGCUGUUGUGGUGAACUGGUACUUGCUUCAUGUACUCCUUUAGGAUUAGGCAUUGGUUGACUUGGAAAUUUUCCUUUCUCAACAGUCAUUGCCAAGGUCUGAACUGAAGAAGCAAGUUGUCCCACCAUCUUCUCGAGGCUUGAAACUGAUUGGGCUUGUGAGUUAAAGCCCGCUCUCAAUUCAUUUCGUAGUCCAUCAAUGGUGCGGUUCUGUUGCUCAAUCGUGGAGUCAGUAACAUUCUUGAAAUUCUGGAAUGAAUCCUCCCAUGGUCUGGGUUGAGAGUAGUUCUGGUUCUGAUUGAAUGGUCUAAAUGGGGGCUGAGAGGCUUGAGGAUUUUGAGGAAUUUGUUGCAUUGGUGGAGCUGGAGCUGCUGGUCCAUUCUGUUGGAAUCCUUGAGACCAUGAAAAAUUGGGGUGGUCUCUCCAUCCAGGGUUAUAUGUGUUGGAGUAUGGGUUGUAAUUAGAUGGCUUUCUCAUUACACCUAUGGCAUUGGCUUGAUCUGGAUAUGAGUCAGGGUCAUGUGAUUCUGUUGAUUUAGCAGUCGAUAACGAUGCUAUUUGUCGAGCAAGACCUUCAACCAUCUCCUUGACUUCUUUGAUUCCCGAAGUUGACUCGCCAAUGUGAACCUCAUUCACUCCUUUAAUUCUUCUAGUAUUCCUGAGUGAUCGACUCCGUUGUUGGGAAUUAUCCGCUUGUCGCUGGAAGAAUUCCCAAAUCUCUGAUGCACUUUUUGACAUUAGCUCUCCUCCACUUGUUGCCAUUAGCCAUUCUUGCACAUUCGGCAAUAAUCCCUCCAAAAAGUAUUGGCAUUGGUGCCAUUUUUCGUACCCAUGAUGUGGACACUUCAAGAGCAGCCCAUUGAAUCGCUCCCACGUUUCGAAAAAUUGCUCGUCAUCUCUUUGGGUAAACUCUGAAAUUUCCCUGCGAAUAGCAUUUGUUUUAUGCACUGGGAAAUAUUUAUUCAAAAAUUUCGUUACCAUUUGUUCCCAUGAUGAAAUGCUAUUGGCAGGCAAUGUAUUAAGCCAUGAACGAGCUCUAUCCUUUAAAGAAAAUGGGAAUAAUCUGAGUUUAACAUCAUCGUCUGAAAAAUUCUCAUAUUUAAAAGUUUGACAAAUGGCAUGAAAAUCAUUCAGAUGAUUAUAUGAGUCCUCAUUUUCUAAGCCAUAAAAUGUGGGGAGACAAUUUAGCACACUAGGUUUUAAUUCAAAACUCCUAGCAGCUACAUUUGGGUAUCUUAUGCAUGAUGUGCUCAAAUUAGCUAAGGGACUAAAAUAGUCCUUAAAUGGCCUCUCCUGUGGUGCUUGUAAAUCCAUUCCAAAUUUAUUUUUAAUGUGCUUUUGUGUGCGAAGUGUUUUUUCUAAUUCAAGGUCUAUAGGUUCAAGAUUAGGUAAUAAUGACCUACGACCAUGCAUGCAAAACAAAUAAAAUAAAAAUAAAGAUGGGAACAAAACAAAUAAAAAUAAAGAAGAGGGAGAAAUUACGAUACUAACCUUAUUGCGCUAUUACAACCUUUCUAUAAAAAUACACAAAAACAAAUACGUGAAAUAAAUUAACUAAAAAUUAAAUUAAUAAGAUAAAGAAAAAAAAUUAUAAAGAAAAAUAAAUUGAAAAUUAAAUUACAGAAUUUUAAAGAAGAGAAAAAGAAAAGAAAUACUAACCUUUAAAUGUAGAUUAACUUUUUUAUUUCUUUUUUAUUUUUUUUUAAAGAACAAAAAAAAAAAACAAGAAAACAAUUAAAUGAAAUUAUUCACAAAAAUUAAAUCUAUGAAUUAAAAUUACUUACCUCCCCGGCAACGGCGCCAAAAACUUGUUGUGCAAAUUUUAAUGUACUCGCAAGCGCACGAAUCUAUUGUAGUAUAGACUAAUGGUGACGAGUGUCGAUCCCACGAGGAGGUGGAUUUUUAAUUAUAUAUAGAAUUAAUUUUGUAAAUGGGUGGUUGGAAUUGUGGUGGAAGUGAUUUAAAAUAUGCUAAAAUUGGAAUUGUAAUGGCGAGAAUAAAUUGUAGAGAAAAUCGAUUAAAUUGACGUACUUGGGUAUUUGGAUCCGUAUCAACAUGCAUCAUGGGCUAAAUAAUCCGUAUUAAUGCCAAUUAAAUCAUGAGGGGGGAAUCCACACCUCAUGAACCACGCUCUAAUCAAUAUGGUGCUAAGGGCUUAUCGUGCCAAAUAAUAAUAAUCUUAUACUAGAGAGCCUGUGUAACCAAAGCGGUAUCUAGACAAGAUCAGUAUUAUUUGUCGACGAUAAGUCAAAUCAUCCACAAAAACUAGAGGGGAAAAGAAAAUACAUUUACCAAAUAAAGCCCAUGACACAUGUUGAGACUUCACCUUCAACCCAAGCUUGAAAGAAAAUUAGCCACUCAUAAUUGAACUAGGGGCAAAAUGGGAAUUUAUUAAAAUACAAAGAAAAUACAAGAUGGAGAAGGAAUUACAGAAAAUGGAUCCCAAAAAUGGAUUCAGAGAUAUCAAAUUAGGGGGGGGAGGCCCCCUUUUUAUAGAUACAUGGAGUAAAUCAUGGCCAUCGGAUUAAAAACAGUUUGGACGCUCAGGAUUGCGCCACGUCAUCAGUCAACAGUCAACAGUCCACGGUUUGACCACGUGGAUGAACAGUAACACGGUUUGACCCGGAUGAACAGUAACACGAUUUGGUUGAAAAUAAUCCUGUGUGAUGCAUGCACCGUACGCGAGAUUUUUCGUCCACUGAUAUGCUGCCACGUCACCAUCAACAGUACAUAAGAGUUUUAGUCCAACAGGAUCGUGACACCUCAUCAGUCAAUGCCACAUCAUCGGUCAAUGCCACGUCAUCGUCCGUCUAUGUGAACAGUAUCAUGAACAGUAACGUAUACAAUACCGUACACGUGAAUAGUACCGUACAUGUGAAUAGUGCCAUUUUUCCUUUUAUGCCCCUCCUAAGGUUUUCGACCGUCCUGAGUUCAAAAGUGAUGUCCGUUUUGCCGUCUGAUCUCUCCUUUAUUGUGAAAUGACUAUAAUGCCCCUAAAAUACAUAAAAUACUUAAUUAAAAUAACACACACGUAAUUACAUCACAAGAAGGUUAAAUACAUAAAAGUAAGGGUUGUUAGUAAGACUUGAAAUGUAAAAUGACGGUUUUCUCCUUUAUAAAUAUGCAUUUUCUAACACUCAACAAUUACUUAUUUCGGUUAGAGCAAAGAGAGCAAAAAGAUAAUGUAGUGGUUUCAAUUAUUGAAGAAUUUUCUAAUGAAAAGUUACUAGUUCUUUAAAAUUUUGAAUGUAUAAUUUUCUAAUAAAAAGUUACUGGUUCUUUAAACUUUUGAAUGUAGAAUUUUCUAAUGAAAAGUUUCUGGUUCUUUAAACUUUUGAAUGUAGUGGUUUCAAUUAUCGAAGAAUUUUCUAAUGAAAAGUUACUGGUUCUUUAAACUUUUGAUGCACCAUGGUAUGCAAAUUUUGUAAACUAUUUGGUGAGCAUCAUUGUUCCUUUUAAUUUAUCAUAUCAACAGAGGCAAAAAGUCCUCUCAUAUGCCAAAUCUUAUUUUUGGGAAGAUCCAUUCUUAUAUAAGUAUUGUUUAAACCAAAUCAUUCAAUGAUGAGUUCUAGAAGAAGAGAUGAGAUGCAUUCUAUAGCACUGUCACUCCUAUGAGGUUGGUGGACACUUUGGUGUAUCCAGAACUUCAGCAAAGGUGCUUCAAUCAAGUUUUUAUUGGCCCAUCUUAUUUAAAGAUGCUUACAUUUUUGUUGCUACUUGUGACUAAUGUCGAAGAACUGGUAACAUUUCAAGGAAGAAUAAAAUGUCGUUAAAUAAUAUUCUUGUAGUAGAAUUGUUUGAUGUUUAGGGAAUCGACUUCAUGUGUCCAUUUCCAUCUUUCUUCAAGAAUAAAUAUAUUCUAGUGGCUGUUGAUUAUAUUUAUAAGUGGGUCGAAGCUGUUGCUUUGCCUUCAAAUGAUGCGAGGGUCGUUGUGAAUUUUUUAAAGAAAAAUAUUUUCUCACAAUUUGGCACUUCAAAAGCCACUAUAAGUGAUGGUGGGAAAUAUUUUUGCAAUUGGCAAAGCCCUCUUAAACAAAUAGGGAGUUACACGUCGAGUUGCCACUCCUUACCAUCCACAAACCAGUGGCCAAGUUGAAGCCUCUAAUCGGGAAUUAAAGAGAAUUUUGGAGAAAACUGUAAAUGUGUCAUAGAAUAAUUGGUCGAAAAAAACUAGACGAUACACUUUAGAUUUAUCAAACAACUUUGAAAACACCUAUUGUUAUGUCUCCUUAUCAUCUAGUAUUUGGAAAAGCAUGCCAUCUGGCUGUUGAACUUAAGCAUAGGGCAUAUUGGGCUAUGAAGAUUUUGAACUUUGACAUGCAAGCUGCAGGAGAGAAGAGAUUGUUGCAACUUAAUGAAAUAGAUGAAUUUCUCAAUGCAACUUAUGAGAAUGCUCAAAUCUGUAAAGCCUGUACUAAAAAUUUGCAUGACAAACAUAUCCUCUGACGUCAAUUUUAGGUUGGUCAAAAGGUUUUAUUAUAUAAUUCUUGACAUUGAUUCUUCCUAGGCAAGUUGUGAUCAUUUUGGUUGGGCCCUUUUACAAUAACACAAGUCUUUCCGUCUGGCGUGGGAGAAAUUUCUCAUUAGGGAUGGCAAAAAUCCCCACGGGGACGGGUACUCUCGGGGAUUUUCUCCAUUCGGUGAGGGUAUGAGGAUAAUUUCAUACCCAAUUUCUUAUUUGGGGAAGGGACGGAGAAAUUUUUUUACCCAAUUUCUUAUUCGGGGAGGGGACGGGGAUGAGGUAAAAUCCCCAUCCCCUACCCAUUUCCCCAUUUUAAUUUUUAAUUUAAUUUUUAUUUUUUAAAAUUACUAGUAAAUAAAUAAUAAAAUUUGAAUUAUAAAAUUAUAAGUAUUGGUAAAAAUAAAAAAUAUCAAAAUAUUUAUAUUAUUAAAAUUUUAUGCCUAAUUAACUAAUUAAAGUCCUAAAUUUUUAUUUAAGACAUUAAAAAGACCAGACAGAUUCUAUUAGCCCAAAACUUUUGUUUUAAUUUUAAUAUUCAUUAAAUAUUUUAAACUUAAAUCUAUUUUUUAUUUAUCUUAAAUCUAUUUUUUAUUUAUUUUUAGAUGUUAUAAUUGCCCACAGCAAAUCACAAUUUUAAUAUAUAAUUUAAUCUAAUAUUUGCUCUUGAUUUGCUUCGACUUAACUAUUGUGCUGUAAAGGGAAUAAUCCACAUUUAUAAAGUGUCCACGCCACCAUUGAAAAGUUAAUUUAGAAUCUAAAUUUGAUUUUAUUUGUAACAAUUUUGUAUUAGGCUAUUAAUUUGUUCAUGAUAGUUUGUAUCCCUUGCAUGCUGCAUUACUUACUAAUUUAAUGUAUGUGACUUUUGUAAUGGAUAUUAAUGUAAGAUAUAUUUCGAACUUUACUUUUAUUUGAAUUUUUUAUUUUAAUAUGAUUAACUCAAAAUCGAAAACAAAAAAAAUGUAUUAGUUAUUCGAGGAUCGGGGACCCUCAGGGAUCCCUUGUUAUUAUUCGGGGAGAGGAUGAAAAUUCUCUUAAAUAAUUUUGACGGGGAUGGGGAGGGGACGGGGACAUACGCAAAAUAUCGGGGAUGGGUAUGGGGAGAUUGGUCCCCUCCCCUCCCCUCCCCAUUGCCAUCCCUAUUUCUCAUGAUACAAACAGGUCAACGGUCAUUGAUUGAAACCCUUUUGGAUGAUUCAUUUGAUAAACACAAGAUAGCUAUUGGGCUGUCUAAUCCUGAAUGACGACCAAAGACAGUCAAGCUAAUGACUAUAAAUUAAGCGCUUCUUAGGAGGCAACCCAAGCUUUCAAAACUUCACUUAUUAUUAUUUUUAUUUUGUAUUUUCAUUUUUCCUUAUUUCAUUUGUUAUUCUUUUCUUUUACUUAUUUUAUUUUAUCUAGGUUUCUGCAUAAGUUUGAGGGUCGACGAUCAUCAACUUUGCACAUGCCUUUCAACGACUCAACUACAAGUUCACAUCUUCAAGUGAAAAACUAGGGAGUUUCUCUUUCCUUUUCUAUCUAUUUACAUUAAGGACAAUGUUGAUUUUAAGUUUGAGGGUGGGAAUAUUUGCUUUCAUUUAAAAAUAAAUAAAUAAAUAAAUAAAAUUUUGUGUUGUUUGUAUGUUGUUUUUAUGCCAAUGAUGAGUAUAUGGUUGAAAAUGAAUAUGGUUCUCAGAAACGGAUGAAUAUUGUCUUAGUUUAUAAUUGAUUCUUGUAUUAAUUUCUCUUGAUUGUGAUUAUUUAAAUAUCUGGAACACUUAUAUUGAUUCUUUCAGAUUGUUUACCUCGAUUCUACAUUACUUGUGGUUACCCUGGCACCACAGUCAGAAAUAAUUACUUAUAACCCUUAAGAGUGAAGCUAUCCUUUAAUAAUUUGGGCCUAUGUACCAUCAACAUGUAAAGGAUAAUCUAUCAUGAAAAGAAGGCUACCUUAUGGGGUAGAGGUAAAAGCUCCUUACUAUAUAUAUAAGAAAAGCAAAAGCAUGUGCUUUACGAGAAAUCCCAAGAAAAUACAAAUUUAGGCAUGUGCAUUUUUAUUUUUUAUUUUUAAAAAAUCAAGAUGAUGAGGUUAGUUUGACCUACUUUGUUUAUUAUUUGAUACAAGGGCUGUUGAUAUUGAAAAUUUUUAGAAUGAGUUUUGAUUGAAUCAAUUUACACACAACAAAAGAAUCCAAUGUGGGAUGAGGCUGACUAUUGAAUUAAAGUUAGAGCUUUGCCGAUAUUUAUAAUUUUCUUUGAGCUAUAUACUUUAUGCAAUCUCUGAGACAUUUUUGAUGAUGUUUAUGGGUACCAUUGCUGAAAACCCUCAUGAGACUUUAACUCGUCCACUAGAGCAGCCUAGGGGUUUAAAAGUUUGUUGCAUAUGCUAAAUGCAAUCGUGAUCACCAGCAAAAGUGGUUCAAUUAGGAUUUUCUUCUCGUAGUUUCCGUUUUAGUUUUUACUCGAGAACUAGCAAAAUGUUAAGUUUGGGGGUAUUUGAUGUGCUAAUAAUUUAUAUAUUAAUUUAAUGUUUCCCUAACUUAAUUUCAUGUCAAAUUAUAUUCUAUUAUGUUAAUUUUUUUCUUAAUUUUUAUAUUUUGUUAUUUUAAGUAUAAUAUGGGAUUAAAGAAGAAUUGAAUUAGAAUAUUCAGGAAAAAAAUCUGCUUGAAAGAAUUAGAAAGGGAAAGAAAUAAAGAAAUUCAAUUUAAACAAAUCAAGCAAGAUUUACCAUCAUGCAUGCAAUCGCGCGCCGGGCGGGGGGGAGGGGGUUGGGGGAUGGUGGGGGUUGUGGAGAUUGAAGAUUUAGUUGACAAAUAUGGCAUGCACGUGAACUUGGGUUCUUGAAUUUGCAAUAUGAUGACGUAAGAAUUUAAAAGCGGUUUGGCUUACUUUCAUGAGUUUGUUUUUUAAUCCUUUUGGGUUAAUGAUUUUAAGGCCAUCGAUUGAGUAUUAUACAAAGAAGAAAACAGGGCAAAAGCCAAAGCAGGCGCAAAAACAAAUCAAGGAGAAGCAGUUACAAGGCAUCCAAAGAGAAGCCGGAUUAAUUCUUGGGUUUUUCUUUUCCUCUUUUCUAUUGUUGUACUUGAAUGUUUCUUAAAAUAUUUAUGAAUUCUUUUAUAUUUCUAUAAACUAAUUUAUUUCGAUGGGGCUACGAUGUAGCCUAAUUAUGAAAAUUUAAUUUCAUAAAUUCAUGUUACUUUUAAUUUAUUAUUUCAUAAUUGAGUGCUCAUUAUUGUGCUUAACACUUUUAAAUAUCUGGCUAAUAUUUGAAUGAUUUGAGGAUACGUAAUGAAACCAAGAGGAGAUUUAUAUAUUUUUGCUCUAUGUAAUGAAUGCCGUGAAUUGAAUGAAAGACAAACAUGGUCUGGUUGCAAGCCGACAAAUCAACUCGACUAGAUUCAUCAUCAACAAUAUUUAUUAAUUUGAGCUUGAAUAAACUAUUAUUAAUUUCCUACUUUUCCAAUUCUCAGAUAAACUGGAAAUCGAGCAACCUUUUUACUCUGGCCAUCUGAAUUCCAAGCAACUUUAAACUUCUCCAUCAUAUUGUCUGUCAAAAGCUCAACACCCCUGUUCUUAGCCGUCUGAUAACCUGAACUUGACCGUAUGAACGUUAAGUAAUCAUCUAAAUCCAUCAACUUCUCUAAAACAAACUGAUCAAACGGCCCCGUAUUAUCCACCCCAUCUACAGGCUCAAAUGGAAAAUCAAUGCUCAUGUACUUGUUCUCCACCAAUUUAUGUUGUGGUUCCCGAAAUGGCUCAUAAUCAACGGAGUGAAAUGACUUGAAAACUGCAUCUACGGACUCGUUGAUUUCGGGCCAGUAGUAGGUCCAUGCCGCUAUUACUCCAUUAGGUUUUUUGAGUACCCAUUUUACUUGUUUGUAAAAUUGAGGCAAGUCAAACCAAUGUAGUGCUGUAGCAAUUGUCACUAGAUCUACACUUGAUUGUGUUGCCACAUUUUGUUCAAGCUCAGUUAUGGACAUGGUUGGAGUAGUAAGUUGAUACCGAAUGUUGGGGAGCUUUAUUGCGAAUUCUAGCUGCUUUGGGCUUGUGUCUGUAGCAAUGACAUUCUUGUAGAUUGGUGCAAGCUGAAGACAUAAUUGAGAAAAAAUAUAAAAUAUAGGAGGCUAUAACAAAAGUACACAAAAUUGAGAAGGCCAUAUAUAAAAAUUACAUAGACAUGGUGAAAUUUCAACCCAUACUCAGUUUUUGUGUUUUUUUUUUUUUCAUCCUCAAGGUUGCCGGGAUACUCUAGUUCCCCCCUCGGUAGUUAGAUAAGAUUUUUCUGUACUAGUCUCACGACUAAAUUUCCAGAUAAUGUGGAUAUUGAUUUGUAGAUAAUACAUACAUAAUUAAUCAAUGAAAAUAAUAGGGAUUAACUAGGGAUUGGCAAUGGGAGGAGAUCGACAUUCCUGUAUCUAUUUCUGAUACUCUACUUAUAUCCUUGUACUCUCCCCGUCCUUUUUAAAAUUGCUUGAGGAUAGGGAUGGGGAUAUCCAAAGACACCCGAUCCCGAACAACUGAUUUUUGAACUUGAUUUAAUCAUAUUAAAGUAAAAAAAUAAAUCAUUUAACAACACAAACACGUCAAAACAAACUAAAAUCAUUAAAAUCAUUUUCAUCAAACUAAUUAAGUUAAUGUCAUCAAAAUUACAAGAUAAUCGAUGAAAUUAAGUAAAAAUAGAACUUCAGGGUUGAACACAUACAUAAAAGUCACAUGGUAUAAACCAUUAAGAAAAUUAUCUUCGUCAAUCUUCAAGUGUUCAUAUCUAUUAUGAUAUUUUUUUUAUUUAUAUCCAUACCAUCACAAUUUAAAUUUUAAAUAUAAUUACUAAAAAUUUUGACAGAAAUAAAUUAAAAUAAAAAAUGGGGAAAUGAGAGAGAUGAGGAAUUCACUGAAUCCUCAUCUUCUCCCUGUAUAAGAUAUUGAGUGUUAAGUUAUCUCUGUUCGUUCCCCGAAUUUUAAUUAAGAUAUAAAAUUGUUCCCACACCCUACACAAAUGGGAAAAAUCCUUCAAGACUAUCCCAUGAGAAUUUCUGCUAUCCCUGAAUUUAACAGUUAUAUAAUUCAACUUUCUUAUAGCUUGGGAUCAGAAUUCUGAAAUAUUAAUAUGGAACUUUUGUAUUAUUCAAAAAUUAAAUCUAAAGAUGUGAAAAGUAAACUUACGGAUGCAGCGGCCUGGCCGCUUCCGGUGCCGACGUCCCAUACAAGCUCGUGUUUGGGUGUUUUAGAGGCAAUGAAUUUGAACAAUUCUUCUGGAUAAUUUGGUCGUGCUUCCGCGUAUUGCUUUGCCUGCUUAACGAACAUAUCUGCCAUCUUUUCUGUUUUUUUCUAAAUAAGUGUUGACAAUAGAAUUGAGAUAAAUCUACUGAUCACUUGUUUCGCUUCUUCUUUAUAUAGGUUUUAGAAUUUGAUGUAGUAGACGAACAGACAAAUUUUAGUUAGAAAUUAAUUUGGUAUGGUUUAUCUGGGGAAGCCCAGAACGAGGACAAGCUCAUAAAGCGUUAAAUUUUGACCGAACUUUUCAUUCUUCCUUUAAUUUUCAAAGAUUCCCUUUUCUUCGCAAAGAUGAUGGUAUGGACUUCAUCAAUGAGUCCACAUCAACUCCACUUAGAGAAUUUUUUUGGGAUAAUUUUGUCAUUAAUUUAAGCUGUUAAAGGUAUCUAAAGAAGUAUUGAACUACUACUUUGCUCUCUUAUGGGGUUAAGAUGGCGGAGUUUAAAGGCAGAUUCACCUCAUGACCAUUAGGAGUUCAAGCUUCCAAUGGAGAAAAUAAUUUUAAAAAAAAGUAAUGAGAUAAUUGUUUGAAUUGUUAAUUAGAACUAUUAAAUUUAUUAAAAUAAUCGUGCUAAAUUUAUAAAAAUAGGUCCAUAAAUUCAUAAACCUAUAAAAUUUAAAUUUUGACUUUGAAACAUAUAAAAGCUCAUGCUUUAAUUAAAAAAAUAAAUGUUCACAGUAGUUAAAUUUAUUAUUAUUUAAUUUAGCCCUAUUAAAUUUACUAAAGUAACCUCUACAAACUCAUUAAUCUAUAAAAUUUUAGUAUUGAUUACAUUUUGUUAUUAUGUAAUUUAAUCCUCUGAAUUCGCUACCAUUUGGAAUUGGCUCUCUAUUAUUACUCGAUCUAGUCCAAGUUCAAUCAAAGUUGGCUCUCUAUUAUUACUUGUUCUAGUCCAAGUUCAAUCAAAGUUGGCUGUCUAUCAUUGACAGUUCUCGUUCAGGUUCAAUGAAAGAGAUCAAAGCAGAGUUUGUUUGCGAUUCAGUUUGUGUAAAUGCAUGUAGGUCCAGGUUGUCUUAUUUUGUGGUCCACUGGUGUAAAGAAUUUAAAAAGUAAUUGGAUAAGAGGAUGCGUCUUGGAUGAUGAAAUGAAGCAAUAACACAUCUUCAUGUGCAGUUUUUACGACGUGCACUCGGUAUGAUUAUGAAUAGUGAUAUAUGCAUAGAAAAUAAUACAAAAUUUAAUAAAAAUUAUAUAAAAAUAAAAAAUUAUUAUCCUGUGGUGUAUUUUUUAUCCUGUAAUUAAUUUUGUUUGUCUUUUAAUAUUGUGUGCUUUUAUAUUAUUUUUUGUACACGUGUCAUUCAUUGUUUCACUACUAUUACCAUGCUCCUAAAAACCUUACUUUUUUUUUUUUUCGGAAGAUGCCGCAUUUGCUUGAUUUCAACAUUGGCAUGCUCGUCCUUCUUACGCUUUUGUCUUUCAAUAAUCAUCAUAUUCAAUGGCAAAAUUUCAACAAGAUAGAGCAAACAUUCAACAAAGAUAAGUCUUCUUAUUGGAUUAGGCAUAGAUUUUUAUUUAAUUUGUUAUGGAAGUUGGUGGCUAUCCACUAUCAGCUUAGAUCAAUUUAACUAGCUAUACUUAAUUAGCUAAGUUAUUUGGGUGAGCAAAGUCAGUUAGUAGUAAAGCUCGGAAAAUCACCUAAGAAAAAUUGAAACAGGACCAUCAAAUUUACACAGUUUGCUUUGAUUGGCCAUUCAACAAAGCAUCUGAAGAGAUUGGAUGGCUAAAGAGCUAAGGCUUGGCUUUGUUUUGAUUGGCUAAUGGAUCCUAUAAAUAGAGAGCACUGCUCUUCGUGAUUUGUAUCCUAAAUUGAAACCUCAUCAAUUACAAAAAUAUCACCUUCCUUUGUAUCAUGUAUUUAUUAAUUUAUACUUUCUACAUAUAUGUUGUCAAUGAUUAUAACACGUUAUUAGUUAGCAUGACAAUCAUUUUGGUACAGGAAGUAUCUUAUCCCGUGCUCUUUUAUUUUAUCUAUUUAAUUAAUAAAGCUAUCUUUAUAAAUAUACUCUGAAGUUGUCAUUAAUUUGGAUCUUCCACAUAAAAAAAAAAAAGACUAGCUAUUGUAUUUCUUCUUGUUUAUUUUAUUUAUUUUUUAUAAUAGAGGGGCUCUACAACGAGCUAAGGUAAAACAUAUCGGGAGUAAGUAAUCCCAUACAAAUCAUUUGCAAUAAAACUAACAACCCCUGGAGGAGGAAUAGAAAAAAGAUGCAAUCCCAAGGGCAGCUCCAAGGCAUAAUUUGUUAGGAAGUCCGCUGCGAAAUUUGGUUCACGAUAUAUGUGGUUGAUGGUUAUAACCCAAUUUCGCUUGAUGAGAUCUCUAAUGGAGCGGAUGAGGUGGGUAUACUCGUUGAUGCUCUCCAUGUGGCUGUUAACCAUCAGAACAACACAGUGGCUAUCCACUUCCACGUGUAAAAACCAAGCACCAUGUUGCCAUGUUAAAAUUAAUCCUUGGUAAAGGCCCCAAAGUUCUGCUGCAAUAACUGAACAGACGCCUAUGUUGAAGCCAAAGCCAGUGAGCCACAUGCCUUGGUGGUUGUGUAUGAGACCUCCAGCACUUGAUGCCCCCAACUCUUUUCUUGCUCCGUCUGUGUUUAGCUUGCACCAGGGCCAGUUAGGUAACUUCCAGGUGAUCAAUCUCUCAAUUUCUCUUGAUCUCAACAACCAAAGAUGAGUUGUUGAUGUUCUGAAUCUCCUCAACUCUAGCUUUAAUAUCUUGUAUUAUACUAAUACUGUCCAUAUUUUGUUGGUGGAAUAGGAACUGAUUCCCCCAGAACCACAAACUCCAAAUAGUAACUCCAAAGUAAAUAUUCCAUUCAAUACUCGAGUCCAUUUGCCCUUUGCUUAGUAAAUUCUGACACAUCCAUUCUUUUAGAUCAAUCGUGAAAAACCAAGGACGAAAGCUCCUAGGAAUUAAGCGAUUUCAGACCGUUUUCGCGACCACACAGUCUCAAAUCACAUGUAUGGUAUUCUCAAGAGUUGAGCCACAUCGAUCACACCACUCGUCCACCAGCAAAUGACGCCUUGACAAUUCAAACCUUGUUUUUCGUUUAUCAUGCAACACCAACCAGAUGACAAAAUGAAUGCUCUGGGGGCCUUUCCAACUCCAUGCAAGACUCCAUAGCUUCUCCUCGUCGCUUAAAAUGGUCUUUGAUAGAGCAUGGUAAGCUGACUUCACGAUAAAACACCCCUUUGCUGAUUCAGCCCAGAAAACUUGGUCUGCACCAUCAUCUGCCAAAGGAGGCUUAUAGGAAGCAAUCCUCAAAAGGAUAUUAUGUGGUAAUAAGAAACUAAAACUCUCCCACAACCAAUUUCCAGCAUUGUCAACAAAGUCCACUACUUUCCUAUGUACUAAAUGGUCUGGAACUGGAGCAAUCUCAUAAUUAAUCAGGGGUUGAUUUUUAGUCACCCAACAAUCCCACCAGAAACGAACCGUUUUACCAUUCCCAACAUUCCACCGAAUCCCCCUCUUAACAGCAUGCCAAAUUUUCCCAAUAGACUUCCAAAGGUAAGAACCAUAUCUGGUUGGCAACUCAUAUGGAAAAUUUUUUGGGUUCACUCCAUAUUUCAUAAGCAGCACUUGAGACCACAGACGUUUUGGAUUGACAGUAAGGUUUCAGCCCACUUUCAUCAACAAAGCUUGAUUCAUUAUGUCCAUGUUCUUAAAACCCAAGCCGCCACAACUUUUUGGACGACAAAUCAUCCCCCAACUAACAAGGCUCAUCUUCCUUUGAUUAUUAGCAUCGCUCCACAUAAAUUUCCUGCAAGCUUGGUCAAUUUUACUUUUAACACUAGCCGGCAAAUUCGUAGUUUGCAUUGCAUAGAUCGGAAUAGUCUUCAGCACUGACUGGACAAGAGUGGCUCUUUCUGCUAAAGAUAAAUGAUUGGCAUUCCACCCAGAGAGGCGUUACUCAACCUUGUCAAUAAUGCUCUGAUAAGUCCGCUUUGAGACUCUAAAAUGUAGGAGAUGCAUUCCAAGAUAAGUUCCCAGAUCUUUUAUUACUGAAAACCCAAGAAAUUCACCUAUUUGUUUAGCCUCAUUUGCUUUAACAUUCUUGGAGAAAAAAAAUUUAAGUUUUAUCCUUGCUGACCUUGGCACCUGAGCUUGCACAGAAAGCAUCAAGGAAACACCAAAUAAAUCUAGCUUGAUCACAAGUUGCCUCAGCAAGUGGGAGAAGAUCAUCAGAAAAAAAAAAGAUGGGUGAUAGGGGUCCCAUUUUGAACUAGGCGCAUUGGUCUCCGAUCUCCCAUAUUUACAGCGUGAGCAAUGCCAUGGUUGAGUCUCUCAAUGCACAAAAAAAAUAUAUAUGGGGAAAUAUGAUUCCUCUACCUAAUUCCCCUAGAUGGCACAAAAUUCUCGGUUAUCUCCCCCUCUCAUAAAACAUUCAUCUAAACUUGAGUAAUACAAUCUAUGAUUAGUUGAACUAAGUCAGAAGGAAUUACAGCCUCUAGGAGAGUGUCAUGGAUGAAACUCCAAGUGAGCUUGUCAUAGGCCUUUUCUAAGUCCACUUUAAUUGUCAUUUGCCCUCUCCUACCAGUUUUCCGCCGCAUGGAGUGAAUCACCUCUUGAGUAAUAACAAUAUUCUCGGUUAUAUGACGUUCUGGGAAAAAACUUAUUUGUUGAGGACCAACAAAAUGAGGUAGGAUCAUUUUUAGCUUGUUGGCAAUCAUCUUGGUGAUUGUCUUAUAAACUAAUGUACAUAAGCUAAUGGGGCGAUACAUUUUUAAAGUCUGAGGAUGAUCAUUCUUAGGAAUCAGAACUAAUAGUGUCCUAUUAAUCUCUGGGGGAACUUUGCCUUGACUGAAAAUGCUCUUAAUAAAACGACAAAAGGAAGGCCGAACCACCCCCCACUGAGACUAGUAAAAAAUGGCAUGCAAACCAUCAAUCCUUAGGGCUUUUAAGGGCUUCAUACUAAAAAUAGUGUUUUUAAUCUCAGCUUCAUCUAAAGGCCCUUGUAAGAAAGACAAAUUUUCUGCAUCUAUCACUGGAAAAUAGCCCCAGAUAUGGUAUUGCUGAGACGGGAUGUUAUCCUCAAAGUAUAACUUGGAAAAAAAAAGUUGUACAGUAUGGCAUUUGAUAUCUUCAACUUCAUACAACCAUUUCACAUUCUCAUCUUUAAUAGCCAUGAUCUUGUUUCUCCUUCUUCUAGUUAGUGUCUUAUAGUGAAAGAAAGUUGUGUUUCUAUCGCCGUGCAUAAUCCAAUCUUUUCUAAACUUUUGCUUCCAAAGCAGCUCUUCUUGAGUAAGAACUGCUUCAAGUUCUCUUUUCAAUUUUAAUUCAAGCCGAAUGAGACCCUUUGUAGUAUAGUCCUCGAGAGCUUUUUUAAUACCACCAAUGCGAGCCAUAGGUCUUCUUUACCUUUAGAAGGUAUUACCAAAAGAAUUUAUGUUCCAGUGUGAGACAUUGCGAGUGAAAGAAAGGGCUGAUUAGAGGUAGGGUUCCAUAGGAUUCCAAUUCGAAGCAACAAAAUUAUCAAAAUCUUUGGUGUGAGCAGAGCCGCCAAGAAUCAAAAUGGUCUCUGUCCCUGACCCCGUCGCUCUUCUUUAUCAAAACGAACUGAUACCGGUCUAUGGACUGACUGAAUUUUCGGUAAAUGAAGCAUAGAGCUAUCUACAAAUUUAUUUAGUCAAUCCUCAUUGCACAUUGCCCUAUCUAGCUGUUUGAAGAGAGCCCCACGAGACCAAGAGAAUCUAGGACCCGUGAACGGAAGGUCAUAUAAAUUGCUUGAUUGGAACCAGUUUAAAAAACUCUUACAAAUCCCACUUUUAUGUAAGGAGCCACCUUUCUUUUCCGAAGUAUAAAUGAUAGCGUUGAAAUCACCAACGAUGAGCCAAGGUCUGCGAGUGCUGUUGGCUAGUAUUCCAGGAUGACCAAAGGUUUUGUCUAUUAGUUUGAACAGGGCUUGCAUAAACAGCAGUCACCCAUGACAAAAAGCCACCAUUGUUAAACAAGUCUCUCCAAUGAAAAUGAAUGAAUUGCUUGUGAUUUAAAGACACUUCGACCUCCAACAAGUCUCUCCACAAAAGCCAGAUUCCCCUAGAGAAACAAAUUGCAUCCACCCUGUGGGACUUGACAAAACCACUUUUCUUGAUGAAACCAUCCGCUCUUAUCCCACUAAUUCUUGGUUCCAAUAGAACAACCAUGGUCGAUUAUAAGUCUUUGUCAGAGACACAAAAGCACUGUGAAAUUUUCGUGAGCUAGCCCCUUGGGCUUUCCAAAACAUUAUAGAAAUAAGCAUAAAAAAAAAGAUAAAGAUAAAAGGGAGAGAUAAGGAGCCUUACUCAACCAAGGUCUCAUCUUCUAGAGAAAUAUCAUCCUAUGAAGAAUCAGUACCCUUACCACUGUCUCCCAUAUAGUCACUGUCAUCUUCAUCAUCAUCUAAAGUCAUCGUUCCUGCUGAUAAGAAUAUGUGUUGAUGAUGACAGUUUGAAUUAGUUAAGUUAGUUAUAGUGACGUGGCAGUCCAGUCAGCAAAUCAUUUGUUAGCUUGUUUAAGUUUGUUAUUCUGUUUCUUAGGAAGUUAACAAACACGUGAAAAUGAUGUAUGUGUUAAGAAGAUUCUGGGAAGCAGUAUAUAAACUUGUAAUCUCAUUCUGUUAGUGAGUUAAUAAAAACAAAUUCUCUUUAAUGAAUUUUCUCUCACUUUCACUUGAAUUUUCUCUGUAAACAAACACUCUAAAUCAGCUGAUCAAUUUCUAAUUUGGUAUCAGAGCCUUGAAUAAUUUCUAGUUCAUGGCUUCUUCAAGUCUGAGUACAAAUGUUUCUUCCGCAAUUUCAACAUUUACUUUCGCAACUCCACUCAAGCUUGACAGAUCAAAUUACACUAUAUGGAAGUCUCAGAUCCUCUCAGCCAUUCGAGCAAAUGAUCUGGAAGGAUUCCUUGAUGGAUCACGUACCUGUCCAAAUCAGCUACGGCCUGGUGAAUCAACAAGCACAGAGGCUGAAAUCAUCUCAGAAAAUUCUGCUUACACUGCUUGGAAAAGACAAGAUCAGAUGAUCCUGAGCUGGAUGAGCAUUGUGGUAAAUUCUAAAACCUCUCGAGAACUUUGGAUGAGUUUAGAGGAACAAUUUGGAUCUGAAACAAUAGCUAAGAAAGUGCAUUUAAAGAUGUUGCUAAAUAACCUUAAGAAAGGAUCCAUGACAAUCACUGAAUACUUUUGUAAACUAAGGUCAGUAACUAAUGAAUUAGCAAUGGCUGGAAGUCCAGUUAGUUCUCUUGACUUCGUUACACAUUUGAUCUCAGGUCUAGGACAGCCUUAUUAUCCUGUUGUGGUCUAUAUUGAGGCAAAUGUUCUUAAAAUGAGCAUCAAUGAAGCUUAUUCUAUGUUGCUAUCUCAUGAAGCUAGACUUGAGAGUAAUCAUUCGAGUGCAGCUAAGGAAACUAAGUUGAAUUUUACUGCUAAUAUGGCUCAAACUGGUAAUAAUCAGAAGAAGUCAGGAAAUAAUGCUAAUUGGAAUACCAACAACCAGGGAAAUUGGAAUGGAAAUUUUGUGAAUAGAAAUGGGAAUGGUAACUUUAACAAUAGAGGAGGUUAUGGAUCUGGCAGAGGUGGCUUUAUGGAACAAAACUCAGGGAGAGGCUGGUUUGGAAAUCAAGGAAGAGGAGGUGGUUCUAAUGGAAAUACUGGUGGAUAUAAUGGAAAUACUGGUGGAUUUGCUGGAAAUGGUGGUUUUAAUGGUGGAAAUCUGGGAUUCUCUGGUGGCUUUGGUAGAGGAGGUGGCAGAGGACACAUUACCUGCCAAAUUUGCUUUAAACCAAAUCAUUCAGCUGUUGAUUGUAAGAACAGAUUUAAUAGAAAUUUUAUUCCACAUUCACAAAUGCAGAAUCAAGGGCCGAGAGCUGCUUAUGUGACUACCUCAGAAGGAGUUGCUGACCAGGGGUGGUAUCUAGACAGUGGAGCCACUCAUCAUCUCACCAACAAUGUGCAAAAUCUGGUUGAAGGUAAUCCUUAUAAUGGCACUCAAUUAUUGUUUGUUGGAAAUGGUCAAGGUCUCACUAUCACACAUAUUGGCUGCACUUAUCUUUCCACUUCUUUUGGCACACAUUUAUCCUUAACCAGUACUUUGUGUGUUCCUAAAAUAACCAAAAACCUCAUCAGUAUAUCUAAGCUUCUUUUAGAUAAUAACAUAAUCAUUGAAUUUUGUUCCACCAUGUGCUUUAUUAAGGACAAGAAGGAGGGAACUUUGCUGGCACAGGGGAUUGUUGAAGGUGGUCUUUACAAGCUACUGUCACUUGAUGUCUCAUCGCUUUACUCUACAGCCUACAAUUCAAAUCUCUCUAAACCGAGUUCCAUGUUGUCAUUUUGUUUUGAUAAUAAAGUUGUAAACUCUCUACAAGAGUCAAACAAUCAUGUGUCAAAAUUGAAUAAUGAAGAUACUUCUGAAGCUUUUUCAUGUUCUGUCUCUGGAAAUUCUUCUAGAGUUGGAAAAAUAUCAGUUCAGUUGUUGUAUAAUAGAUAUGGUCAUCCAAAUAAACAUGCUUUGCAAACAAUUGUGAAAAAUCUUCCCUCACAUUGUCUCUCGAACCAAGUUAUUAGUUUUUGUGAUGCUUGUCAAUAUGGCAAAAUGCAUCAGCUUCAUUUUUCUAUUACUACUAUUAAAACAAAAGCCCCACUUGAACUCUUAUACACAGAUUUAUGGGGACCAGCCCCUGAAUUUUCAAUGAAUGGAUACAGAUAUUACAUCUCAUUUGUGGAUGAUUUUACACGUUAUUCUUGGAUCUUUCCUCUCACAGCAAAGUCAGAAGCCUUAGAAACCUUCAAACACUUCAAACUUCUUGUUGAAAAACAAUUUUCUUUACCUGUCAAAACAUUACAGUCAGAUAUGGGGGGUGAGUUUUUAGCCUUUAAAACCUUUCUUCAGCAAGAGGGUAUAUGUUUUAGGCAUAGCUGUCCAUACACACACCAUCAAAAUGGUGUUGUUGAGAGGAAACACAGGCACAUUGUUGAAACAGGCUUAACACUUCUAGCUCAAUCUCAGUUGCCUCUUUCUUUUUGGUGGGAAGCUUUUCAUACUGCCUCCUUUCUGAUCAAUACGAUGCCCACAUCAGUUCUAAACAAUCUAUCUCCAUUUCAGAAACUACACAAUCAACUACCUGACUACCAAUUUCCUAAAGUGUUUGGUUGCUCCUGUUUUCCAUUUCUCAGGCCUUAUAACCAGCAUAAACUCAACUUUCAUACCCAAAAAUGCAUCUUCAUUGGUUACAGUCCACUUCAUAAAGGUUAUAAGUGUUUAGAUCCCUCUGGUAAAGUGUUCAUUGCUAGGCAUGUUAUCUUCAAUGAAACUGAGUUUCCUUAUAAAGAUUUAUUUUCUAAACACUCAACCUCAAAAGUCUCAGAUGUUACUGGCUUAUCUUCACCAGUACAACUCCCUUUCCUUCAGAAUUCUGCUCGUGUUGACAGUAGCAAUGUAGUGUCACCAUCUACUAAUCUUCCUUCAGCAAUGUCUCCUUCAUCAAGUUCCAGCUCAAUACAGACCUCUUCUUUUUCCCUUCCUUCAGCUGAGCCAACUCACUCAUCUUCAUUACCAUCUUACCAUAUGAUUACCAGAGCUAAAGCUGGUAUUUUCAAACCCAAGUCCUAUCUAGCAGCUACUGCAGAUCUUAAACCAGCUAGUGUUAAAAGUGCCUUGCAAGACCCCAAGUGGUUUCCUGCUAUGAAGGAGGAAUUUGAUGCCCUUCAACGAAAUCAAACCUGGACUUUGGUACCCUCUGAAAGUGCUGCUAGAGUAGUUGGCAACAAAUGGGUAUAUAGGGUAAAAUAUAAUCCUGAUGGGAGCAUUUCUAAGUACAAAGCCAGGUUGGUUGCCAAGGGUUACCAUCAAACUCAAGGGGUGGAUUUCUUUGAAACCUUCAGCCCAGUUGUGAAACCUUGCACAGUCAGGGUUGUUUUAAGUCUAGCAGUGAUGCAUCAUUGGCAGAUUCGGCAGCUGGAUGUCAAUAAUGCUUUUCUAAAUGGUGUGCUAGAAGAAGAUGUGUUCAUGCAUCAGCCACAAGGUUUUAUAGACUCUGCACAUCCAUCUUAUGUUUGCAAAUUAAACAAAGCAUUAUAUGGACUCAAACAAGCUCCUAGAGCUUGGUAUGAGAGGUUAAAAAGUUCCUUACUCAAUAAGGGAUUUCAAUCUUCAAAGUCUGACACCUCUUUGUUCCUUCAACAUUUUGGGCAUGAUAUUGUGCUCAUUCUUAUAUAUGUUGAUGACAUUUUAGUCACUGGUUCUAAUUCUCACCAUAUUGGGGCUGUCAUUCAAUACCUCCAUUCUGAAUUUGCUCUUAAGGAUUUGGGAGAGUUUAACUACUUUCUUGGCAUUGAAGUGACACCUUCAGUUCAGGGGUUGCAUCUAUCUCAAACCAAAUACAUUGGUGAUAUCCUUAGCAAAGCUAAUAUGCUUGAUAGCAAAGGUUUUAACACUCCUAUGAGUCCAGGUGAUAAGCUUAAAAAGAACAGUGGUGCAGCUUUUGAUAAUCCUUCAUUGUACAGAAGUAUUGUGGGUUCUCUUCAAUAUGUGUUGUUGACAAGGCCUAACAUAGCUUAUCCUGUCAACAAGCUCAGUUAAUUUCUGGCUCAUCCAACCAUUUCUCACUGGCAAGCUUGUAAAAGGGUUCUUCGAUAUCUACAAUCCACUUCACACUUUGGCAUUCAGUUUUUCAAUUCAAGUUUUGAGACUUUAACAACAUUUUCUGAUGCUGAUUGGGCAGCAGAUCCAGAUGAUCGGAAGUCCACUGGAGGGUAUUGUGUAUUCUUAGGCUCCAACAUUAUUUCUUGGUCCUCUAAGAAACAAACAAUUGUUUCCCGUUCCUCAGCAGAGUCUGAAUAUCGAGCUCUUGCUUCAGCAACCUCUGAAAUUCUUUGGCUCACUUAUUUGCUUCAAGAACUGAGGAUUCAACUAGAUCACAGUUCUGUUCUGUAUUGUGAUAAUCAAAGUGCUGAGGCCUUAGCUAGCAAUCCCAAGUAUCACUCUCGUACAAAGCACAUUGAGUUGGAUCUUCAUUUCAUCAGAGAGCACGUUGCAAAGAAACAACUCACUGUCAGUCAUGUUUCUAGCUCAGAACAAGUUGCAGACAUUCUCACCAAGCCCCUCUCUUUUGAUCAGUUUGCUUAUCUUCGUACCAAGCUUAAUGUUCUUCCCAGAACUUAAGCUUAAGGGGGGAUGAUAAGAAAAUGUGUUGAUGAUGACAGUUUGAAUUAGUUAAGUUAGUUAUAGUGACGUGGCAGUCCAGUCAGCAAAUCAUUUGUUAGCUUGUUUAAGUUUGUUAUUCUGUUUCUUAGGAAGUUAACAAACACGUGAAAAUGAUGUAUGUGUUAAGAAGAUUCUGGGAAGCAGUAUCUAAACUUGUAAUCUCAUUCUGUUAGUGAGUUAAUAAAAACAAAUUCUCUUUAAUGAAUUUUCUCUCACUUUCACUUGAAUUUUCUCUGUAAACAAACACUCUAAAUCAGCUGAUCAAUUUCUAAUUCCUGCCAUAAUCAGGAGGUUCGUCUUGGGCUUUGGCAAGCUGACCGUUAUCACCACCCACAAGGAAUCCGUGUUGAGGCUCAGCCAGGGUGGGGUUUGUGGAAUUUGUGGGAGAAGCAUGUGUGCCCUUUUGAUUUAAAAAAAAAAUGGUGGUAUGGAACAGGGGGUUUAAGCUAGUUGAUACGAAAAUAAGAUCUAGGUUCAUUGCAACAUGUGCAUGGGUUUUGCUUGAAUUACGUACACUUUGCAUGGCUUUUGUUUUGGUGGACUAGAACAUGUAUGUCACUUAAAUACGGUCCCUCACGUGACAAUAACUUUGGGCUGGAACUAGUAUUAGGUUUUAUCGUUUUCGAAGCUUGCUUCUUUUGUUUUGUUUCAACUCUAAGGUUAUACUUGGCUGGCCCUUGUUUGUUUGAGCUCGGAUUAGUAGGUUCUAUGUUUGUGGCAUUAUUGGAAUCUCCUUCCUCAAAGUUCGCUAACACUGCAAAAUGAGAAUCCUUUCCAUAAUUGCUCCAUUGACCUUGCCCCGAAUCCUGUUGAAAUUCAUUUCCUUUCUCCAAGUGAUCCUUACCCUUUCUGGUGACCACCAUCAAAGGGCCAAAUAUAGGAUAACCACCGGGAGCUAAAGCAUCACCCUUUUCUGCCAUCGCAACCACCAUGUCACCGCUAAUAUCACGAUCCAAAUCUUCUGUUGCACGGUCAGGACAUAGCUAACUGGUAUGCCCAUAUUUGCCACAUGUGAAACAUAUAUGGGGAAGACAUUUAUACUCCAUUUUUUUAACUUUGCCAUCUAGUAGGAAUUGAGAUACAAGAGGCUUGUUAAGUGCUAUAACAACCACAAUACGUGCAAACUUACCCCCCAUGGCUGAUUCAGUAUUGUAGUCUAUUCGAACGACUGUUCCAAUAAUCUAACCAAGCAUCCGAAGGAUUCUUUUGUGGUAGUAAUGCAGGGCUAUACCAGGAAGCCUGAUCCAUGCAAUAAUUGUAUUAAUUGACUCUGUAAAACUAUCAAAGUGAGGAGUCCAUGGCUGCGUGACUAGGCAGUGACCCAUGAUUGUCCAUAGUCCUUGAGUCAAAGCAAAAUCUGCAUCACCCUCUGAACGAAAUCGAACGAGGUAGUAACCGUUAUCCAAAUCAAUGACCGAGAAACCUAGAGCCGACCUUUAAAGAUUUUCCAAUCUAUUACAUAGGACCUUGUAGCCUAUGUGACGUCCUAGAAAUUUAACUAUCACUGAAUUCUGCCAAGGUUUUACGAGUUGCUCAUGGAUUAUUUUUAAGAAAGAGAUAGAUGGUAUGUUGCCAUCAUCCCCUACAGUGAUAUCCUCUGGUCCAAAGACUAGAUCAUCCUCCACACCAAUCAUCUCCUCUUCAUUCCUCUUCUCUGACUCCAUUAACUUAUCUCUAAAUGAAAAGUGCUCAGGGUUGUCACCAUCGUCGCCCUGGGCUAUAAACUUGGCCUUCUUCAUAGCAUGGCCAUCAUUGAUCGAAAGGGUUAGGUCCUUCUCCAUCUCUCUACUUAUAGUAUCUUAUAGUAAACUAAGAAAUAUUAAAGAUCUUCUAGCGUAUUUUGAGUUGUAAAAUGUUUAUUGUUUAUUUUAUAUUACUAAAGUUAAAAGCAAUGGCCAAAUCGUACGAGACAAAAGCAUAAAUCAAGACCAAAGUGUACAAAACCAAGAUUGAAGCAUAAAAAAUUCUGAUUGGAUCCUUAAAGUAUCAAGACUGAAGCCUACUAAUUUGAAGCCACAUAUUUGAAUAUUCUAAAACCCCAGAAGAUAAAUUGAAGAUGACAAAUCCAAUGAAGCAUGAAUUUAAAGCCUACAAUAUUUUUGGUAAAAAUUAUUUAUCUUGAAUUCUACCUCAGUAAUUAGAAGCCAUAUGUCUCAAUAAGUCAUCUGGAAGCUAUGAGACUCAGUAACAUAAUCAAGCUCAUCUAACUGAAAGGAAGUCAUUGCUUGAAUUGAUAUGAAGUCUUAAUUGAAGACAGAAUUCUUCACUCAAUUAAAAUAAGUUUUGAUAGUAAUUUUUCAAAUUAGCCCAACAUCACAACUCUGGGCUUUACAAAAUGACAUCACAGUUGAAGAUAUGUGGAAAGAAAAUGAUUGAUAAAGAAGACAUGCUCAACAUUUUAGGCUUUAAACAUGAUUUUGCAACAACAAUCUCAAGCUCGCUAACCUAAUAGGCACAAAACGUGCUAACCUUACAGGCACAAAGUCGAUUUUUGAAGAAAAAAUUUAUCACAUAGACACAUGGUCAAAAUCAUUGUCAUGAUGAAGUUAUAGACAUGCUAAAAAUCGUGGUUACAAUUAUGAUUGAAGUCACAUUCUUGAAGAAAUCAAGCAUUGGCUAAUAUUAUGCAGAGACAAACUAGGUUGAUUGAGGGGAUGGCUCAAGGUGGUGGUCCUGCUCAGAAUGCUAGAGUCGAAGGGUAAGGUGUUGCUGCUAGAGGCAGAAUGGUGGCAACUUUAGAGCAAUUCCAAAAGUUGGGGCCUCCUGUGUUCCGUGGGACAACUGACCCUAUGGCAGCUGUUGGUAUGAAUUCAAAUGCUAUUGGUGUCAAUGUGCAAGUGUACACAACAAGUAAUAUAAUGAUGACUAUUCGAGAUCGUCUCCACUGGGAUUGAUGUUAUCAGACUUACUACAGCAAUCUUAACAGUGCAGAUUUUGUUCUGAAUUAAGAUAAAACAAUUAAUGAAAUUAAUAUACUAAUUAAAAUAAAAACGCAAUAAAUAAAAUGCAACAAAGUAAACUAUCACAUUAAGCUCAAGGAUAAAACCAAUGGAAAUAUAGAGUAGUUGAGUGAAUAAACUCUCUUAAUGGUUUUGACUAUUUUUCUAAUGUUUGACUCGGUUGCUACAGCAUUUGCUACAGCACUAGGUAGAAUCCUUAUGUAUUCUCAGCCGUCGCAUGUUGGAUAUCUUAUAUCUAUAUGCAACCUAAUAGUGAUUAGUUGUUAUACCAAUAUAAGAUAUAACAUUACACGCUUAGGUUCUAUUUACUCUACAAGGUGAAUCCCUAUGUCUAGUUCAUCACUAAUCUUAGAUUAAGUAUGGCCCUUUUGGGAUUCAAGUAAAACUCAAUCUAGGAAACCCAAUUUAAAACCAAAUAUUGCUCUGAUAUGUUCCACUAAGAUAGACCCUUUUGUGGCUCUUCCUUAGCUAAUAUUAUUAAAAAACUUGAUUUAUAUUAUAAAAUCUUUCAUUUCAUAUUUAAAUAUUAUUAUUACAUAUUAUAAAUUCCAAAUACUUCAAGAAACAAGAUAUGAGAUAAUCCACCCUUAUAACUGAAUAAUCUAAAUUAAAUACAUAAAACUUUCUACUGUCCAAUCAUAUGCCUACUAGUUGUAACUAAAUUUAACAUUUCUAAAAGCUAAAAUGAGAAGGAUGAUUGCCUUCACUCUUUCAAAAUAAGUAGUGCAAUUGAGUUAUCAUAACACCAGAUUCUUCAUUCUCCAUUCAAUAAUGGAUGGGUUAGGAUACAAGUGAAGUUGAGGAUGAAACACUUCAAACAUAUUGAUCAAAUUUGCAUAUGAAUACAUGGAAAAAGGAAAAAAAAAAUUGCUUGUCAAUUUCCAACCAUUAGAGAAACAAUGGUUAACAGAAAUAAACUUUUGUCAUAUUUGUGUUUUUGGCUAAUUUCUAUGUUUGAAACCAUCAUGUCCCACAUAUCUUCAACUGGAAACAGUGGCAGUUGGAUUCCAAGAUUUUUAGAAUAAGAAAACCGAACCUAGUAAGCUCGUGGAUAUUUGUAUCUUUACUAAAUGUACAUAAAUCAUUUAACAAAGUAUUACCAAGAUAAUAAAAAUAGUUAAUGCAGUAAAGUGCAUCACAUAUUUUAAAUACAUAUAUACUUUAUUCGCUCAAUGUAAUGCUAAUAAAAAAUUCAAACUGAAAAUGAAAGCAAAGCAAAGUGAUAGUGUGUGCAUUAGAAAAAAACUCAAAAAUCACAGCAUUUGCAAUUUCAUUUGAAAAUUUUACAUUUGCAACACAAAACUCAAGCAUCAAAACAAAACUUGAUUUAAUGAGAAUAAAAAAUGAUGUAAUUACCAUUAAAUUAAGCCUGAGAUACAUAAUUAAAAUUAAAAAAUAAUGAAACAAAACAGUGAGGGAGAAAGGAAGUACCGUUAGGGAAAGCAAAAAGCUGAGAUUAAGGAAACAUAGUGAGUCUAAAACUUGAAGCUUUUUCGCUUUUCCUUUUCACAACCAGAAAUGGUUUAUGCUUUUCCUAUCUGUGUUCGUUUUAAAUUAAAUUAAAUUAUUUUAUUAUAUUUGGCUAAGAAGAAAAGAGCCAGCAAAGUGAAAAGUCUCCAACAGUCCAAGCUACGCAAGCUACAUUUGAAGGCUGGACCCUGCCUACACAUCUACUUAGGGGUGGGCAUCGGAUCAUAUUCGGGUCAAUUCGAUCCGAUCCGAACUGAUCUGAAUAUGUUCGGAUCGGAUUCAGAUUGACCUCUAAAUCCAAUCGGAUAGAAACUUUGCAAUCCGAUCGGAUUUGAUUCAGAUCGGAUCGGAUUUGGAUCAAUCCGAUCAAUCCGAUCAGAUUGCACUUAAAAAAAAACUUAAAUAUAAAUAAAUUAAAAGCUUAAAAGACAAACCUCUUCUACCCUAAAUUCCCAAAUCAUAAACGAAUUGAACCUAGCCAGCCACAAAGGCACGUAUUCAGCCAACCCAGCCAUCAAGCUUCGCGCCUGCCGGCUAGCCGCAUGUCGAUGACGCCCCUUUCCAUGCGCCGAUGACGUCCCAGGCAACAACAACCAAUCGAAGAUGACAGCAAGUACUGCUUGUUGUCUGCUACUGUCAUCUUUAGUUCUUGCUAUCUGCUGUCAUCUUCUCGCUUGAUGCUUGCUAUCUGCUGAUCUUCAGUUCUUCUUCUUCUGUUAUUUUUCCUCUUUCUUAACCUUAACAGUUGGUGCUGGGUGUUUGCUUUUGUUUGUUUAACUAGUUUUUUUUUCCUUUACAUAUACAUAUAAUUCGAAUUUAAUCCCAAGAUGACAGCAAGUACUGCUUGUUGUCUGCUACUGUCAUCUUCAGUUCUUGCUAUCUGCUGUCAUCUUCCUGCUUGCUGCCUGUUGUCUGUUGAUCUUUGAUUCUUCUUCUUCUGCGUUCCCCCCCUUUAAUCUUAACAGUUGGUGUUGGGUGUUUGCUUUUGUUUGUAUAACUAGUUUUCUUUUUUCCUUUACAUAUUCAUAUAAUCCGAAUUUAAUCCGGAGCUAUUAAUCCGAUCCGAAUCCGAAAUAAUCAUCCGAUCCGAAUCUGAUCCGAAUAAUUCGGAUCGGAUUCGGAUCGGAUGAUUAUUUCGGAUUAAUUCGGAUGGUUUUUAUCCCAAUCCGAACAAUUUGAAAUCCGAUAGGAUUGAUCCGAAUCCGAUCCGAAUCCGUUUUUGCCCACCCCUACAUCUACUGAAAGAUUUGUUAGUGACCAUGACUUCCAUUAAUUUCUAAGCACUCAAAUUGUGUUUUUGCCAUUAUUUCAAGUAAAACAUUUAAAUUUUAAAAUGUAUUAGAUUUUAAAAAAAAAAAUUGAUUUUUUUAAUUAUAAGCACUAAGAUUGUGUUUAUCCUAAUUUAUUCCCCACAAUUACAGUUAUGGUUGCAUCUAAAUUAUUGUAAAAUUUAUUAACUUAAACUUUAUAAUUUGUAAUCUGAUUAUGGAAUGUUUAUUUUUUUGAAUAUUGGCUUAUAAUCCUUUCUUUGCACAUGGAGACCAUUUGAAUUAUUAUUUUUUUCUAUGAGAUAUAUAACACAACUAAUAUAUCUAUAAUUAGAAGGCAAUGGAAACUAUGAGGAAGAAGUUAGCUCCACACACAACCUAAUAAGAGAAAAGAUAACUCUCAUCCAAAAAUAUAUUAAAAACAUAUUUAACUCUUAUAAAUUACUAAAAAUAGUAGCUCAACCACAAUUUAACGAGGGAGAAGACAACUCCACCCACAAACUACUAACGUGAGAAAAGACAACUCUUAUCCAAAUAUAUUAUUAAGAAUAUUUAGAAAGAGAAAAGAGUUUGUUGGGACAUGAAUCUAGACUCUUUAGUUUAAAUUGAGAUUUUUGGACCAAUACCCACAAUUAUUUGAUCGAAUUAAAUGGAAAGUAAUUUAUAUUUUCAUCAAUUUAACACAAAAAUCGGCUUUCCCAAAUCCACUUAUCAUAUCCUAGAAGGCUAAAACAUCACAAAACAUAAUGAACUAUCUACACAUAAAGGCCAAAUGACAAACUAGAUUUGAAAUCAUAUCACUCAGAGGAAUAAUAUAUUGGCCUAUAACUAGCGCUCUGACUCUUAGACUAAAAUAAAGAAAACCAAUUAUCAUUGCCAUCUUGAAUCAAUUCUUCUAAUUUUCUAGUUUAUCACUAAAUUCUCUAACAAAAUAGAAUCUUUAAGAUAACCAAUACAACUCAAACAAGCUUAAUUCAUAAUAAAAUUACAAAAUGAAGAAUGAACCAAUUGAUAACGAAAAUAUCACAAGAAGUCAUCUUAGUUUCAAAAUCACUAAUAAUUAAAAAAAAAUAUUGCCUGAUUAAUUCGAUCGAGAACCUCUUCUCUCUUCGCUGCUUCUUCUUUGCGUUCAUAAAGCCCAACUUCAAUCGAAAACUUCAACCCUAAAGGAAUCAAAAUCAGGGUUUCAUGUAGAAAAAAAAGUAAUUAUAAAUAAAGAUAAAACAAAACCUUUUUCAAGUCACGGGUUCUUUGUAUAUCAGCCUAUGUGGAUCCCACGAUUGAUAUUGGUUUCGUCUAAUUAGCUGGCGACAGUGACGAACUCAUUCUCUUUUUUUGAAUCAAACUUUCAAACCCUAACUUUAGCCAAGUUCUUCACAAAAAUUUGAGGCUUAUUUCCAGGGGUAUUUUAGCUCAAGGAUGGUGGCUUUGAAGGUUUAUAGAAGCAGCUUGUGAGGUAGAUCAUUGUUAGAUAGAGAGAGAGGUAGAGACAAAGAGAGAGAGAGAGAGAGAAAGAGAGAGAGAAGAGAGCUUCAGUUCAGAGAAGAAAAUGGUCAUGGGGAUAGAUUUUUUGCUCAUCAAAAUUUUUAGAUUUUAGGUUUCCAUGUACACCUCAUUAAAACGGCAUAGUUUCUAGAUAAUUUAAUUUAAUUUAUAAUAAUUACUACAUCAAGCGAAAAUACAACUUGUGGUCUAGUUGUUUAACGUUUAAAAUUAAAAAGCUAAAGCUUAGAAGUCUGCGGUUCGACUCCUAGCAUAUACAAAAUGAAAAUUUUAUUUUUUUAAUUACUGAUACUUUAAUGUCACAUAUCUUUGAUACUUAUCUAUUAAAUGCAGAAAAUGUCCCAAAUGCAUGUAAUUACUGAUACUUUUUAAUAUAGUGUCACAAGAUAAGUGUCAACAAAUACCAUUUUUCUUGUAGUGUUAAUUAAAAAAAUUCGAUUUUACCCACAAUGAAUUACACAGUAAACAACAGUAAAUUAACGGAAGGGUGUUUUGAGCUUUUUUUUUUUUAAAGUAUGGAUGAAAUGAACUGUUGUUUGAAUAAUAAGGAUGAAUUAGGCUAUUGCAACAAAUUCAAGGGACGAAAAAAAAUUUUUUCUUUUACUUAGGUGCUGUUUAUUUUUUAGUUUGAAGUUUGAAUUUAAUUUUUUUUAGACAUUUUUUUAUUUUAGAUUAUUUUUUUUAACUUAUCACUUAUUGUCAUAUAGUUUUAUCUGAAUAGAAAAAGUGGAAAAAGUUCACUUUAUUUGAAGUCUGAAGUCUAAAUAUAAAUUUUUAAUUUCAAAUCUCAAAAAUACCCUUAACAAUUCAUGUAUUUCCAAUAUUAUGUAUAAACCUUAUAUUUUUGUAUUAUUCUUGAAGUUGUUUUUCUAAUUGCUUUAAAUUUUUAUUCACAUGAUAAUAUUAACUAAACUGAAAUAUUGAACAAAUCAAAUUAUGUUAAUUGUGAUGAAUCAAAAAUAAAAUAAUAGUGUUGACUUUAUAAUAAAAUUUGAUGUUAUAAUUACAUCUUUCAUUAAAAAAAUAAAAGAAGAUCAAUAAUGAUAAUAUUUUUUUUAAUGUUACCAAACUAAUCAACCUGUGAAAAUUAUAACUGUGAAGAACAAAUAUAUGCACCACUCAAAAUGAUAUUUAUGCCAAAUUACUAGUUUUUAGGAUUUUCUCUUUAGAUGUUGAAAAAGAAAAACAAAGAUGUCAUUCAGAUAUUUUCAUUCAUAUUUAUUCAGAUUUUAGUUAAAUUCAGAUCUAUUCAUAUUUCAGAUAAAAAAACAAAUGCAAUCUUAGUUUAUAGGUAUAGGACUCCACUCAAGCAUGGUUUUUAAUAUAAAGAGAGAGAGAGAGGAGAGAGAAAAUUGAUAAAAGAAAGAGUAAUGAUAAAAAUUAAAAUAAUGCUCGUGGGCAUUUUAGUCAAUUCAAGUUGAGAUGAAUGGAAAUAAAAAAAUAAAGAGUAAACCUAUUUGAAGUUUUAAACCCAUAAAAAAAAUAUUUUAUGUUGUGUUUCUCCCAGUACCCAUUAAUUAAAUUUUAAAUUUAUGAUUAUCCUUUAAACAUCCCUCUUAAUUUCAAAAAUAGCCCUUUAUUCUUUUCCACCAUAAUGGUGUUUUAAGCGAUACAUAAAAUGUUUUUCUACCAUAACUUUGAAUUUCAAAAACUUGCUUUAGUGUUGGUUAAAAAUAGUUCUUUUUCAGGAUUAAUUAAAGUUUCUUAUCAUAAACUCAUUGUAAUUUUUUCUUAGUUGACGAAACUUUACAAAACUGAAUUUGUGUCCCUAGCAAUGCCACUUUGAAGCUUUUACAAAAUUAAUUGUGAUGUCACUGAUGUGUCUAUUAUUUUCAACUACAAUCAAGCCAUAAAACCUUGUCAAUCUUGUAAUAUGUUGGGGUUGGGGAUUUGGCGAGGGUAUUGUAAUUAAAAACUUCAAUUACAUUAAAAGAUUUAGGAAUAAUGUUUUAAUUAUAGAUUCAUAGUGGAAAUCCUUUUUUGGGAUCCUUUUAUUAAGCUGUAGUCACAGUCAAAUAAUCAUUUGGCUUUAAGUUUUUGAUAUAUAUAUAUAUAUAUAUAUAUAUACAUGCACACAUAUACAUACAUACAUAUGUAUGUAUAUAUAUUCAACAGAGAAGAUUGAAACUAUAUGUAACACAUUGGACUGAACUUGCCCAUGAGCUAUCUGAUCUAAAAUUAUUGAUGAACUAGACAUAGGGGUUCACCUUGUAUGGAAAAUAGAAUCUAGAUAGUUUAAUGCUAUAUUUAAUAUUGGCGUAACAAUUGGUCACUGUUAGAUUGCAUUAGAUAUAAGAUAUCCAACAAGCGACAGCUGAGGAUGCAUAAGGGAUUCUACCCAGUGUUGUCGCAACAGUUUCUCAAUUAGAAAGACAGUAAACACCAUUAAGUCACAUUGCUUUUAUCCCUCUGUCUGAAGUGAUAAUUUUCUUUACUACAUUUUUUAUUUAUUGUAUUUUUAUUUUAAUUAGUUUAUUAGUAUUAUUAGUCGAUUUAUUUCCAAUUAAAACAAAACUGCGUUGUUAAGAUUGUUAUAGCAAAUAUGAUGACAUAAAUCCCUAUGGAGACAAUCUGGAUACUCAUCAGUAUAUUACUUAUUGUGUACACUUGCACAUUGACAUCCAUAGCAUUAAAGAUUUUACACACCACAUAUUUACAAAUUAAAGAAGGCUUUGUAUAGUUUAAAAUAAGCACUUAGAGCUUAGCUUGCUAGAUUCAAGUAUGUAAGGCUUUCUCAGUGGCAUUUUCAGCACUCCAAGUCUGAUAACUCUCUUUUCCUCAAAUGGGAUAGAGGUCUUUUGGUUCUAGUUUUGGCAUAUGUUUAUGACAUGAUCAUCACUAGCUCCAGCUCUUUUAUAGUUCAACAGGUUAUUCAAGAAAUGCGUUACACAUUUGCUUUAAAAGACUUGGCAAAGAUCCAUUAUUUUCUAGGCAUUGAAGUCAUAAAGACUCAAAAUAUAGUUCAUUUAUCUCAAGCCAAAUAUAUUGUCGACAUUUUAGAAAAACAUGGACAUGGCUAGUUGUAGUCCAAUGCCUAUACCUAUGUGAACUGGUCAUAUCUUAAAGACUUAGGUGAUGAAAUUGAUAAUGCAUCUUAGUGUAAAAGUGUUAUUAGAGCUUUGUAAUAUGCCACUCUCACAACGCGAGAGCUAGCCUUCUCAAUUAACAAAUUAAGCCUAUUUUUCUUAUGUCCAAGGACUCAUCAUUAGGAAGCAUGAAUAAGACUCUUGAUAUACUUGAAGGGUACUUUACAUUUUGGAUUGCAUUUCUAUAGUUGUCGUGCUAUGCAGUUAAACUAUUUUGUAUAAUAUUAUUGGGCUUGUGAUAGAGACGAUAAGGAUUUGCAAUAUAUCCAGGUCCCAACUUGGUUUUAUAGUUAUCUAAGAACCAAUCAGUGGUCUUUCGAUCAAGAACAAAGGCUGAGUAUAUAGCUUUAACUCAUUCAACCUAGCACCAUGCCUAUAAUCUGAAUCAAGAAGCAACUGCUUUGGCGUAUAACCCCAUUUAUCAUGCUAAAACCAAACACAUUGAGCUGGACAUACAUUUCAUUAGAGACAAAGUUGUAGCCAAGCAAAUUCAAGUUUGUUUUAUACUAAGUGCAGACCAAACAACUAAUUUGUUAACCAAAGCACAUACUUUUAAACGGCUCCAUUACUUGCGUAGCAAGUUGAAUGUUCAUUCUAGACAUUUUAACUUGAGGGAGGUUGCAAGUGAAUCAGAUUUUACUUGAAUGCAGAGCAUAUGGUGCAGCCAACAGCAGCAGAUCAACUACUAAGCUAAUGUAGCAGAAUUAGCUAUUUGGUUUAACUUGUAUUAAGCAAAGCUCACGUGAGCAUAACAGAAUAAAAAGCAUUUAUAACGGAAUUAGAAGCAUGUAGAAUUCAACACUAUAAAUAUGUAAUGUGCUUUCAUUUCAAUUAAUUAAUUAGAAUCUUCUACAAGUUUCUUCAAAAUAUUCUCUCUCGUUUUCUAGUAUUUCUUGCUACUUUCUUACUUGCCAAACAUCUUCCAAUAUUCUAAUAUUGUACAAGUCAAAAUGUCAAACCAGUGCAUGGCUUGAGCAUUAAUUGUUGACACGACUCAAAAGUAUAUUACUCCCAAGUAUAAGAUUAUCUAGUUAUAAUAUAACCCGGUAAAUCCGGGAUCAAAUCACAGAGAAUUUAAAAUCUAGUUGUCAAUUUAUUGGACAAAGAAAAUUAAUUGUGGUAAAAGAAAUCACUAGAAAAAAAAUUAAAAAUAUGCUAAGGUUACGAGAUCCACUCUUAAUAUUCAAACUAUAAUUUUAAUACUUUCUCAUUUAUAUAUUUUUCUCACUUUUACCAGUUAAUUAUAUCAUUUAAUUCUAUAUGUGUGGAUAAAUAUGGAAUAAAGUACCUAAUGUGCCACAACUGUAUUAAUGUAUCGACAUUAUGUCAAAAUACCAUAUAAAUCCAAAAGAAUGUAUAAAUUAACAUGACAUAAAAAUAACCAGAAAAGAAUAAAAUAAACUUAAAAACUCACUUUGAGAAAGUAAUAAAUUUAAUAGUUUGAAACUUUGAGCUUUACCAUUCACCUUAGCUUAGUAAAAUUAGCCACUCAUAUUGAAAGAAAACACAACAUUCUUUUUAUUUGAUAAACUUUUAAAAUAUGUUAUAAAGAAAAUUGAUACAGAUGGAAACAAGAAAAGAAAAGUAAGAAAGAAAGAAAUUCUUCAGCUGCACCCUUGGCUACCACUCUCUCUCUCAGCUCUUGGCUCAACUCCCCCCUAAAUUGCUUGCAUCCCCUUGCCUUUUAUAGGUAAGGGAAGCAUCUUCUUUUCUUUUCUUUUAUUAAUAUUAAUAUUUUAUUUUAUUUUUAUAUUAUAUAUACAUAUUGAAAGGGGUGAUGGCCAGGAGGCGUGAUGGCCUCUUGACCAUCACAAGCAACCAAAUCAUAGUUGCCUUUUGUUCUUUUGUUCUUUUUAUUAUUAUUAUUUAUUACAUCUCCUUAAUGAUGCAUUCUAAAUUGCUCCAACAAUCCUUCUUUGUUCCCGCUUUCGAUUCCAAUUCCAUCUUUAUUCCUGAAAAAUAUUUACAAGAUAAAAAUUAACGUAUUACAAAUUAAUUUUACAUAAAAAUAUAUUUGGGGAGUAUUAAGAUAAUUUAUAAGUAAUGAGCACAUUAAUCGACAUAAUAAGUGAAAAACUAAUAAUUUUAUCGUUAUUAAAUGUACACUUUUUAAUGCCAAUCAAUUGUCGCUUAGAUCAAAGGUUGAUUGUGCCGCCAUGUUUUAUUCAAGCUUAAAAAUGGACAUAGGACAUUGCUGGUGUAGUGAACUGUAUCGAUUGUUGGUGGCUUUGUCGCAAAUUCUAAUUGUUUUGGGCUUGUAUUCGUGCCUGUGACAUUUUUCAAGAUCCUAGGUCUGAAAAUUUAUGGAAUGACUUAAAAAUGUUUGAUUUACUCUCAAGUAUAAGAGUACCUAGUUAUAAUAUAUCUCGGUGAGUCCGAGGUCGAUCCACAGAGAAAAGAUUUAAUUUGUUUAUUUUAUUUUAUCUAAAAUUUGAAAAUAAAACUUAAAUAUAAACAACUUAAUUUAAAUAAAACUAUGAAAUUGAAUUAGUUAGGGUUGUGGAUUCACUCUUAGUUGUAAAUAAAACUUAAUAAAUUCUUUUUGCCAUUUUUUUAGAUUUAUUGCCCAAAAGAUUCAUUAUAUAAAUUAUUAUUAUUUUCCCUUUAAUUUUAUAAUGGAUUAAGUAUUCAUUGUGCCAAAAUUUAAUUUGUCUACAAUAAGUCAAAAUACCAUUUUACCAUACCUUAUAUUAAGAUAAAAAGAAUUUAUUGUGCCAAACUCCCUUGUUUGUCUACAAUAAAUCAAAAUUUCAUAAUAUAAAAUACGUAUAAAAUUAAAUAGAAAAUAACUUAAUUUAUAAAAUUAAAAAUAGAAUUUGAUUAAAUCAUAUUUAUUUCCUAAGAGUUUCACCUUCCCCUAACUAUUAAUAUUUAGCUAAACAUUUUUUUAAUAAAGGAAAUUACUAAAAUUGAAAGACACAUAAUUAAAAAUGGAAUUUGAAAAUUGAAAUAAAACUAAUUUUAUUGAUUGAAAAUAAAUUACAAAGAGAGAUGAAAAGAAGAAUUUGGGGGGAAAGAAGAGAAGAGAAGGUGUGGAGAGGUGUGUUCACCCCCCUCUAUUUAUACUAAUACAUGGUAAAUUCUCACCACACAAAUAAAAAAUCUAAUUACAUCUUAACCUUACAUUUGUCCCACUAAUAAUCCCACUAAUGAAACAUAAACCUAACUUAUCCACUCAAGCAUAUCCAAUACAUUUCACUAACAAUUACCAUACCUAACAUGAUAAAAACUUAUAAUUUUACAAUUGCCACAUUUACCUUGGUAAAAACGUAAAAAUUUACAACAAAAGUCUUGGAUCCUCCUCGACAAUGACGUAAUUUCUCGGACUUCCGGAAUCCAAAUUUGACAUCCAUACAUUUGUUCGGAGCCUCAAAUUGCAUGAAAUUAUUAUUUUUACCUAAUAAACAUAAAAUACAUAAAAUCAAAUAUUUAGAAAAAUAAUUAGAAAUUCACAAUAUGUUGCACAAUUACAAAUAUAAAUUACAUUAAUAAAACAAUAUAACAUUUUUACCCUUAAUAAACAUGCAAUUUUUAACACUAAUCACACCCCCCCAACUAGCUUAUUGCUAGCCCCUAGCAAUUAAAGCGUUAUAUUAAAUUAAGAUUUACAAAAUUCACAUGCAAGUUAAUAGUUGUUCAUCUAUCCUCUAAAUUACCAAAUAAAUAAACUCUCCCAAAUUUUUUUUAACUCUUGGUCGUCCACUCAUUAUCCAGAAUAUCAUAAACCUUAUUUCCUGCUCAAGUAAUUAACACAAUACUUAUGGGGUUUCAUUAAAAGAAAACAACAUUUUCGUUCUAAAACUCAUUAGAAAUUCUAUCUUUAGGCGGUAGAUUAUUCAAGCUUUUUUUUUAAAUUGCAUUUUUAACCCAUGUAGCGAGCUUUAGGUCAGUGACUCCCAGACCAGUUGACCUUAGGACAAUCCAUAAUUAGGCCACCUUUCUUUGACUUUAAUGAUUACCCAUAUUGAAAAACUAGGAGAAUUUAUUUGUAAGCUUUAGGUUAUAAAAUUUGGCAUGGUUCAUUCAUGUCUAUGACUAAAAAUAAAGUGGGAGAUGAUAUUAAAAAACCUUCAAGUCAAUGAAGUGAGUUAGAAAAGAAAAAGAUAUCUUUAAACUCUAAGGCAGUGAAUGCUUUGUUUUAUACUCUUGAUAAGAAAGAUUUUCUUAGAGUGUCUAGUUGUGAGAGUGCUCAAGAAAUAUGAAACAAACUUGAAGUUGUCUAUGAAGGGACAAAUCAAGUUAAAGAGUCUAAGAUUAGUAAAUAUACUCGACAAUAUGAAUUGUUCUAAAUGGAACAAAAUGAGAGCGUGUAUUCUAUUUAUACUAGGUUUACAUAUAUUGUGAACACAUUAGAAGCCCUAGGAAAAAUAUUUUCGAAUAGCAAAAAAGUUAAGAAAAUUAUUAGGUCUUUACCAAUGGAAUGGAGACCUAAGAGAACUGCCAUAGAGGAAGCUAAAGAUUUAAACACUUUGCGUAUUGAUGAUUUAAUUGGUUUUCCUAUUUCAUAUGAGGAGGAUUUGACAGCAGAAAACAACAAUAAGGAAAAAAAAAAAGCAUUGCACUUAAAGCAUCAAAGCAUGCGAGUGAUGAGGAAAGCGAGCUUGAUGAUGAAGAUAUGGCUAUAUUGUCCAAGAGGUUUAAAAAAUUCUUCAAGAAAGCCGAUGAGCGGAAAAGAUUCAGAAACUACAAGAACCAAAAGGAGAAGAAGGAGCUAAUUACUUGUUAUGAGUGCAAGAAUCCUGGACACAUAUGAUUGGAAUGUCCUCUUCUCAAAAAGCUUAAGAAGAAGGCAAUAAUAGCCAUAUGGGAUGUUAGUGAUAAGGAAACAAGUGAGGAUAAAGAGCAACAAGAGAUGUAAAAUCUAGCUCUCAUGGAAAUUGGGAUGAAUCGUUUGAUGAACUUGAUGAAGUAAGUGAUCUACCUAUGAUUAAUUAUAUAAUGCUUUUAAGGAAUUGCAUGAUGCAUGCCUUAAAAGGAAAAUGCUAGAACUUUCAAAUGAAAAGGGUGUCUUGCAAAAUGCAAUGAUUCAUUGAAUAAAAAGAUCAAGGGAUUGGAAUUAGAUAAUGAAAUGUUGUAUGAUAUGAUUACAUCAUUUAAAUGUAAAUAAAGUACUUCAUGUGAGCAUGAAAAAUCACAUGUUGAUAAAUUGAUAAAAGAAAAUGAAGUGCUUAAGAAAAAGAGUAAUGAACUCAACAAAAUUGUGUUAAAAUUCACAAGUGGUCAAAAGAAUUUAGAAAAAUUACUGAACUCUAAAAAAUGUGUAUUUGAUAAAGGAGGACUUGGGUAUAAGCCUAGCUUGACUUGAAGCAAAAGUAUUAUAGGAAUUACUUUGUUAAAGCUACCUCCACUAGUGAUCAUAAAAUUAAUUGUCAUUAUUGCAAUCAAAAUGGUCAUAUGAAAUAUAGAUGUCUAAUGAAAAGAAAUGCAUUCAAUGGAGUCAAAUGUGUAGCUCCAAAAGGAACUAUUGCUAACACUCAAGGACCCAAAGAAAUUUGGGUACCUAAGACUUGAAAUUUCCUUUGCAUGGUUUGAAGAAGAAAAAGAAUAAACGGCACCUGGACAGUGGUUGCUCAAGGCAUAUGACUGAAAAUUAUUCUUGGUUUUCAAGUUUUACCAAGAUUGAAAACAGUAGAGAUGUGUCAUUUGGAGAUAAUUCAAAAGGAAAGAUUAUCAGUAUCGGUAAUAUUAGUAAAAAAUCCUCUACUCUUAUUGAAAAUGUGUGUUUGGUUGAAAACUUGAAAUACAACUUACUUAGCAUUAGUCAAUUGUGUGAUAAUAGAGUUAUCUUUGAUAAAUCGAAAUGUGUUAUUGAGAAUGCAUAUGAUGGCAAGAUUUUGUUUGUAGAAAAUAGAUGUGUUAAUGUUUAUAUCAUUAAUAUAGAUUGUGUAUCUACUAAUGAUAAAUGUUUCUCUGCAUUACAUGAUUAUGGUUGGUUAUGGUAUAGAAGACUAGGUCAUGCAAGUAUGGAUUUGAUUUCAAAGAUUUCAAAAAAUGAUUUGGUUAAUGGCCUUCCAAAAAUUAGUUUUCAAAAAGAUAGAAUUUGUGAAGUUUGCCAAUUUGAAAAAUAAAUCAAAACUUCUUUAAAAAAAAGAACCAUGUCUCAACUUCAAAACCACUUCAACUACUUCACAUGGAUUUGUUUGGACCUUCUAGAUAUGUAGUUUAAGUGGCAAAUAUAUGCAUUUGUGAUUGUGAAUGAGUAUUCUAGAUACACAUGAGUAUUGUUCUUUGCUAAUAAGAAUGAUGCCUUGGAUGCAUUUAGAAUUUUCUAUAAAAAGGUUCAAAAUGAAAAGGGAUGUGCGAUUUCUUGUAUUAGAAGUGAUCAUGUGGAGAAUUUGAAAAUCAUGUAUUUGAGAAUUUUUGUAACGAUUUUGGCAUUGAGUAUCAAUUUCAUCACCUAGCACUCUACAACAAAAUAGAGUUGUUGAGAGAAAGAAUAGGCCUAUCCAAGAAAUAGCUAGGACCAUGUUGAAUGAAAAUAGUUUACUUAAGUAUCUUUGGGUCAAAAACGUCAACAUUGUUUGUUAUGUUUUAAAUCAUAUGUUUAUUAGACCUUAUCUCAAUAAGACUCCCUAUGAGCUUUGGAAAGAUAAAAAACCCAACAUUGGUUAUUUCAAAAUUUUUGGAUGCAAAUGUUUUAUUUUGAACGCAAAAGAUAAUCUUGGCAAAUUUGAUCUAAAAUCUUAUAUUGAUAUUUUUCUUGGUUAUUCAAAUACAAGCAAAACUUAUAGAGUGUAUAAUAAAAGAACUUUGGUUGUGGAAGAAUCUAUGCAUGCUAUAUUUGAUGAGUCUAAUCCCUCUAUGGAGAGAGUUGUUGUCGAUAAUGAUAUAGAUGAACAGUCACAACAAGGAUUAGCAAAAGAUAAACAAGAUGAUGCAUCACAUGAAAAUAAAGAGGAUAGACAAUGAGAAUAAAUAAAUGAGGAGCAACAAGAAGGUAUGUCUCAAACACUCCCCAAGGAGUGGAGGUAUGUUUCUCCUCAUCCUAAGGAUUUAAUUUUAGGUGAUCCUUCAAGAGAUGUUACCACUAGAUUAUCAUUUAGAAAUACUUGUGAGCACGCUGCAUUCAUAUCUCAAAUUGAACCAAAUUCUUUGCGGAUGCGAAAAAUGAUGAAUCUUGGAUCAUGGCAAUACAAGAGGAGUUGAAUCAAUUUGAGAGAAACAGUGUGUGGAAAUUAGUUUCUAAAUCGGAACAUCAAUCUAUUAGGCACUAAAUGGGUAUUUAGAAAUAAAUUGAAUAAAUCCAGUGUGGUUGUAAGGAAUAAAGAUAGAUUAGUGGCUCAAAGAUACAACCAAGAAGAAGGAAUUGAUUUUGAUGAAACAUUUGCACUUGUAGCUAGAUUAGAAUCCAUUAGGAUGUUGUUAGCAUUUGUAUGUCAUAAAGAUUUCAUUUUUAAUCAAAUAGAUGUCAAAAAUACUUUCUUAAAUGGUUAUAUUAUGGAGGAACUUUAUAAGUUUUCUAAAGCACUGUAUGGAUUUAAAACAAGCACCUAGAGCAUCGUAUGACAAGCUUAAAAAUUUCUUGCUGGAUAAUGAGUUUUCAAUGGGAAAAGCAGAUACUACUCUCUUUGUUAAGCAUAAGAACCAAGAUAUACUUGUUGUUCAAAUUUAUGUUGAUGAUAUUAUCUUUGGUUCUACUAAUGAGUUUUUGUGCAAGGAGUUUUCAUCUUGUAUGAUGGGAGAAUUAAAGUAUUUCCUUGGACUUCAAAUCAAACAAAACAAUGAGGGAAUCUUCAUCAACCAAGCUAAAUAUGUCAAAGAUCUACUCAAAAGAUUUGACAUUGAUGACUCAAAUCCAAGAGACCUCCAAUGAGCACAACAAUCAAGCUUGACAAAGAUGAAAAAGAUAAUAAGAUUGAUAUAAAAAUGUAUCGAGGUAUAAUCAGCUCUUUACUUUACUUAGCCGCAAGUAGACCUGAUAUCAUGUUUAGCGUAUGUUUGUGUGCAAGAUUUCAAUCAUGUCCCAAGGAAUCUCAUUUGCUUGCUAUGAAAAGAAUUUUUCGUUAUUUGAAUAGAACUAUAGAUCUUGGCCUUUGUUAUCCUAGAGGAACCUAUAUAGAUUUAACUUAUUAUUCGGAUGUCAAUUUUGCCGGUUAUAAAAUCGAUAGGAAAAGCAUUAGUGGAACAUGUCAUUUCUUGGGUCAUUCUCUUAUUUCAUGGUUUAGUAAGAAACAAAAUUCGGUUUCACUCUCAACCACCGAGGCAGAAUAUAUUGCCGCAGGUAGUUGUUGUCCACAAACUCUUUGGAUGAAACAAACACUUAGAGAUUAUGAAUCUUGAACAAAUUCUUAUCAUGUAUAAUAAUAUUAGUGCUAUAAAUCUAUUAAAGAAUCCCAUUUAGCACUCUAGAACCAAGCAUAUAGAGAUUAGACAUCAUUUCUUGAGAGAUUAUGUUCAAAAGGGCGACAUUGCAUUAGAAUUUAUCUAUACAGGAAAAAAAAAACUUGCCUCUAUUUUUACAAAACCUCUUUGCGAAAAAUAAUUUUCAAAAAUUUGGCAUGAACUUGGGAUAAUGAAAUUUUCGCAUUAACAUCUCUAAUCAUGUUAUUGAAUCUAUUAAAAUUGAUUGAUUGAUGAUUUGUUUAUGAUUACAAAGUUUUUAAGCAUGAUAAAUGAGUGAUGUAUUUGAAUCAAUAAUCUUUGAAUGCUUACAUCUCUCAUGAUUGUGUGAUGUAUAUGUAUGAUAAAUGUGUUAUAUAUUUAAAUUUAUAAUCUUUGAAUAUUUAUAAUUAUGAUUCAUGCAUUAAAAUGGCUUUUGAAAGUGUUCGGGAUCACGAAAUGGUUUUUGAAUCGAUCAAAAUUAGCUGGAAAGCAAACAUUUGUGCAAAAGGGCAGCAAAGAGAUAGUUACCCGCCUGCCCCAAACUCGAGAACAAGCGGCUAGCCAUUUGCCUCUAAGCGACUAGCCGCUUGGUCACGGUUUUUAUACAUUUCUUCCCCCUUUCUCUUGCUUUCUUCAACCUUUCUCUACUCUCUUUCAUGGCCGUUCAUCUCUCCUCCAUUUCCUCUUAAAUUAUUUUCAUUUCUCAGUCAUUUUCAUGCCAAAAUCAAUCUUUUUAACCAUUACCCAUGCAUUUAACCUUCAUUAAACACGUCCCAAUCAUCAUUUCAUCACUUGUUUCUCCAAAUCUAAAAAUCAAAACCUAAGCUUACCUAUAUCUCUCUCUCUUCUAUUUUAAGCUCUUUUUAGCUCUUUUUUUUUUUUAUCCAAUUAAUACCAUACAUUGCCUUAAAUCAUCUCUAGGAUCAAUUUUAUUGAUUCAAAUACAUUCAUUUCACUCAAAAUCUUGAAAAUUCGAAUUUAGAUAUUAAAGCUUGUUCUUGUUUUCAACAAUAGUUAGUAGCCAAAAAUCCAAGGGAAAGCAUAUAGCCAAGAAGUGCAAGGAAGAUCAUGGAGACAAUCUGGAGUUCAUAUUAACCCAUUUUCUGCAACCACCUUUUCAGAAAUGUUUUCACGAUAAAUUUAUGUCGAGGUUGGUUAUUGCCCCCUAUUUUGUCAAUCUUCGUCAUUCGGAGAAUUUAGCAAUUUUUGAUAAAUCUCUUAGUGAUUUUCUUAUUGACAUGGGUUAGAAAAAUGUUUUAGAUUUCAAGGAACGAUGUUAUGAAAUUUAGUUAAAGUUUUUUAUUCGAAUAUGGUUAUUUCUUUGCAAACUAUAAAUAGAAUUGUUACAAGUGUUGGGGGAAUACAUAUUGAGUUUGAUGUUGUGGAUUUAAAUCAUAUUCUUAGAACUCCAAAUGAAAGGUUGGAACAUUCUACUACUAAAAGCAAAAGAGAUUAUUUGUGGUAUUCAGUUGAGGAUAUUGUUCGAAAAAUUUGUAGAUGUUUCGAUUUGUCCUUUAAGUUUUGUAAAUCUACCUUGAAAUCUCAAGCCUUACCCCUUCAACUUAGGAUCCUUCAUUAUGUUCUUUAACAUGUCAUUAGUCUUAGGCCUGGACAUGGGGAUGAAGUUACCCGAUUAGAUGUGGCCUUAUUGGAUAGUAUUCUAAAGGGUAGGGUGCUAAAUGUCAGUUAUAUUAUUCUUCAUCAUAUACUUAGCACUCCAUGUAUAGCAAAACGAUCCCUUCCUCAUGGAAGCAUUUUUACCUACAUUCUCAAACAAUUUUGGGUACCCAUAAUUGAACCAACAUUUUUUAAUCCUAAGGAAUUAAGAGAUGAAGCUAUAGCCAAUUUAGGGUUUAUAUGGACGGAAGAUAAAUGGUGUAAAAACCAGAGAUACAAAAACAAGGGUACUACAUUAGCUCCUAUAGAUCAUCGUUUCUUUAACGAUGUUCUUCCACCAAACCAGCUCCUUGAUCUCAAUGCUCCACAGCGCUCACAUCCUUUGUCUUCUGAGGGUCCUUCAUAUUCUACUUCAGCAGACCUUGAGGAUCCAAUACAGUAGCUAUUGACUGAAGUGCAUUCUCUUUUUGAGCCGCAGAGCCAAUUUCAGUCCCAGUUUGAGGCCUUUCAAAUUCAGUCCACUUCGGAGCAACAACGCCUGUUUAAGCAGUAACAGCGUUUAUUUAAUCAAUGACAUCGACUCUUUGCUCAACAACAGUAGCUUCUUGAUGGUCAACAACAACUUUUCGCUGCUCUUAGGUUUCCACCACCAUCCUCAUUAUCACAUUCACCAUCUUCAUAGUGUUCUAUUCUUUUUCAUCUUGAUUUCAGUUCUUUGUUUUAUUCUGCACUACAUUUUCAUAAGCAUUGUUGUUUUACUUAUGGAUUAAAGAUGAUUGUUGUUUGAUAUUUAAAUGUUUUACAUUUGGAUGAUAUUUUAUGGAUUCUUGGAUAACUCUUUGGUUACUUGCAUGCUUGAUUUUUAUAUGUUUCUUGAUUAUCUAUUGAGAUGUUAUUUUUGGUCUGAGCAUGGAGUUAUAGUAAUUGUGACGAUGAAGAGGGAGAAGUCAUGUAUUUUGAUCUUGAAAUAUUGAUGCAUGAUUUUGAAAUAUUUAGGGGGAGCAUACAUUUGUUAAAGAUCAUGUAUUCAGGGAGAGUUCAUAGUUCAUUUAUAUGUUGAAUUAUGUAUGCCAUAUAUUAAGGGGGAGUAUAAAUGUCAAAAUACAUGAAAUGUUUGUCAUCAUCAAAAAAAGAAAGAUUGUUAGCCUAAAGGGUUACAUAUAUUGUAAUUUUGAUGAUAAAAAACAUAUGUCUUAAGUAAUAUGAUAAAUAUUGUAUUUCACAUUUUCACUAGUUCUUGAAGUAUAAUAUUUAGGCAAGUGAAUCACGUGAAAUCAGGCUCAAGGCACUCAACGUACAAUAGCUCGAUCAAGAACAAAAUUUAGUUCAACGGAGUCAUUAUUGCGACAAAUUAUUGUAAAGCUAAUAUGAUUUAAUGUAUGCAGGGUUUAGCAUUUAAAAAGCUCAAGAAGUUGUGGGUAAAAAUAUAAUUUUUAAAAUAAUAUUAUUGUAGCAAAAUUCAAAUUGCAACGGUAACUUGCAUUGUAUUAAGUGGUGAGCCGGCUAGUUAAGAGGCUAAUCGCUUGCUUGCAGGUUUUGUCCAUAAUGGCUGGUUUUUGUAUCAAAACUAUAUAAAAUCAAAUCCAGUUCAUUUUUAAAGACUUUUACAAGUAUAAACAAGUGUAAACAACAUAUUUUAAGCUUCUAAUUCGCAAAUCAUCAUAGAUUAAAUAUUCAUUGAGUUAUUAUUAAGAGGUUAAUAUCGUAGAGGUUACCGGGCGAAGCCAAAUUGAACUUGGAGAAUCUUAGUAAGUGUUCAAUUUUGACCAGAAUUUUUCAUUUUCAAUCUUUAAUUUUCAAAGAUUAACCAUUAUGGACUUGCUUUUUUUUGUUUGUGCUUCAAUAAGCUAGUCUUCUUUCACAUUGCUUAAUUACAAAAUUUUACUAUUAAUACAUCAAUUUAUUAAUUUUUUAUUAUUUUACUUAUUUUACUUUAUAUUUACAAGUCUUAUACUCCAUUUUUAAAUUUUAAAUUUUAUUUUACAAAUAACGUUGAUUUAUAAAUUUUAUAUUAAAUUCACAAAUUUUCUGUUUGAUUUACAUAAUCUAAGUUUAAUCACAGUAUUGAUACCAUGGUUUUAGUCACUACUUUAAUUAACAACUAGAUACGGAAAAAAUUAUAUAUUUUCAGGGGCGGACCCAGAGCUUUAUAUUACCCCGGGCUAAAUUAAAAAUUUUAUAUUAUGGAGUGAACAUAAACAUUUAUAAGUAAAAAAAGUACAUCAAAUAAGGGGAUGCAAAAAACCCUAUAAAUAUGUACUUUAAAUAAAAAUAAGUAUACAAAAAGACUAGAAAAUAAAAGAUAAUUCAAAUAUAAAAAUACUAUUUUUUAAUUAUGGAAUAUAACAUUGAAACAUAUAUUAACAUCUAAUUAUAUAAGAAUUAAAAAAUCAAUUAAGAAUUUCAAGUUUGAAUAAAUCAAUACAUGUAAUUAUAAUCAAUUAAAAUAUUGCAAAUAGAACUUUAUGUUUGAAAAGUACUUAAUUACCAAGCUUAAAUAAAUUAAACAAUUAAAAUUUAUUCAUCUUUUUAAAUUAUAAAAAUAUUAGUUGUCAAGAGUUUCAAUAAUAAACUAAACUCUAACCUAGUAAAAAGGUAUUUGUGCGCCAUUAUUUAUUUGCCAGGCACUCUGACUCACUUUUAAAAAUCAGAUCAAAAUACUCAAAUGUUAUUUUCUAACUUAUCCUCUUAGUUAAUGUAACUAAUAAAUAAAAUCUCAACAUUCACAUAAAAAUUUUAUGAAAUUGUUAAUAAUUUUUAUUAUAUAUCUUUUUAGUAUUUUUAAUACUAGUGACAAUGUUAUAUUACAUUGACAUACUUUUUUAAAUUAAAAUUUUAAAAACAAAUUAAAGUAGUAAUAACAUUUUAGACCCCUAAUGUUUUCAUUCUAUUCAAUAAGUAUAUAAUUUAAUCAUUUUAUAAAAUAAGCCACUAAUAAAAAAAUAUAAUUGAAUUAGGGAUAUAUUUAAAAAUAAAGUAAAAACUCUAUUGUUUUAUGAAAUUGGAUGAAAACAUAAAAACAACUGAAUUAGGGACUUAUAUAAAAAUAAAGUAAAAACUCUAUUCUUAUAUAGAAUAAUCUAAAGACAAGGGGUUUAAAUGAUUGUUUCUGGACUAGACCGGGCUACAGCCCGAUCUAGCCCAGCUGUAGGUCCGCCACUGUAUAUUUUAACUAACUCAUUACAUGAAGCUUUUAAUAUAUUAUAUUCUAAAAUAAUUAAAAAAUAUAGGACAAAAAUCCUGACAUUCUUGCUGUUUUUGGAACGUUAUAGUGGCAACUUUUUAUUUUAUUAGUAUAUAAGAGUGAAAAUCAAAUCUCAUCCCUAUCACUAAGUAGUAUACUUCCCAAAAAAAAAAAAAAAAAGAAUUUGACUGUCAUUUAAUUACAUUAAAAAAAAUGUCAUAGAAAGUGUUGUGUCAGUUUUAAUCAGAGGAUGGGAGUGCAUUACGACUAUUGUAUAUAUGUUAUGUUUUCAUGAUGAUGUUGUUUAAAUAUUUAGUGCUUGUUUGGUAUGACUUAUUUAAUAACUAUAAGUGCUUAUUUAAUCUCAUAAGUUCAUAUCAUAAUUUUUAUUGUUGUUUGGUUGUUUUUCUAAUAGAGCUUUUAAAACUUAAAUAAGUUAUUUUACCUCUACUACUAAAAGCUCCAAUUUUGAGCUUUUGAGAGUAGAGGCUGAGAAGUUUUUUUUUUUUUAAAUGUCAAAAUAUCUAAAAUAUCCUCUACUUAUUUAAUAAUUGUAUUUAUUAUUUUUAUAAUAUAACUUUAAAAAACUUGCCUAUUAUAAUAACUUCAUAAAUUUUUAAUAAAAAUUUUUAUUGACAACCAAACAACUAAAUAUUUUUUAGUAAAAACUCGAUUUACAAAAGCUCUAUUAACAAAAACUCUAUUUAAAUAAGCUCUACUUUAAAAGCUGUACUAAACAGAGCCUUAAACCGAUACCUAAUAAUAACACAAAGCAGCUCGAGCCUAGCUCACCCAACUAAUGAAAAAGAAAAUGAUUUAGCCUCCUGCUAUUAGAUAGGUGUAAUGCAUGCAUGUAAUACACACAUUUAUUCAAAAGAAAAUACAUUUAUUUAUUCAAAAGGAAAUACAUUUGUAUGACAGAUGUAUGAGUAAUGCAGUGCCAAAAGUCUUCACUUAAAAGUUGAAGGCAUAUCAUCAAAACACGUGACCCCUAGAGAUAGAAACUUGAACAUUCACAAUGAUCAAUGCAACUUGUCCUUCAUUGUUCCAGAAGAUAGCUAGGCACAUUAAUCCUCCAACAUUUCUCAAUGGAUUUCAAAAUCAUCGACAAUAUAUAGCUUUAUGGUUCCCUUUUUUUUAUUCUAAUAUUGAAAUUAAUUGGUAACUUCACAGAACUGACAAUUUCUUGGCACUCAUUUUGUAGGGAAUUGAGAUUGUAACUUACAAAUUUAAUAGCAUUUUGAAGCCAAGGAAAUCUAGUCUCAAUUAAUAUGACUCUAGCUUCAGGAGAUUAUGUCUCUAGACAAAUACUGAUGAUCAUGAAGUGACGGAUGCAUUCUAGUGAUAUAUUCCUUAAAUCGCUUAUAUAUUAUGAUUUUUUUCAGAUCUAAUGACCCAGUAAUUAUUUUUGAGCACAUAUAACACCUAGAUCAUUAAUAAUGGUGAUCAGCAUUGUUUUAAGAUUUAGAGCAAAUUAUGUGAUAGCCUAGGGACACUUGGCCAAAUGUUUCCUACAGUUAAAACAAGAUGUUUGUUAAAGUAUCUCAAUAAAGAGUAAGAUGGCGGGAAAGCUGUAGUUCAAUAUGCAGAGAUCUUUUGGCAUUUGGAAACAAUAAUCUUGAAGGUUCUAGAUCCUCACCAGGAUGAAAAGGCCAGAAAUUGAUCAACAAAAUGAAGGGUGCAUAAUAUGCAGCAAGUGAAGACAACAGUACACAACGGUCUUAUCAUCAUUGUGCAUAUUCAUCAAUUAGUCUCAGUCAUAAAUCAACAAUUGUAACAGUUGUAAGUAUAGUACAGAGACCUUAUGUAAAAAGCAAGUGAACUCAUGAAUAAAGAUGUGCUGGUUACAUCAAAUUAUUCUGUGCAUUGCUUUCGUAUUAUUCUCUGCACAAAAUAGCCAUCAUUUUAUGUAAUUUAAACUUGGUAUCGGAGCUCUCAUUCCAGAAAUGGGCGUGAUUCAAUAUCGUAGUUCAACUGAGGAGGUUGACCUUAGUGAGCAAACACUUGAAACACCAGCAGUAACACAACAGUCAUCAUCCUUAAUUAUUGGGCAAAACUCCUCUCAAAUUUUCCUUUUCAGUGUCCACAGAACUUGACAGAACUAUGUCAUCUAGAGGACCAAGGUCAUGCCUGCCAUACGUCGCAAUGGUCUGGAGCACCUCAUUAGUGACUCACAAGACAUACCAACCAAAUAUAUCAUCAGUACUGAGGAUGACGGCACAACCAAAUCAAAACUAAGACCAAAUUUUGUGAUGUGUUGCAAACCGGACCAACUACUCCUUAGUUGGCUUCUUUCUACAAUCACAGAAAGUAUUAUUUGUGCUGUGACUCAUUGCACAGCUUCUCAGUUGUUGACAGUGCUGGAGAAAAUUUACUCUUCACAGUCCAUGGCUAGGUCAAUAGUGCUAAGGAUGCAACUGCAUAGCACUAGAAAAGACAAUAUGAUUAUCAGUGAAUACUGCACCAAGAUGAGAAAUCUGGUAACGGAACUUGUUACUGCUAGAAAGAUUGUCUCAAAUGAAGAUCUCUGCAACCACAUUAUCACAGGACUUGACAGAAGCUAUGAGUCUGUGUUGGGGAGCCGGACUUCAAUGCUUUAAAACAUUCCUUUUUGAAGAACUCUGCUCAAUCCUCUACAGCCAUGAAGCAAGACUUGAACAGCAAGCCACUGCUGAAGCACAAGCUGCCUAUGAGGCAAAUGUCACCAUGAAACACAAGUGUGGGAUGAAUGAGAAGAAGGAAGGUCAUGGGAAAGGAUACAAUCCAAACCAAGGACCUGGAAAGUCUCAUGGAGGCAGAGGAAGCAACAAUAACAGCUUAAGAGGAAGGGGCAGAGGUAGAUAUGGAGGAAAGAAAACAGUCUUUAAGCCUGAUGUCACCUGUCAUAUUUUGCUUCAAAGUUGGUUACACUACAGUGAGUGUUGGCACAUACGUGAGGAAGACUUUGUGCCCAGAAACAAUGAGCAACAACACCAAAGAGCGGCCUUUGUUGUAGCUAAUGAAGGAGUGCUUGAAACAGGGUGGAACCUAGACAGUCGUACGACAAACUAUGUGACUAAUGACCUCAACAACUUGAGCAUGAGAUCUGAGUAUAAAGGUAAUUCCUUUCUCAUGGUUUGAAAUGGACACAAAUUAAAAAUAUCACACACUGGCACAAUACUAUUUCCUUUAUCUUUUGGUUAAAAAAGAAGAUACUUGACUCUUAAGAAUGUUUAAUAAUGUUCUAUAUGUACUUGAUAUAACCAAUAAUCUCCUUAGCAUGUCAAGUUUGAUCUCAGAAAACCAUCUUAAUAUCUUGUUUACUGAAAAACAUUGUUGUUGUAAAGGACAAGCUGGGGAGUGCUCUUCUUCAAAGAACGAAUCAUGGAGGACUGUUUGUGGUCAGUAGAACUGCUGAAAAUAAAGCGGGAAGUGUUGCUGUCAAUUCUCUUUUAAGUUCACAGUCUUUUUUUGCAAUUAUAAUAGAGUCAAAUUCAGUUGAGUUUGAUUCUAAGUCGGCAGAGUUUGAAUGUGUUCAGUCUAUUGAGUCAAAUAAAAAUCGAGUUGGAUAUGUGAAGCAAUUAGACCUUUUAGAUAGAAAGUUUGGUCAUCCAAGUGAUGCUGUACUCAAAAUAAUAGUGUCAAGCUGUAAUAAUAUCUCAGCCUUAAAUAAAAAAGAAUCAAGUUCCUUUUGUUCAGCCCAUAUAUAUAGAAAGAACCAUAAGCUAAGCUUCAAAAAAAGCUCACGGACUAAAACGCAAGCAACAUUAGAAUUAUUGCACAAUGAUAUCACCUAUUCCAUUAGGAGAAAGAUACAAAUACUAAGCAUAGUAGAUGACCACACUAGGUACACUUCACUAGGACAUUUCCACUCAUUAACAAAUCUGAAACAACAAAAAUCUUUAAAAAAUUUAAAGAACAAGUGGAAAGAACAUCAGAAAAGAAAACUUAAGUGCUUAAGUGACUGAGAGGUGAAUUUAGGCCAUUAAAGGGUAUGUAGAGAUAUGAGGAAUAGUCUUUAUAUAUUCAUGCCCUUACACUUCAAUGAAGAAUUGAGUGGAACUGUAUAUAUGCCACAACCAGAUGAAUUUGAAAGCAAGGAAAAUUGGAAAAACCAAGCUAUGUCUGUGAUUGGAAAAAGCACUAUAUGGCUUAAAGCAGGCACAAGGAGUAUGGUAUAAGAAGCUGAGAGGAGUUUUGCUGACUUGCGGAUUCAAAAAGCAAUCUCAGACAAAUCGCAGACACAUUAUUAUUUCUCGGGAAGAAUAAGGGAAAGUCAGUAUAUGUACUUAUAUAUGAUGAUGACAUAUUGAUCACAGGAAGUGACCAAAGAACGACUGAAGGCGUUAUCAAACAAUUGAAUGAAAGUUUUGCUUUUAAAUUACCUCGCAUACCCAUCUAUUUUAUGCAAAUUGAAGCAAAAAGAGACUGUGGAGGGAGGCACUCGUGCUAAGAAAAGUAUAUACAGGAUCUACUAAAGAAAACCAAAAUGUUACAGCUAUAAGAAUAGUACGGAGACCUUGUAUGAAAAGCAAGUGAACUCAUGAAUAAAGAUAUGUCGGUUAUAUCAAGUUAUUCUAUGCAUUGCUUUCAAAUUAUUCUCUGCACGAUAGCCAUCAUUUUCAGUAAUUUAAACUCUUACGCUAAUUGGAAAAUGCACUGGCUUGCUUCUGCAGUAAUGUGGUUGUUGGAUUGGACCAUUGAUUUUAAGUGAUGAAGACAAAAUUCAACAAGGAACUCAUACGAGCCACAUGGAAAAAUUCAUUUUUAAUCAUUAUUAAUCACAUAAUAUGAUCCAUGUAGCAAAAAUUAAAUUUAUUAUUAAUAUGAGCCAAGGACUAAUUAUUUCAUACAACAAAGACAACAUUAUGGUAUUUGUUAUUUAGCUUUAUUAUAUGUUGUUCCCUUUCUAUAAAUAAGACUUCGAGCCGUAUUGAAUAAAUAAGGUGAAAGUUAAUUAUCUGCAAUCAUGACAUAUUCCCAAGAUUCAAAAAUCAAUUCAAAUGCCACCUAACAAUAUUUAUUAAAAAUUAAAAAAAUAAAUAUAAAUAGAAACAAAUUAAUGAUUUUCGACUACCCCAAAAUCUAACACAUUUUUUAUCCUGCUGAUAUCUAAAAUCUUGAUUCUCUCAAACUAACAAGAGUUAGAAACAAAACCUAGUCAAAGCAGUGGAUUUAAUUAUACAUUUGUAAAAAUUAUGGCAUCAUCCAUUUUGGAUGCCACAUUAUUUUUAUAUCUAUCGCAAUUUGAUGAGGCAAAGGAAAAAUGAUGACUUUUUUCGAUGAGAAAAAAGAAAGAUGGCUUGUUUUUUAAUGAAGAACAAAAAAAUGACUUCAUUUUAGUGAGGCAAGAGAAUAUUGAUUGCUUCUUUUAUCUUCUUCACUGCUUGUUUCGGUUGCAAUAUUUCAAAUUAGUGCAUGAUUAAAAUUCUGUUUUUUAUAAAAUCACAUCACAGAUGAAGAUAUGUGGAAAGAAAAUUAUCGACGAAGAAGACAUACUUAACAUUUCGUGCUAUAAACAUGAUUCUGCAGCAAUAAUAUAGAGCUCACUAACUUGAUACACAUAAAGUUGGUUUUGAAGCAAAAUGCUAUCACACAGAAUCGUGGUGAAAAUCAUUGACAUGACAAGGUCAUAGUCGUGCUAAAAAUCAUGGUUACAAUUAUGAUUGACGUCAUGAUCUUGAAGAAAUCAUUAUCAACCUUAUAAUGAUAGUAUACAUCUGGAUAUCUUAGAUACAUGAGGCGUAAACAGUUGAUUUAAUUGGUUAUAAAGAUAUCUAUACCUGUUAAGAUUACUAUUAAAUUUUAUUAGCUUUUAUAUUCCUAUCUAUUUUAUUUUUUAUGACGAUGCCUAACAUAUUUUACUCGUGAAAGGAUAUAGAUACUCAAAGGGGAUUGCAUCAUAAAGAAAUGUGUUUAGCUGGCACUAUAACUACACUAACUAUCCUUUGAAAUAAUAAAUAUUUUAUGAGUUUGUAAUCAUUUGAAGCUAAGAUAAGUGCCAUCUUAGGUCCUGUUGAGAUCUAGUUGAAGACUCCAGAACAUUCACGUUCAUAUUACCAAGUUAUAACAAAAUUACAUAUCUAUAAUGCUCUGUAUUCACUAAGAGUAGAAGAAAUCUUUUGAGUUUCAAAUAUAUUCGCAGUAAUGAAUUUCAUAUAGAGAAAAUAAAUGAGAAUAAUACAAAAUGUCUCUAUAUUACUUCUAGUGUCUUAGGUAAAAAUGUAUAUUGGAAAAGCUUUCUACUUUCUGAUCUGACUUAUAUUCAUACAACGAUAAAACUAGUUGGGAGCUACACAAUCAUGAACCAAAGACUUUGUGAUUCAAAAGUUUUUAUAUCUCAGUCACCUAGGCCAUGAUGAGUAGAAUUAUCGAGAAUUCUUAUGGACAUCAUUUAAAGAAUCUAAAGAUUAUUCUCUCCAAUGAGAAUAGUUGCACUACUUGUUCCUAGGGUAAAUUAGCACUUAGACCAUCAGAUUCGAAGAUUGGUCUUGAAUCUCUAUUGUUCCUACAAAUAAUUCAGGCAGAUAUAUGUGGACUUAUUAGCCCAUCUAGUGGUCUAUUUCAUUAUUUUAUGGUCUUGAUUGAUGCAUUUGACAGUAGUCAUAUGUUUAUUUAUUAUUUAUAUACAACAUUGUAUUUACUAGAUUGCUUGCACAAGUUAUUAAGUUACCUGCACAAUUUUAAGAUUAUCUAGACAAUGCUAGUAAGUUUACGUCUAAAGUUAUUGGUGAUACUACAGUUCUUUGGGAUUGAUAUAGAGCACCCAAUAUCACAUAACUUAGAAGGGAUUGGUAGAAUCCUUCAUCAAACUGCUUUAGCUGAUUAUAAGAACUUUAUUGUUUCAUGCUCAAUUACCUAUUUUUUGCAUAUGGACAUACUAUUUUGCAUGCUAUGGUACUAAUACCUAGAGGCAUACUGCCUAUCACCAAUAUUCCUCAUUGCAAUUAGUACAUGGCAUCAACCUAAUAUAUCUCAUUUGUGCACUUUUGGCUAUAUUGUGCAAGUUCUUGCGACACCCCCCUAGUGUACUGAAAUAAGACUUCAACGAUAUUUUGAAUUUUAUGUGCAUUUUGACUAUCUAUUAUCAGAUGUCUUAAACCUAUUACCAAUAAUUUUUUUACCGCAUGCUUUUACGAAUUUCCAUUUUAAUGAGAUAAAAUUUCCUUUGUUGGAGAAAAAAAAAAAGCCACCAUAUGCUGGGAAUGAGCUUUUAUAAUAAGUGACAAAAUUGUCUCCUCUAGAUUACCAUACCACUCAAAGUGAAAAUGAAAUGUGGUGAAUAAUUCUCUUACAAAAAAUUAUAAAUCGCUUGUUAGUUGUAUUUACAAAUGUAUCUAAAGUAAUCAAGUCAUAUGUACUGGCUGCAAAUGUACUUGGCCAAUUAGUUGCUCCUAAUUUUAAUAAAUAAAUAAAACUAUUUGAAUCGUCUAUGGCACGCCUUAAGUAUUGUAGACCCAUUGGCUCAAAGGACAACAUUCUGCUGAAAAGAAAAACAAAAAGUUAGGAUCUGUUAUCAUGAAUGAUCAGGCUCUAAGUGAAAGUGGUCCUUCAAAGCAAAAGGUCCUUGAUGAGAACUAUGUGCCUACAGUAACACUACCUCCUAAAGAGACAAUUACCUUAAAUAUGGCCAAGCACUUGAUGUGGCUUAGAAUGAAGAAAAUACACAAAUUUUGCUCACAAAAAAAGGUGUGGAAUCUUAAAGAAACAAUCAUCGAUGAUAAUUUGCGUUUACAGUAGCCACUGGUUUAAUAAAUGAUGAUAUUGAACUGUAAUCCAUUGAUAUGUAGAUUGAGACAUGAUUGGCCUGCAUAGGAAGAAGCAAUCCAUAUGAAGUUGGCUUCUUUGGCAAAAUGAUUAUUUUUUAAUGUAACCUAAAUACCUACUUGUAUUAAAUCUGUUGGAUAUAAAUAGAUAUUUUUUAAGAAAUGUAACUAAAAGAAUAAGGUCAUUAUAUAUAAAGCACGACUCAUUACACAAGGUUUUUUUACAGAGACUAGGUAUUGACUAUGGGAUACCUAUUUAUUGGUAGUGCAUAUAGUUACAUUCCAAUUCUUCUAUUUGAGAGGCUUGAUACGCAUUUAAUAGAUAAGUGAUAGGUUUUUGUGUGUAUGAAAACUCCUAAAGGAUUCAAAAUGCUUAAAGCAUUGUAGUCACCACAUUGUAGCUUGUAUUCUACAAAGCUAUAGAAAUCUUUAUAUGAAUUGAAACAAUCUUGACAUAUCUGAUAAAGUUUCCUUAGUGACUACAUGAUCAAGGAAAGAUACAUGAAUGAUCUUAUUUGUCUUCGUGUAUCUAUAAACAAGCUAAAAUCUAGAUUUGCUAUUGCAGUAGUCUAUGUUGAUAAUAUGAAUUUGAUUGGAACUCUCAAAAAUGUCCAAAAGCCUACUGAUUAUUUAAAAAAGAGAGUUUAAAAUGAAAAUUUUGGGGAAAACUAGAUACUAUGUAAAGUUAUAGAUCGAGCACAAAUCUAAAAAUAUCUUCAUUUUUUAGUAAAAUUAUUAUGAAAAGAUAUUAAAAUGUUUUAAUAUGGACAAAACUUCUCUAUCAAUUACCCCAAUGGUAGUUUCAUCUCUUGAUCUUAAAAAGAUUCAUUUAAUCCUAAAGAGGAUGAUGACCAAGUGCUUGCUUCUUCAAAUACCAUAAGUUGAAUGCCCGUUGGUGCUUUAAUAUAUUUAGCCCAAUGUACUAUAGCUGUGUUCAAUAACUUGUUAGCAAGGUUUAAAUCUUGAAUUGAGCUAGACGACAUUGGAAUGGUGUUAAACAUCUUUUUCAUGAUCCUCUUGGAAUUAUCAAUUUCAGUUUAUUUUAUUCUAGUAAAUUAACCAAAAAUCUAAGUCUUAUUAGUUUUGCAGAUAUCCUCAUAAAGCUCGUUCUUAGAGGGGUUAUGUUUUUACUUAUAAUAAAUAUUGAUUUCUUAAAAAUAUGUGAAGUUGACUCUUGUACUUGCAUUUUCCAAUCGCUUUGAGAUCCUUGUAUUGCAUGAAGCAAGUAGAGAAUACUUAUGGUUGCGGUCCAUUAUGCAUCAUAUCCAGGAUGCUGAUAAAUUAUCUUCAAGUGCAGACAUCCAAACGGUAAUAUAUGAAAAUAAUGUUUCUUGUAUAGCUCAAUUCAAGAGAGCAUAUAUCAAAGGAGAUUGAACAAGGUUACCUCACCAAAGUUCUUCAAUACUCAUGAGCUCCAACAAAAUAAGACGAUCGAUAUCAAGCAGAUACAUUACACAAAUAAUUUUGCAUAUAUAUUUAUUGAAGCUCUAUGCAUAUCAACAUUUUAGAAAAUAGUAUAUGGCAUCAGAAUGUGCCAUUUAAACAGAAUAUCGAGACGAUCAUUAGUGGAAUGCUCAUCAGGAGAAGAAAAAUUUUACCAAAGAAGAAUUUCAAUAAUUAAAUUGGAUACAUCUGCACUAUUCUCGUUUUUUUCCCUUUGAAUAGAUUUUUCUACAAGAUUUUAGUGGCAAAGGUUUUUAAUUAGAUAAUUUAAACCACAUGCAGCCCACUUUAUGGUUCGCUAAAUUAUAUUUCUUUUGGUUGAGCUUUUUUUCUAUUGAGUUUUUCCAUAACAAAAGUCAAAUACAAUUAUCGUGAAGUGGUGGAUACCAAAGUGGGGGUGUUAUGGAAAUUAGUGAUUUAAAAAACAAUUCAAGAGAUUUGACGGCUAAAGAGCUAAACAAGUCAAUCAAUUCUGGGUAUUAAGAUCACGAUGUGUCCUAAGGCUUGGCUGUGUUUUAAUUAGCUGAUGGAUUCGCUGAAUAGAGAGCACUACUCUUUGUAAUUUGUAUCCGAAGGCUUGGCUGUGUUUUAAUCGGUUGAUGGAUCCUAUAAAUAGGGAGCACUGCUCUUUGUAAUUUGUAUCUGAAAUUGAAAGCGUUAUCAAUUACAAUAAUAUCAUCUUUCUUUAUAUCAUCUAUUUAUCUAUUUAUACGUCUUACCUAUAUUCUCAAUAAUUAUAUUAUAAUUGAUAUUUUUAUUGUUUAUUGUUCACUGAAUAAUUCUUUUUUUAACCUUUGCUUACUAAUGGAAUUCUUUUUUUUUUUUAAUAUUCUCUUUAGCGUAUGAAAUUGAUACAAUUUAUUUUUUUCGAUUUUAGUACUUUUUUCGUUCAACUACUUAGGAAUUGUUUGGUAAUGAGAUGAUGUGGUUUUUAAUAUACAGUUGUUGGGAUACAAGCUAAAUUUGUCAAAGAAAAGCUUAUAGAUUAGGGUAAAUAAUAAGUUUUGUAUUAAUUUUUAUAUUUAACAAUUAUUACAAAAAUUAUGAAAUAAAAAAAAAACCACCAGCUAGGCAGUGGAGCCACAACGUAGUGUGUUUUACCAAACACCCUAAUAACUGAACUUUGGCAACCUCGCUGUUGGAAAUCAGGCCCAAACAGAUCCCUAACUAGGGUGUUUAAAUGUCUACAAUUAAGAUUAGUUUAGAAAAUAAGUUCCUAUUUAGUAUUGAGGGGCUAUCUACAGCUAAUGUCGAACAAAAUUGUAACUAUGAAAUAAAAGUUAAUAAUAUAUAGUAAAUAUAAUUUUUAAACAAUAAUUUUGAUAAAAUUAAUAAAGGCAUAAUAUUUUUUUUUAUCUUAUAUGUAUAAAAUCAAAUAAACUUAACUUCUAAACUACAACAACUAAUAUUUAUCAAACACUUUAAUGUUGUAUCUUAAAAUCUAUAACUAUCCAACCUCAAUUUUAAAUAGGGCCCAAGUAUGGGUAAUGCGUGGGAUUUAGCAUCUCACAACUUACCUAGCAUGUUAUUAGUGAAAUUACAUUUACAAUAUUUUUAGCCCACUUACGUAGAUGGAUCAACUGGCUGUUAACAUGUUCUCCACCAUGGUCAUCAGAGUUCAAGAAAAGGAUUUAUACUGUUUAGUAGGUGAAGUUUCACAUUUCCAUCCAAAUAAUUUAUUAAAAAAAUAAAUCAAGAGUAUUCAUUGUGAAAAAGAAGUUUUUGUCCAAACAUUAAAAGGAUCUUCCAAAUUAAUGUAAAACAUAGAGCACAAACGAGUUAAUACUCAUUUAUAUAUCAAGUUAAACGGGUUAAUUUUGUGUUAAUUGUGUUAUAGAUAGGCAAGAGUAAGAGACACAAACAAGAUCAAAAGGAUUAUCUUAGAUGGAAAAUUCUAUAGUACUGUAACAAAAAUUACGGUAUUAAUGCCGUAGUUAUUUUAUACUGUUGGAUGAGAUCAACGGUGUACAAUAAUUAAAAUAUAAUAAAAAAUGUAAAUUUUUUUUCUUUAACCGGUUUACAGCCGGUUAUUUAUUUAUAAAAAAAUAAAUUUAACUGGCUAAAACAGUGGCGAAAAAGAAGUGGUUUUUGUUUGCCUCCAAUACUCUUUUCCUACUGAUAAUUGCUUUGGAAGUUGCUCGAAGCAAAAACCGAGGCAAAAACAAGCGAAAAAGAAGAAGCCCUACAACGACGUCGUUGAGGAGAACCGAGCUGAGUUCUUGAUCGUGAAGCGGUUUUGAGUCGACGAUAACGACCCGAAGUUGGCGAUUGAUACCGUAAUCGGCGCCAGCGAUUAAUAACCAUAUAAUCCUCUGCUGCCCUUAAUCUUGUUGAGGGGAAGAGAACCAUGGCAAAUUACUAAUAAAAAUAAGGCAAGUUGCAGGCCACUGAUUCUCCUCUACCACAUUUGCAUUGUCGUUAAUUUCAACAUGUGUUUUUUUUUUUUACAAUUUAUUUGACCAAGACACACAAAUAUAUAUAGAGGAGAGAGCAUGCACUAGACUUUGAUAUGAUUUUUUCUUGUUAUUACAAGUAUUACUUGAAUACAAGUAAUAUGUCCUGUUCUGAAAACACAUAUUGUCGAAUUAUGUAAUGUUCAUUUGGUUUGUAUCUUAUAAUUUCUCUAGUUUAUUCAAUCUGAUUUGCUGACACUUAUGCCCAAUAGCCGUAGUUUCCUUUUUUACAAAUCCACUUAGAAAAAUUUCUUUGUUAGUGGUUCUAUUUUUAUUUAUUUAUUUUUGAGUGAUUUGCCAAUGAGUUAAAUUUGUGCUUGGAUCCUACAUAUUGGUAGUUAACGUUGAUGCUUUGUUGGAAUUUCUAAUAGAGUGAGUAAAUUUUGUUGAAAUUUCUAAGUAGAGUCUUCAAGUUAUUUGUUGAAAUGCCCGAGAGAAAUAAUGUGUUUGUAUAUGUUCUAUUAUUCAAAUAUGAGGUAUGAAAAUGAAAAUGAAAAUAAAAAUUUUGCGUUUGGGUAAAUUUUCUAUUGUAUUUGGAAUGAUUUGCUGUUGUUUUUUAGUUAAAUUUUUCUAGUGUUUUGGGUUUCAUUUGCUACAGUUUUUAGGUUAAAUUUUCUACUGUUUCUGGGCCAAUUGGCUGUUGUUUUUCAGUUUAAUUUUCUACUAUUUUUAGAUAAAUUUACUGCUGUUUUUGGGUUAUAUUUUUUGCUGUUUUCAAGUAAAUUUUUUGGUGUUUUGAGCUUCAUUUGCUAUUGCUUUAGGUUAAAUUUUAUACUGUUCCUGGGUCAAUUGGCUGCUGUUUUCAGUUUAAUUUUUUGCUAUUUUUAGAUAAAUUUACUACUAUUUUUGGGUUAUAUUUUCUGUUGUUUCUUGGUAAAUUUUUUCUAGUGUUUUGGGCUUCAUUUGCUGCUGCUUUUAGAUUAAAUUUUCUGUUGUUUUUGGGUCAAUUGGCUGCUUUUUUCAAUUUCAUUUUUUGUUCUUUUUAGAUAAAUUUACUACUAUUUUUGGGUUAUAUUUUCUGUUGUUUUUAGAUAAAUUUACUAUUAUUUUUGGGCUUCAUUUGCUGCUGCUUUUGGGUUAAAUUUUUUGUUAUUUCUGAGUCAAUUGGCUGUUGUUUUUUAGUUUAAUUUUUUACUCUUUUUAGAUAAAUUUACACCGGUUUUUGGGUUAUAUUUUCUGCUGUUAUUAGAUAAAUUUAUUGUUGUUUUUGGGUUUAAUUUGUUGUUACUUUUGGGUUAAAUUUUUUGCUAUUUCUGAGUAAAUUUGCUGUUGUUUUUCAGUUAAAUUUUCUGUUGUUUUUGGAUAAAUUUACUGUUGUUUCCAGAUAAUUUUUUUUGCUGUUUUGGGCUUCAUUUACUGCUGUUUUUAUGUUAAAUUUGUUGCUGCUUCUGGGGUAAAUUUGCUGUUGUUUUUCAAUUAAAUUUUUUGUUGUUUUUAGAUUAAUUUUUUUUUUGUAUAUUGGGCUUCAUUUGCUGCUGUUUUGUGUUAAAUUUUUUGUGUUCUAGGUAAAUUUAUUGCUUUUUUUAGUUAAUUUUUUUGUUUUUUUUGGAUAAAUUUACUACUAUUUUUUGGGUUAGAUUUUUUGCUAUUUUCUGGUAAAUUUGCUGUUGUUUUGUGCAUAGAGCUGGCCGAAAAAUGGUCAUGAUGCAUUUUGAAUGCGGAAUGAUGGAGAUUGGUAGUAAAAGUUGCUUGUGUUGUUUUUGCUGCUACUUGCUCUAUUUGAGCUUCUAGAAAUUGUUAAGGGUAGCUGGGAAGAAGAAAGAGAUGAUGAGAAAUGCAAAUUGUUUGUGAGCUUUAGAUUGAUGUACCAAGCCAAUAGUUAUAUUGCAAAAUAUCUGUUUUUUUUUAGUUUGUUAAUUUUAUUUUUUUGGAUUAUAACUAAUGCUAUAAAUAGUUAUUGUUUGUCACUGUUCUGGAAGCAAAUACUAGUCUAACUUUCUAGGAAAGGUGUUCCUAAUUCUUGCUUGGGUGAUUGAAUUUUGUAUUGAAAUGUUUAUUUCUAAAAUAUUUUUAGAGGAUCCAAAACUUGUGAUAUUUGACAUUUCUUUUUGUGCUUAAUAUCUUCAUGUACAGGUUCUUGUAAACUUGAAAAUGGCAGAAAAUGUAGAAUGAGAAUGAUUUCAAGGAGAAUGAUAAUGUGAACCAAGAAAAUGAAAUUUUAAGAAAAAAUCGGCCUUUCAUUGAGCAUAUUUGCACCUCGGAUUAUGAUGAAUGGUUGCACGGCCUACGUGCUAGCAGAUUUAGAUGUGGAUUUGGUGAAUAUUGGCUUUGCAUGUUUGGAGAAUUGAGAGAGAGAGAUUCAUAUUUGGGGAAUGACGAAUAGGAACUACGUUUUAAUUUUUCAUUUUGUCGUUCUCGUCUUCUAUGUUGCCAUUGAGACUUGAGAGCCGAGCCUUUUUUUUACCGCUUUCACUUAAAAAGGAAAAUGAAUAUUAUAAGGAAACGACGUAGUUUUUUGGUGAAUUUUAAAUGUUAUAAUUUUUUGUUGUUGUUUAUAUCUUAAUUAUAUAACAUUAUUUUUUAAAAUAAGUUAAAGAUAAAAUUUAUAACAUUUAUAUAUAUACCUAAAAUAUAUAUAGAACCACUUAUGUUAUGAUUUGUUUUUGGGUUCAGAUUUAUCAUUUUUAGUUAAAUUUUAAAUUUAUGAUUUUAUACCUAAUUUUUCAUUUGGGAAAGGGACAUGGUCGAUUUUUAUAAACUAAUUUAAAGAAAAAUGAUAGGUUUAUGGUUUUAUUAAUAUAUUAUAAUUAAUAAUAAUAAUAAUUUUUGAAUAAAUAAUCACUAUAAUUAAAAUAUAAAAUAAUAAUUAUGAUAAUAAUUCAUUAAGUACAUAUAUUACAUGCAAGGAAGACUAGGCUCGACUUUUAGUCUAAUUGACUUGACCUGAAUUUUUUGGCCUUUGACUGGAAUUUAAUGGUUAGGCUUGGGUCUAAAUAUUAGAGCCCAAUUAAAUUCAUAUUAGGGUUCGGGACCUAUAUGCCCGACCCGACCUGACUUGACCUGACCAUAAAACCUAAAAAAAAUGUAAUAAUAUGAUUACGGCCUUGAAUAAUCUUUAUUUUUAUGUUACUUCAAACAAUUUCUAAAGCUUUUAUAUUUUACUGUAUAUGGAGAGGCUAUGUCCAAUUUUUAAAUUUUAAAUUAACUAAAAAUAAAAAAAAAACUUUAAAAGAAAGUGUGAUCAGGCCUAGGCUUUCAAAUAAUAGGGCCUUUUUGGGCUUGAAAAUUUUAUUUCAGUUAUAGAGUCAGGCUCAGAAAUGGCUAAGCACAGGCCUAACUCGACCCACUGCCAUCCUUUCGAAUAGACUAUUGAUCCAUUAUGAACUCAUCAAUUAAAUUCAUGAUCAUAGUAAAUGUGUUACUAUCAUUCUUUUGUUUGCAAGAACAACUUGUAAACAAAUAAAAACUUAGUAAAAUGACACAGAAUUUGUAAAUUGACAUUAAGUGUAAAAUAAAAUAAAAAAUUUGUAAACCACACAUAAAACUAGUAAAUUGAUGGAAAAUUGGGUAAAUUAAUGUUCGAAUUGUAAAUUGCAAGAAAAACUUGUAAAUAAAACAAAAAUUUAGAAAAAUGACAUAAAACUUGUAAAUUAACAUUAAAUAUAAAAUGAAACAAUAAAUUUGUAAACCACACAUAAAACAGGUAAAUUUAAGGAAAAAUGGGUAAAUUAAUGUUGAAGUUGUAAUUUGCAAGAAGAACUUGUAAGCAAAAUAAAAAUUUAGAAAAAUAACAUAAAACUUGUAAAUUGAUAUUAUGUGUGAAAUAAAACAAAAAAUUUGUAAACCACACAUAAAACUAGUAAAUUGAUGAGAAAAUGGGUAAGUUAAUAUUUGAGUUGUAAAUUGCAAGAAGAACUUAUAAACAAAACAAAACCAAACCUUAGAAAAAUGACAUAGAACUUGUAAAUUGACAUUAAGUGUGAAAUGAAACAAAAAAUUUGUAAGCCACACAUAAAACUAAUAAAUUAAUAGAAAAAUAGAUAAAUUAAUGUUAGAAUUGUAAAAUACAAGAGGAACUUGUAAACAAAAUAAAAAUUUAGAAAAAUGAUAUAGAACUUGUACUUUGACAUUAAGUGUGAAAUGAACUAAAAAUAUGUAAAUCACAAUUAAAACUAGUAAAUUGAUGGAAAUGAUCCCCGGGUUAGCUCAUUUAAUUACUGCACCACUACUGGAUUAAUAAGCAAGACAACUGGCUAUUUGGGUCAAAAGCCUAAAUAUAUCAUUUAGUGGGAGGCUCCAUUUAAUUAGCUUAUGUGUAAGGGGUCUUAUGUUAUUUUACAAGGUGGGUCCCCUAUAGAAAAAACAAGUAACGUGAGUUUUGAUUUUCAUUAUUUGGAGUCUAGGGUUUUCACUAAAGGGAGAUAUAAAAAGGCUUAUUUUCUCUAAAGAAAAAAGAGCAGCCCCUUUAUACAAAUCAGAGAAAAAGAUUUUUCUCUUAGUUAUUGAGAGAAAAAUUUUCUCGUGCUAGUUGCUUUGAUAGUGAUAAAGGCAUCCACACGUCAAGUGCAGAUCGACCUUGAGUCAUAACCUGGAAGAUCAUUGUGACAAUUUGUGAUCUAACAAGCGUAGUGGUGACAGAUCGUGAUCUAACAUGAGUGGUGGUGACGGAUCGUGAUCUGGGAGCCUAAAUCACUUCAACAGAAAAAAGCCAAAUCGGAUUUUCAAGGUACGAUUUCUAGAUUACAAAUUCUUAUAUAUGAUAUGAGAGCGAUCUUAAAAGGUUUUAUAAAAAUUUAAAAACUAUAUUUUUCUCCAACAAUUGGUAUCAGAGCCAUCUCAUAUUAAUAUAUAAGAAUAUUGUAUGAAAUCAAUCUUGAAAUUUAUAUAUUAGAGUGGCACAAUUUAUUCAAAUAUAUAUUAUUAUUUUAAUAUAUGAAUAAAGCAUGGUUUUGGUUUGUCUUAAUUCAUGGUUAGAUUUUACACUGUAUUUUUUCUUCGGAUCUGUAACAAGAGGGGUGACUUUUCAUCACGAUGUUUCCCUCUUGAUUUAUUUUACUGUUAUAGAAUUUUUGUAAGCCAAAAUUGGCCUAGGAAAUUUGUAAAUCAAUCAUGGAUGUCAGAUCAUAGGAAACGAAGGCCGGAUAUUUUGAUAGCACCAAUAAACCAGCGCGUGCGGCCAGCAAUGGCCAGCGGCCCGCGCUGCACGUGCUGCAGCUGCAAGCAACGCUGCCAGCAGCGUGUAGCUCACGGGUUCCAUCAUUUGGUGGCUUUCCGGCGUGGCGGCAAUGGUUAAAUCGGCGUCGAACUUGGAUGAACAGUGACUGGCUUUGUGGUGAUGGCGGCUGGGGAGAGUAAAAGAUGGAUUUAGGGUUUCAAUGGUUUUUAUCAUUGAGAUCCCUAUGGCUCCAUAUUUUUUUUCUUUUUGGGCAGACACGUUUAAAUUUUUGCAGUUAAGUCCAAAAACAGUUUUGGGCUUAAGGAAUCAUAGUUUAUGCUCAAUUUCAAUUGGGCUUAAUGGAUUAAAAUGCAUAGAUAAAAUUGAACACAUUAAAUUUAUUUUUGGUCCAAAAGUUUUAUUUUAAUAAAAAAAAUUAAUUAUUUAUUUAUUUCCUUUCAAAAUUAAAGUUGGACCAAUAAUAAAUUUAAAAGCCCAAUUUCCCCUAGUCCAUCAACAAAGACAAGCUUAUGAAGAUGGACAUUGACAAGAAGCCCAAUGAAGAUUAGGCUUAGGGUUAAUGUAUUUUUCAUUAUUAGGAAAACCAUGAAUUAAGAUUAUUUAAUUAUUUGUUUUAUAUGUUAUGUUUUGGAUGAUAACAUGCCAUAAUAACAUGUCAUAUAGAAUAGGUAGUGUCACUCUAUGCAUAAUGAUACAUGUCAUUCAUUAAUAAUGAAUUUCAUUAUAUUGUUUGAAAUUUGUGUAUGCUUAAUAAUAUUGGAUAUCAUCUAGAUAAUAUUAUAGGAAGCAUGCAAUUAACAAUAUGUAUGUUUUAAAAGGAAAAACCAAUUUUAAAAUAUUGAGUGGGAGAGGGAAAAUUCAAGAUAAUUUUCCCACGGACUCCAUUGUUAGUUCAAUAAUAAAAUUAUAUAUAUACAUCGACUUCAUGAUACGGUGAUGCUCCCUUCGGAGGGUAUAUAUAUUAGAUAUUUUACUUGAUGAACUUCUUCAAAGAUAAAAUUGAAAUAUUUUUCAAUCGAUUGUUCACCCCAACGAUGACUAUUGAUAUGAAAAAUACGUAGAUUGAAACAAUGGUUAUACACUCAACUAAAAUUUGUUAUUAACCUUCCCAACGAAGUUCUGUUAACAAAUUUAGGCCAAAAAAGGAUAACGAUAAUUAUUUAUCAUGUCUCUACAUGAAAGUAAAUAAUCCAAUGGGUAAUUGGGUCUAGUAAGUAUAGACAUGACUUCCCCAACGGAUAGCUUGUCAAAGCAGAACUAGAUUAUCGUUACAAUAAAUUAAAAUGCAUUUAUGGUUUUAUGCAUUUAAACAAACUCACUGGAGAGAACUAUAUAGAUUUGAAAAUAAAUCUAUUCAUUGUCCUGACUGCUAAAAAUUAUAAAUAUGUCUUAACCCAGCCAUGCCCUCCAGUUCCAGCGGAUGAUGCUCAUAGAAAUCAGAGGAGGCUUUAUGAGAAAUGGCAAAAGGCCAAUGAAAUGGCAAAAUGCUACAUUUUAUCCUCGAUUUCUAACAUUCUGCAGACCAAACAUCAGAACUUGGAGACUGCCACUGAAAUAAUGGAUAGUCUCCAACAGAUGUUCGGGCAGAGUACUCGCUCCGCGAGACAAGCAGUGCUGAAAGGAAUUAUGAACAGUAAAAUGGGGAAGGGCACAAGAGUUCGUGAUUAUGUCCUCAAAAUGAUGGAUUAUUUGAAUGAGGCUGAGAUUCAAGGAGCACAAAUCGAUGAUAACUCAAAGAUUGACACGGUGCUAGAAUCUCUGCCAGAAACAUUCAAGGAGUUUAAGGUCAAUUAUAGCAUGAACAAAAGAAACAUGACCUUAACUGAAUUGAUGAACGAACUCCAUUAUGCUGAAGAGAUCUAUCGUGCUGAGAAAUCUCUGGGAAGUAUAAAUAUUGCUGAAAAAGGUUCUUCUAGAUCUAAGCCGAAAGGCAAAUGUAAGAAGAAAGCUGGGAAAAAGAGACCGUCUACCAAGCAAUAUGGCGAGCCAAAAGGCAAAUGCUUCAAGUGUGAACAGAAAGGUCACUAAAAAAAGGAUUGCCCUAAGAUUGUGAAAUCAGGUAUGGGAAAUCUUUUUGUAAUUGAGGCUUGUUUAGUUCAGAAUCCUAUUGACACUUGGGUGUUGGAUUCAAGAGCAACUAAUCAUAUUUGUAAUUUACUUUAUUGGUUUCAGGAAACUAGGAAAAUAAGUGAAGGAAGCGUAAAGCUGCAGUUAGGGACAGGACAAUUCGUGUUGCAGUGAAGACUGGAUCUAUUUUAUUAUCUUUUAAUAAUGAGACUUUAGUUUUGAAUAAUUGUCUUUAUGUUCCAGACAUUAAGAGGAAUUUAAUUUCAGUAGCUUGUUUGUCAAAGCAAGGGUACACUGUAAACUUUGGAUCCUCUAUUUCUAUUUUUCAUAAUAAGAGACUUAUUUGUUCUGGUACAUUAGAAGAUAAUUUAUAUCAUUUAAGUCCAACGAUCCAUUCUAUGCAUGACACAAUGAUCAAUAAUGAUGAGCAUACACAUUUUUCUAAGAAAAUAAAUAUUUCUUCCAACCAAUGUUACCUCUGGCAUUUACGUUUGGGUCAUAUCAACCAAAAUAGGAUACAGAGAAUGAUCAAAGAUGGGCUCUUAGGUCCAUUAGAAAAUGAAUUAUUGCCACUCUAUGAAUCCUGUUUAGAAGGAAAAAUGACCAAAAGGCCAUUCUCGGCCAAAGGAGUACGUGCAACAGUACCACUUGAAUUGGUACAUACAGAUGUAUGUGGACCAAUCAAUAUACAAGCUCGAGGAGGUUAUGAGUAUUUCAUCACUUUCACUGAUGAUUACUCGAGAUACAGUUAUGUUUAUCUGAUGCGUCACAAGUCUGAAGCUCUUGAGAAAUUCAAAGAGUAUAGGGCUGAGACAGAAAAGCAAUUAGAUAAGAACAUAAAGAAACUUCGAUUUGAUCAAGGUGGUGAAUUUCUCUCAGGAGAUUUCAAAGAGUAUCUGGUUGAAAAUGGGAUUAUAUCUCAAUUGACUGCCCCGGGAACACCACAAAAAACUGAGGUAGCUGAAAGAAGAAAUAGAACUCUUUUGGAUAUGGUGAGAUCUAUGCUUAGUUAUUCGUCAAUACUAAUCUCUUUUUGGGGACUAGCACUGGAAACUGCAGUUUACCUCUUGAACUUAUUUCCAUUUAAGUCAGUGCCUAAAACCCCAAUAGAAUUAUGGUCAGGUCGCAAACCAAGUUUACGACAUGUCGGUAUUUGGGGAUCACCAGCACAUGUGCUGAAACCAAAGGCAGACAAAAUGGAUUCACGUUCUGAGGUUUGUAUGUUUGGGGGGUAUCCCAAAGGAAUAAGGGGAAGUUUAUUUUAUAGUCCUCAAGAUAGGAAAGUGAUUGCGAGCACACAUUUCACUUCCCUCAAGGAAGACUAUAUGAAUAACUUCAAACCUAAGAGUAAUGUAAUACUUAAAGAACUGUCAGGUGAUCAGGUUGAUGCUCAGCUUUCAACGCUUCAACGCCUGUUACAGAACAAGAAGAACAACAACAACCAGAUGAUCAACACAGGAUUAUUCCUGAACAACCAUCACUUUUAGAAUCUCGUUGUAGUGGGAGGGUAACUAGGUUACCUGCGAGAUACAUGCUUUUGGGAGAAACCUAUAUUGCUAUCUCAGAUGAACAUUUACAAGAUCCCACUAGUUACAAUGAAGCUCUAAUAGAUAGAGAUGUUGAAUUUUGGAAAAAGGCAAAGAAUUAAGAAAUGGAAUCUAUGUAUUCCAAUAAAGUCUGGGAACUUGUAGAGGCACCAAAUGGGGUAAAACCUAUAGGGUACAAGUGGAUCUACAAGAGAAAAAGAGGAGUAGACGGAAGGGUGGAAACAUUUAAAGCAAGAUUAGUAGCCAAAGAGUUUACUCAGAAAGAGUGAAUCGAUUAUGAGGAAACCUUUUCUCCGGUUGUUAUGCUUAAAUCCAUCAGGAUUCUGCUCUCCAUUGCUGCAAUGCUAGAUUAUGAAAUUUGCCAAAUGGAUGUCAAGACUGCCUUUCUUAACGGGCAUCUUGAAGAAACAUCUACAUGCAACAACCAGAUGGAUUUAUACAAAAAGGCCAAGAACACAUGGUAUGUAAGUUGCAGAGAUCCAUUUAUGGAUUGAAGCAAGCAUCCCGGUCAUGGAACAUCAGAUUUGAUCAAGUGAUUAAAUCAUUUGGAUUCAUUCAGAACAUUGAUGAACCAUGUGUGUACAAGAAAAUUCAAGAAAAAUCUGUAGCCUUCCUAAUUUUUUAUGUAGACGGUAUUCUCUUAAUUGGAAACGAUAUAGGAGUAUUGACUACAAUAAAGAGUUGGUUAGCAAAACAAUUUGAUAUGAAAGACCUGGGAGAGGCAAGUUAUAUUUUUGGUAUCAAGUUACUACGAGACCGGAAAAAUAAAACUUUAGCCUUGUCUCAAGCGGUCUAUAUCGAUAAGAUAUUGGCUAGAUUUAGCAUGGAAAAUUCCAAGACUGGUUUAUUACCAUUCAGACAUGGAAUUACAUUCUUUAAGGAUCAAUCACCUAAAACAUCUGAAGAGAUAGAGAGAAUGAGACGAGUUCCCUAUGCAGAAGCUGUGGGAAGUCUCAGGUAUGUCAUGCUUUGCACUAGGCCAGACAUCUGUUUUGUGGUAGGGAUGGUUAGUAGAUAUCAAUCUAAUCCUGGACCUGAACACUGGACUACGGUCAAGCAUAUAAUGAAGUAUCUGAAAAGAACUAAAAAUUAUAUACUUGUGUAUUCUGGUGAUGAACUCAUUCCAGUGCGUUAUACUGAUUCUGACUUUAUGUCAGAUAAGCAUUCCAGAAAAUCAACUUCCGGCUAUGUGUUUACAUUGGGAAGUGGAGCUAUUAGUUGGAGGAGUGUGAAACAAUCUUGUAUCGCAGACUCCACAACUGAAGCUGAAUAUGUGGCUGCAUUCGAAGCUGCAAAAGAAGCUAUAUGGCUCCGCAAGUUCCUAUAAGAUCUUGAGGUGGUACCUGCUGUAACUGCACCCGUUAAACUAUUUUGCGAUAAUAGUGGUGCAGUAGCUCAAUCUAAGGAACCAAGGAACCAUAAGAAACAAAAACAUAUUGAGAGGAAGUAUCAUCUUAUAAGGGAUAUAGUGCAGAGAGAUGAUGUGGAGGUUACUCAAAUUGCGUCACAGUAAAACUUGGCAGAUCCUUUUACUAAGGCCAUACCUGGGAAACCUGUUAACUUUCACUUAGAAUCCAUGGGCAUGCGUGAGAUGCCAAAUAUGCUUUGAGAGAUAGUGGGAGAUUGUUGGGAAAAUAUGUUCUUUAAAAGCAUAUGUGUUUAUUUAAUUGUAAUAAAUAAUUUUCCUGAUUAAUAAAAUAAAUGAGGUAUUUUAUUCAAAUAUCUUAAUUGCAUUAAUAUUUUUAUUAAAGUCCAUUUAAUCAUAUUAUAUGUAUUUAUGUGAUCACUAUGUGGAUUCACAGAAGACAUAAAUACAAGUUAUCUUAUGAUUAAAUAAAUUUAGUUCGCAGUUGAUAAAUAAAGUUGGACACUUUAUUUAGGUAUAGACUGUAAUAAAUUCAUUGAAUGAUUUGUCUUAAUCAUGUAUGAAUUUAUUGAUGUAGUACGACUACAUUGAACAUGAUCACAUAUGAGAUUUAAUUAACUUUGUAAUAACUGUCAGACUUAUUAUAUCUCAUAGGCAUUGAUUUUACUGUAAUCUUAAUCUUGAGUUAAUUAUGAUUUCAUGAUUGUAAUUGUUAUUCCAUUUGAGUUACCAAUGGGCACGACACAUACUUGUGGUCAAGAUUACUCGGUAUCUUGGUGGGAGCAAUUAUGAGUAUUGGAGUUAUGGAUUAACAAUAUAGAAUUUGUACAACACAUCUCUUGAUGAGUUUUCGGCACUUAAUCAUAGAAUUCUCUGGCCAGAGUGUGUCAACAUAUUUAGUAUGUUGAAAAUGAUUAUUAGAGAAAACCAGUAAGUAUCAAGGAACAAGAUGUAAUUAAAUUGAUUGGACAGUUGAGAUAUUGAUUUAAUUAAUGAUGUGGUACAAAGGAUUGUGAAGUAAAUAAAUAAAUGUGGCUUGAGACGAAUUAUUAUUCGAGCAUACAAUUAUGGAGGUCAAUUCCAAUCUUUUAGUGGAGUAGAUUUGGAAUUAAAUAAUUAGGUUAUUUUAAUUACAGGCCUAAUUGUUAUAGCCACUAUUGUAUGUUCUCAAAUGAUCCCCGGGUUAGCUCAUUUAAUUGACUACACCACUACUGGAUUAAUAAGCAAGAUAACUAGUUAUUUGGGUUAAAAGCCUAAAUAUAUCAUUUAGUGGGAGGCUCCAUUGAAUUAGCCUGUGUGUAAGGGGCCUUAUGUUAUUUUACAAGGUGGGUCCCCUAUAGAAAAAGCAAGUAACGUGAGUUUUGAUUUUCAUUAUUUGGAGCCUAUGGUUUUCACUAAAGGGAGAUAUAAAAAGGCUUAUUUUCUCUAAAGAAAAAAGAGCAGCCUCUUUAUACAUAUUAGAGAAAAAGAUUUUUCUCUUAGUUAUUAAGAGAAAAAUUUUCUCGUGCUAGUUGCUUUGGUAGUGAUAAAGGCGCCCACACGUCAAGUGUAGAUCAACUCUGAGUCAUAACCUGGAAGAUCAUUGGUGACAGUUCAUGAUCUAACAAGCGUGGUGGUGACGGAUCGUGAUCUAACAGGAGUGGAGGUGAUGGAUCGUGAUCUGGGAGCCUAAAUCACUUCAACAGAAAAAACUAAAUCGGAUUUUCAAGGUACGAUUUCUAGAUUACAAAUUCUUAUAUAUUGUAUGAGAGCAAUCUUAAAAGGUUUUAUAAAAAUUUAAAAACUAUAUUUUUCUCCAUCAGCAGGAAGUGCCAAGUGCUGUAGUUUUUCUAGAUUGUAUUUUCCUCUCAUUUCUCUUGACAAUUGAGCUGAAGUCCAAACAAAUGACAUACCAUCAGAUUUCUAAACAAAAUCUCUAUUUAAUAGCUAAGAUAUUUAGGAUCUUGGUCUAAUGAACUUGAGACCAACCUCCAAGUCCACAUGAAAGUGUAGUCGCAUACAAACAUAUGAUGAACUAGUUGGUAAAAUGUAUCAAAACCUUGCCUGUCAGCCUAAAUCUUAGGUACACGAUCAUGUAAAUAUAAUCAAGUUGGCUAUCUUUUGUAAGAUUUGCUGGCCCUGCAAAAUGAACCAAAUUAAAAAUUGAGUUCUUAACUGAUGUGCAUGUGCUCCAGAUAGGUUUCAGAUAUUUUAUGAAGCUCAAUAUUUAUUAGUUGUUUCCUCGAUUAUUGAAUCAUUCAAUGGUAGUUGCAUGUCUCAUUGAUUGCUAUUGAUAAUGCUUUAAUUCUUUGUUGCUGUUUUUUUACUUUUCCUGCAGUUGUUAACUGCAGUUUCCUGUUGUUUUCCUGCUAUUUUCUACUAUUUUAGUUGUUGUUUCAUGUUGUUUUCUUGACGUUUCCUAUGAUUUUACCUGUUGUUUGCUGCUAUUAGUGUCGAUAGCUGCUAUUUUAUCUAAUGUUUGGUGUUGUUUUUCGCCACUUUUCUUCUUGUUGUUUUACAAUAUUUUCUUUCAUUAUCCAUUACCUAAUUUUGUAGUGGGGGCAAAUUUAUUAGGUACUAGGUUAAUGGCAACAUGUUGACAAUGGAUCCAGCGACUCAAAUGUAUAGAAUUCUUAAGCAUACAAACCAUGAAUACCUUUUUCAAGUUGUUUAAAUUGUGAAAAAAUAUGAAAUUUGUUGUGGGUUUUUUUUAGACUAUCGUUUACGUGAAUACCUCUCAGGCAACUGGAUAUGUUGGUGUUCUUAUCAUAACAAGGUAUGUAUGUUCCAUUCUGCUAUUUUUGUGCUCUUUGGUACAUGGUUUGAGGAAAUUAAAAUAAUCUUUGUUGAUUAUCCGCUAAUAAAUUUUGGUAUGCGACAUAAUAUUUAAUGACCUAUGUGAGAAUUAAUAUUGUGACAUUGUGUUUGAAGCAUCUGAUUUUUGUUGAUUGGUGCUAUUCAUUGUACGGUUUUUUAGAAAUAAAAUUUUAGUUGCAAGAGACUUCAUCUAAUUUUGAUUUUGUAGCUAUAUUUGAAUCCUAUUCAUGUAGUUGUGUAGCUUCGAACAUCAAUGGUGGUUUUUUAAAUCUGGUGGCUAAAAAAGGAAGAACAAUGUUGUGGCGAAUAUUUUUUGUUAAAUUAAAAGAAUUUAAGUAAGUUAAAUAUAUUGGUUCAUCGAAGAAGGUAGGAUUUUUUCCCUCACUGUUAUAUCAUGAUCCAGAUCUACUGUAUUUGAGAUGGAUUAUACAAGCAUAGGGAAUUGACAAUUGAUCAUUAUGGGAGCAUUUUAAACAUGCCCAAGUUAGCACUACAAGAAAAAUGACCUACCAUGACAGUCCUCUGUGUGACAGUUUUUGGUCUGCAGAGCUACUACGAUAGAUGGAUGAUAAUUUUUUUUUCUAUCAUUCAUUUAUGACAUACUUGUGAUAGAAAUUUCAUCUAUCAAGCACUUAUGAUAGACUGAUGAUAAAUUAUUUGGUUAUCAAGAAGUAAUGACAAGUUUGUGAUAUAAUUUAGAUCAUCAAGUAGCUUUUUUAUUUUGACUUUAUUUCACAAGGUUGACUGAAAAUUUUAAAAUGAAUGAAAAAAAUAAAUAAAGAAUAAACGGUACCGUUUGGAUUAAAAGUUUCUCUUUGGACAAGAAACGACACCGUUUAGAUUGAAGCUAAAUAAAAACAAAACCCUCUUCAGUUUUCACUAAUCGAAUUUUUUUUCCCUAAGUGUCGGCACUCUCACUCACUCUCAUCUCUCGCUCAGUCACUCUCGUCAAUCUCACACUCACAAAGCCCUUUUCACCCGAAAUCUUUGCAUGGGCACUGAACCACUGCCGCCAUUCUCUUAUAUUUGACUAUCAAUUUUGGCUCUCACCGAGAACUAUAUGGAAUACCCACCAAACGCAUGUGCUUCUACUAUUGAAUUUCAAUACCCUAACUGAGAGCCCACGCUCACCCACUAUUGUAACCGUUCGAUCAAUACAGGUAAAUAAUAUUUCUAGUGUUGUGUUCCAUUUCAAUUUUAAUGUUCUUGUCAAACUCGAACCCUAUAUAUGUAAACUUAAAAACCCUAGAUGUGUUCUUGUCAAAUUCGAACCCUACACACCUAAAUCUUGUAAAACCUAGAUGUUUUCUUGUCAAAUUUGAACCCUGUACGUGUAAAACUUGAAAAUCCUAGGUGUGCUCUUGUUAAAUUUGGAUCUAUUUGAUUGGUCUUCUAUGUUUCUUUAUUUAUGGAAUUUUAAACAUUUAUUUGAUUUUUUUGGAAUUUAAUUAUUAUAGUUUUAUUGUUAAAUUAAUUUGAUUUAGGCUGUAAAGAUCCUUGCCAAUUUAAUCGUGAUGGGUGUUGGGAUAUUGUCUAGGCUGCUUUAUCUUUGGGGUUUUCUAAUAACUAAUUUUUUUUUUCACUUUUUUGUGGAUGCAUGGAACUAUAUAUAUAGAUAAUUCUCAAAUUCGUUCACUGUGAUGCAAAGUCUUUUUUUUUUCAAUUUCAUUGGUUAAAUUCACUAAUUCGUUGAAAUUAGUGGUGAUUGUGGGCCGAGUCGCAUGUGCAGGAAGUGGUGUCAGGUCUGGGCGCACAUUGAGUCAUGCACUUGGUGGGCAAUUGGUAUUGUUUCUAUUGUGUGGGUUGGAAAUAAUGUCAAUAUCAUCCAACCAAUGUGUGUUUCUAGUGGCUGUUUUUGCACCGAGCAGAUAAUUUAUUAUUACAUCAGAGUUCCCCAUCCCUUGUUUCUCUUUUGGGUAAUGCAGGUAUUGACUAGUUCAUUUCCAUUUUCAUUUGUCUUGAGGGAAUGUUAUCAAUUUUUCGAUCUUACAAGAUAUUGAUUGAUACAUAUGUGUACAAUACAUUAAAAAUCGUUAAACAUUUUGCUCUUAGUUACAAUUUUGAAUGAAUGUCACAUGGAAAGAUCCUCUAAGAAUAUCAAUAGUAUUGUGGUUUCUACUCAAUUUCCACUCUCCGCACUCAUAUGAGCAUGGUUUGAAUCUCAAGCCUUUUGUACCAUUCAAAAAUUUAUACCAAUUAACAACAUAGCUUGCUAGCACCACAAAUUAUUUCAACUCCAAGGCAGAGAAUUCCUAGAAGAUAUAUACAUAUUGAUAUAUACUUGCAUGUAGCCGUAUGCUCACUACCUUCGAAUUGGGGAUAUAGUCACUAUUUUUGUAUUCCCUCCAAGUGUUUGAUAAAAAGCAUGAAUGAAUCUUGGCUCUUUAAUUGUUGCAGGCCAUUUCUACCUAUGAGGAGCAAAGGAAUAUGAAGCUUAUUAUAUUCAUUCACAAAGCAAAGCUGAUACAAUUCAUGGCAAAGCUUGAUGAGGUGUUGUAUUUAAUCUUGCUCAUGAGAUCAAUUACCUAUCUUGUUGGACUUUAUUCUUGUAAUUAAGGUCCAUCCAAAGUUGAUGGCUUGUUUGUCAGAAAGAUAAUCUGAAGGCUAUGAUUGAUUACUUGCGGGCCGAUGGAAAUGUCUCCAUGAUUGGUUUAUGAGGUUGUUAAAUUACUAAAUAGGUAUAUUUACUUUUCAUGAGCUUUAUCUUCGUUUUUCCUUUAUGGAAAUGUCUCUAUGAUUGUAACUUUUAACACGUGGAACUCUUGAACCCUAUGUUUAGUUAUAUACUUAUAUUGGGACUUGUAUAAAUUAAUAUGAUGGUUUUAUUAUUAUUAUUAUUAUUAGUAGUAGUAGUAGUAGUAGUAGCAGCAGCUACAAAAGAUCAAAAGAACUUAAAGGUGUGGCUUGUGGCUUUCUUGCUGUUUGGGCUUUAACUGCUGCCUCACUUGUCAUUGUUGCUAAUCUGGUGUGCCACGUCCAUUUCAGUGUAAUUACAUAAGUUAGUUUGCUUGAUUAAUUAAUUAAUUAGUUAGCGGAUUGAAUAGCCAGAGUACUACAUUUUGCAUAGGUCUGAUGCUGGAUGAAUUUUCAUGUCUUGGCUUUGGGGCUGCUGGAUUUUGCUGCUGGAAGACUAGAUUUUGCAAUUUUGUUGCUGGAAGACUACAUUUUGUGUAGGUUUGUUGCUGGAUGUUGCUGAAUGCGGAGUACUUUGCUUGGUUUUGGAUUGGUCUUUGUUGUCUAUUGGCUCGACUUUGGAAUAUGGAUUAACUAAUGUAAUGUACUUUGGAUAUUUUUAUGGUUAAUAAAGUUCACUAAUUUAGUUCAUUAGUUUUGGAUUUAAUUGCAUUUAGUAAUUUAUUUUCUUUCAUAUAAUUUUAAUAAUUUUAAUAAUUUAAAUUUUUAAAUUUCAUAAUUUUUAUUUUAAAUUAAUAAAUAAAAUAAAUAAUCAAUUUUUUCAAAAAAAAUGUGAUAGAAAAUACUAGUCAUACACACAAUUGAUAUCCCAAAAAAAAAAUACAAUCCAAAAAUUUCUAAAAAAAUGAAAAUAUAAAAUAAAAAAAUAAUUUCCCUCUUCUAAGUAGUAUGACAUAAUUAUGAUAGGUAAAAUCUAUCACAACUUGUGACGCGAUUUUAUCUGUCAUCUUUUCUUGACGCUGGCUAUAAUGACAGUAAGGAUAACCGUCAUCUACCCCCUAAGAUGAAAGUUUUUACCUAUCAUAAUAGGUCAUUUUUCUUGUAGUGUAGAAAGUAGAAGUCAGCAUGCUCAUUUUCGUUGUUGCAUGUGUUGUUCAUUAAUUGCUACGCUACCGUUGUGGAAAGCAUAUACUGAUGAAGUGUUGAUUCAACUAUGAAUUGUUGUACUUAUUUUAUUUGAUAACUGAUAGCUGAUAGUGUUGUAGAUGGAUUUGCUAAUUAUGAUAUAUGAAUUUCAACUAUGAAUUAUGGUUUAUGAAUUAUGAGAUUGUGAGUGUAUUGUAGAAUAUUAGUUAUUUUUUAGCUGCUAAUAAUAAUAAUAAUAAUAAUAAUAAUAAUAAUAUAUUCAAUUCUCAAAAAAAUUAAUAUUGAUAAUUCAAAUUUGGCUCCAAUAAUAUAUUUUAAUUUUAAAAUUAAUCUUAAUAAAUCUUGCCAAAUAAUAUUUAAAAUAAAUUUAAUUUCCUGCCAAAUAUAUUUUAAAAUUUUUUCAAAAUUCCCUCUAGAUUUAAUAAAGUUUAAAAAAAAUUAAAUAAUUUUAUUAUUUGUAGACUAAUUAAUUAAAUGACAUCUUUGUAUGACAUAUAAUAGUCAUGCAUUAAAAAUGUUUAUGAUAUAAACUAGUCAUGCGCGAAAUUUUUUUAUUAAAAUAAUUAUGACACAAUUGUGACAGAUAAUAAGUCAUGUAUUAGAUGAUAUAUAAAAAUUGUUAUCUAAUUUUCUUGACAUUAGAAUCAAGGACGGUUGUUCAACCGUCAUACUCUAUAGCACAUGAUGGGUAAAAACCGUCAUAAAAUCCUUUUUUUCUAAUAGUGUGUGUAGGCGCCCACUUUGAUCUAAUGUCUUAAGUUUCGCAGAACCAUUCAUUACCAUCCAAUUGUACUUUUUGGAUGUCAUCCUUCCACCUUGUUUUAAUUUGAACUCAUCAGUAGUCUUUGAAUCCUAUAUACAUUUUUAGAAAACUUUUUUUUAAAGAAGAAUAUAUGAGAUGAUAUAUACCUUCACUCAACCUUCGAAAAAAUUAAUUCAAAAUGUGCAAUCCUAAUUCCUACGACUAAAAAGAAAAUCACAAGCAUUGUUUUGGGUGGGGGUGGGGGUGGGGGUGGGUGGGGGAAGCGGCGGGGAAGGAAGAGUGAUUGAAUUCUUCCACAUUUUCUUUUUCAUUUAUAUGUGGGUUCCACGAUGUAAAGUGCUUGACUUAAGUUAUUUUAUUCUUUAGCCGCGGGUGACAGCAAAUUCUAUUCAUACAAUUCAUGUCACGGAUAGCAUCUCAUAUCCGCAAUUCACAAUUUCCGGAUAUCCGCAUGUAUGCUUGUGUAUACUUUUCAGUUUACACUCUAUAAAUGAGAAGCCGAUAAUACGUUGAAUUUUUUUAAUCUACAAUUGUAUUCAACAAAAUGUCUUUCAAUAUUAAUCAAGAAUUAUAAAAGAAAAAUUCUAUAAUACAGUGAUUAAAACUGUAGUAUCAAUGACAUGAUAAAUAUAAAUUCUAUAAAUUUCACAUAAAACUAGUUAAUGGAAGGUAAAAUAAAUAUAUUAGUAUAAGAGUGGUAAAUUUGUGUUUUAACAUCACAAAUAAAAUAAAAUUUUACAAGUUUUAAUGUUAAAUAAAUUUUACAUUUAAUGUUGAUUUACAAGUUUUAUAUUAAAUUUACAUGUCAUAUGUUUCAUUUACAUAAUUCAUGUUUACAUACGGUAUUGAUAUCGUGAUUUUAAUCAUGGCAUUAUAGAAUAACCCUAAAAUUGAGAGGAAAACUAAAUUUUAUAAACAAGAGUUUUCCAAAUUAAUGACAGCUUAUAAUUAUGCAAGUAAUAUAGUUUUCAUUGAUUUAACUAUUCCAUUUAUAGAUUUACAGGAGAGAGGAAAGAGAAAAUUGGAAUAGGAGAAAAAAUAAAAUUAAACAUUAAAAAAAGAAGAGAGAAAAAUAUUAAUGAAGUUAGAAAUUCUUAUCAUCUAAUGUUAGCGCUUCAUUCUUAUUUCCAUUUUACAACACUCAAUCAUCUGACAUUAUUAUUGUUGUUGUUGUUGUUGUUGUUAGUACUACUACCACCAUCUUCUUUACCAAUCCUCAGAUAAAUUCAUACUGAACGAUCUUUUGGCCCUGUCCAUCUUCAUUCAAAGCACAUUUAAACCUCUCUAGCAUAGUUUUAGCCUAAAGUUUCAACACACUUAUCCUUAGCAAAAUGAAUUUAGAUUUAGUAUUGAACUGAGUUUUUUACUAAUUCUUUAAAAAGAUACAAUUAUUAGUUAUUAAAUAAGAAUAUAAAACUAAUUAAAUCUUAAAUCUUAAUUAUGUAUUGUUAUACAUGCAUGUGAGGCAGCUCAGGUCAACAUUAGAUCCAAAUCCAUGGCAAAUAACUCUCCAAAUCUAUCAUUUUCUCUAUGAUAAAGUGAUCAAAUGGCCCCUUAUUCUCUGCUCCAUGAUGUGCUAAUAAUUUAUAUACUAAUUUAAUGUUUCAUUAACUUAAUUUUAUGUCAAAUUAUAUUCUUUUAUGUUAAUUUUUAUCUUAAUUUUAAUAUUUUGUUGUUUUAGGUAUAAUUUAGGAUUAGAGAGGAGUCAAAUCAUAACAUUCAGAAAGAAAUCUAAUUGAAAGAAUUAGAAAGGGGAAAAAAUAAAGAAAUUUAAUUGAAACAAAUCAAGGAAGAUUUACCAUCAUGCAUGCAAUCACGUGGGGGAGGGGGGAGGGGGGAGGCAUUUAAGAUUUAGUUGACAAAUAUGGCAUGUACGUGAACUUGGGCUUUUGAAUUUGCAAUAUAAUGGCCUAAGAACUUAAAGGUUGCUUGGCUUACUUUUGUGAGUUUGUCUUUUUAAUCCUUUUGGGUUAAGGAUUUAAAGGUCACCGAUUGAGCAUUACAAAAAGAAAAAAAAAAAAAUAGGGCAAAAGCCGAAGUAGCCUCACGAAUAGAAUCAGGUAGAAGCACCCGCAAGACAUCCAGAGAGAAGCCAGAUUAAUUCUUGAGUUUUUCUUUCCCUCUUCUCUAUUGCUGUGCUUGAAUGUUCCCUACAAUGUUUAUGAAUUCUUUUUACAUUCAAAUGAAAUAAUUUAUUUUGCUAGGGCUACAACGUAACCUAACUAUGAAAUUUAAUUCCAUAAAUCUAUGUUAUUUUUAGUUUAUUAUUCCAUUAUUGGGUGUUCAUUAUUGUGCUUGAUGCUUUUAAAUAUAUGACCAAUAUUUGAAUGAUUUGAUGAUACAUAAUGAGAGCAAGAGGAGAUUUAUGUAUUUUUCCUAUAUGUAAUGGAUGCCAUGAAUUGAACGAAAGAUAGAGAUGUGCCAACGCGAUUCGUGCAGUUUUAUCUAAGAAUUUCCAUAGAACUUAAUGAGUUUUUACAUAUUUAAAUUCACUUAGAGAUAUAGUUAGUUAAUAUAUGAGGGUAUUUUUUAUAUUAUUCGAGAUAAGAUAUUGAAUAGAUUAGGGAAAUUCACUAUCAAUAUGCAUGAUAAUCUUUAAUAGUAUCGAUGGCGGAUUAAAUUGGAUUGGUUAUAGGGAAAUCAUAUGUCCUAAUGUCUAAAUCUCUUGGUGAUUUUUAUUACUACUUGCAUCUUUAUUUAAUUUUUAGUUAUUUUAAUUUAUCUAGUUUUUAAUCGAAAUUCACUUAUUCAGUUAUUCAAAUAGAAUAGGGUUAGAAUAAUUGAAGUAACUAAUAGAAUAUACAAUCUCUACGGGACGAUACUCUACUCUUCAUUAUAUUCCUCGUGUUGACUAAUGCACUUGCUAAUACGCAACAAGUUUUUGGCUCCGUUGCUGGGGAUUGUUUGGAUUAGUAUUGAUACCCACUAACCAUAGUUUAAUUUCAAUUUUAUUUUUAUUUUUAUUGUUUUUAUUUUAUUUUCAUUUUCUUGUUUAAUUUUAUAAGACAUUCAAGAAGUUUUGAUUUAUUGCCUUUUGAUGCAGAGAUUGAACGUACCUAUAGAAGGCUCAACAGGGAAAGAAGAGAAGCUUUGCAGGAAUAACAACUAAUUAUGGCUGAAAAAAUAAUACAAGAAAAUAAAGAUGCAAGACUUUUACGAGAUUAUGUUGUGCCUACAAUUAGUGGUACUCGCUCAAGCAUUGCACGUUGUGCCGUUCAAGCCAAUAAUUUUGGGAUAAUCCAGAUGAUUCAGAUGUCAGUACAAUUUGUUGCACUAUUCAUUCCGCUCUAAGUAUCUAUUCACAAAGGUAAAUGUAAAACCAAGGCUGAUCAAUUGGGUGCUUUUACUAUAAGAAUUUGAUUUAGAGAUUUGAGACAAUAAUGGAUUUGAAACUUUGGUGGUGGAUUACUUAUUUCGAUUAGAGCAAAGAGAGCAAAAAGAUAAUGUAGUGGUUUCAAUUAUCGAAGAAUUUUCUAAUGAAAAGUUACUAGUUCUUUAAACUUUUGAAUGUAGAAUUUUCUAAUAAAAAGUUACUGGUUCUUUAAACUUUUGAAUGUAGAAUUUUCUAAUGAAAAGUUUCUGGUUCUUUAAACUUUUGAAUGUAGUGGUUUCCAUUAUUGAAGAAUUUUCUAAUGAAAAGUUACUGGUUCUUUAAACUUUUGAUGCACCAUAGUAUGCAAAUUUUGUAAAUUAUUUGGUGAGCAUCAUUGUUCCUUUUAAUUUAUCAUAUCAAUAGAAGCAAAAAUCCCUCUCAUAUGCCAAAUCUUAUUUUUGGGAAGAUCCAUUCUUAUAUAAGUAUUGUUUAAACCAAAUCAUUCAAUGAUGAGUCCUAGAAGAAGAGAUGAGAUGCAUUCUAUAGCACUGUCACUCCUAUGAGGUUGGUGGACACUUUGGUGUAUCCAGAACUGCAGCAAAGGUGCUUCAAUCAAGUUUUUAUUGGCCUGUCUUAUUUAAAGAUGCUUACAUUUUUGUUGUUACUUGUGACUAAUGUCGAAAAACUGGUAACAUUUCAAGGAAGAAUAAAAUGUCAUUAAAUAAUAUUCUUGUAGUAGAAUUGUUUGAUGUUUAGGGAAUCGACUUCAUGUGCCCAUUUCCAUCUUUCUUCAAGAAUAAGUAUAUUCUAGUGGCUGUUGAUUAUAUUUCUAAGUGGGUCAAAGCUGUUGAUUUGCCUUCAAAUGAUGUAAGGGUCGUUGUGAAUUUUUUAAAGAAAAAUAUUUUCUCACAAUUUGGCACUCCAAAAGCCACUAUAAGUGAUGGUGGGAAAUAUUUUUGCAAUUGGCAAAGCCCUCUUGAACAAAUAUGGAGUUACACAUAGAGUUGCCACUCCUUACCAUCCACAAACCAGUGGCCAAGUUGAAGCCUUUAAUUGGGAAUUAAAGAGAAUUUUGGAGAAAACUGUAAACGGGUCACAGAACAAUUGGUCAAAAAAACUAGACGAUACACUCUAGGUUAAUCAAACGGUUUUGAAAACACCUAUUGUUAUGUCUCCUUAUCAUCCAGUAUUUAGAAAAGCAUGCCAUCUACCUGUUGAACUUAAGCAUAGGGCAUAUUGGGCUAUGAAGAUUUUGAACUUUGACAUGCAAGCUGCAAGAGAGAAGAGAUUGUUGCAACUUAAUAAAAUAGAUGAAUUUCUCAAUGCAAAUUAUGAGAAUGCUCGAAUCUAUAAAGCCUGCACUAAAAAUUUGCAUGACAAACAUAUCCUCAGACGUGAAUUUUAGGUUGGUCAAAAGGUUUUAUUAUAUAAUUCUUGACAUUGACUCUUCCUAGGCAAGUUGCGAUCAUGUUGGUCGGGCCCUUUUACAAUAACACAAGUCUUUCUGUCUGGCAUGGGAGAAAUUUCUCAUGUACAAACAUGUCAACGGUCAUUAAUUGAAACCCUUUUAGAUGAUUCAUUUGAUAAACACAAGAUAGCUAUUGGGCUAUCUAAUCCUGAAUGACGACCAAAGACAGUCAAGCUAAUGACUAUAAAUUAAUCGCUUCUUAAGAGGCAACCCAAGCUUUCAAAACUUCACUUAUUAUUAUUUUUAUUUUGUAUUUUUAUUUUUCCUUAUUUCAUUUGUUAUUCUUUUCUUUUACUUAUUUUAUUUUAUCUAGGUUUCUGCAUAAGUUUGAGGGUCGACGAUCAUCAACUUUGCACAUGCCUUUCAACGACUCAACUAUAAGUUCACAUCUUCAAGUGCAAAACUGGGGAGUUUCUCUGUUCCUUUUCUAUCUAUUUACAUUAAGGACAAUGUUGAUUUUAAGUUUGAGGGUGGGAAUAUUUGCUUUCAUUUAAAAAAAUAAAAAAAUAAAAUUUUGUGUUCUUUGUAUGUUGUUUUUAUGCCAAUGAUGAGUAUAUGGUUGAAAAUGAAUAUGGUUCUCAUAAACGGAUGAAUAUUGUCUUAAUUUAUAAUUGAUUCUUGUAUUAAUUUCUCUUAAUUAUGAUUAUUUAAAUAUCUCGAACACUUAUAUCGAAUCUUUCAGAUUGUUUACCUCGAUUCUACAUUACUUGUGUUUACCCUAGCACCACAGUCAGAAAUAGUUACUUAUAACCCUUAAGAGUGAAGCUAUCCUUUAAUAAUUUGGGUCUAUGUACCAUCAACAUGUAAAGGAUAAUCUACCAUGAAAAGAAGACUACCAUAAGGGGUGGAGGUAAAAGCUUCUUACUAUAUAUAUAAGAAAAGCAAAAGAAUGUGCUUUACGAGAAAUCCCAAGAAAAUACAAAUUUAGGCAUCUGCAUUUUUAUUUUUAUUUUUAAAAUAUCAAGAUGAUGAGGUUAGUUUGACCUACUUUGUUUAUUAUUUGAUACAAGAGCUGUUGAUAUUGAAAAUUUUGAGAAUGAAUUUUGAUUGAAUCGAUUUACACACAACAGAAGAAUCUAAUGUGAGAUGAGGCUGACUAUUGAAUUAAAGUUAGAGCUUUACCGAUAUUUAUAAUUUUCUUUGAGCUAUAUACUUUAUGCAAUCUCUGAGGUAUUUUUUAUGAUAUUUUUGGAUACCAUUGCUGGAAACCUUCAUGAGACUUUAACUCGUCCACUAGAGCAGCCUAGGGGCUUAAAGGUUUGUUGUAUAUGCUAAAUGCAAUCGUGAUCACCAGCAAAAGUGGUUCAAUUAGGAUUUUCUUCUCGUAGUUUCCAUUUUAGUUUUUACUCGAGAACUUGUAAAAUGUUAAGUUUGGGGUAUUUGAUGUGCUAAUAAUUUAUAUAUUAAUUGAAUGUUUCCUAACUUAAUUUCAUGUCAAAUUAUAUUCUAUUAUGUUAAUUUUUAUAUUUUGUUAUUUUAGGUAUAAUAUGGGAUUAAAGAGGAAUUGAAUUAGAACAUUCAAGAAAAAAUCUACUUGAAGGAAUUAGAAAGAGAAAGAAAUAAAAAAAUUCAAUUUAAACAAAUCAAGCAAGAUUUACCAUCAUGCAUGCAAUCGCGGGGAGUGGGUGGGGGGAGCAUUGAAGAUUUAGUUGACAAAUAUGGCAUGCACGUGAACUUGGGCAUUUGAAUUUGCAAUAUGAUGACCUAAGAAUUUAAAAGCGGCUUGGCUUACUUUCAUGAGUUUGUUUUUUAAUCCUUUUGGGUUAGUGAUUUAAAGGCCAUCGAUUGAGUAUUAUCAAAAGAAGAAAAUAGGGCAAAAGCCAAAGCAGGCGCACAAACAGAAUCAAGGAGAAGCAACUAUAAGACAUCCAAAGAGAAGCCGGAUUAAUUUUUGAAUUUUUCUUUUCCUCUUUUCCAUUGUUGUACUUGAAUGUUCCCUAAAAUGUUUAUGAAUUCUUUUAUAUUCCUAUGAAAUAAUUUAUUUUAUUGGAGCUACGAUGUAACAUAACUAUGAAAAUUUAAUUUCAUAAAUUUUCUUCGUGUAGUUUCCAUUUUAGUUUUUACUCGAGAACUCGUAAAAUGUUAAGUUUGGGGGUAUUUGAUGUGCUAAUAAUUUAUCUAUUAAUUGAAUGUUUCCCUAACUUAAUUUCAUGUCAAAUUGUAUUCUAUUAUGUUAAUUUUUAUGUUAAUUUUUAUAUUUUGUUAUUUUAGGUAUAAUAUGGGAUUAAAGAGGAAUUGAAUUAGAACAUUCAAGAAAAAAUCUACUUGAAGGAAUUAGAAAGAGAAAGAAAUAAAAAAAUUCAAUUUAAACAAAUCAAGCAAGAUUUACCAUCAUGCAUGCAAUCGCGGGGAGUGGGUGGGGGGAGCAUUGAAGAUUUAGUUGACAAAUAUGGCAUGCACGUGAACUUGGGCAUUUGAAUUUGCAAUAUGAUGACCUAAGAAUUUAAAAGCGGCUUGGCUUACUUUCAUGAGUUUGUUUUUUAAUCCUUUUGGGUUAAUGAUUUAAAGGCCAUCGAUUGAGUAUUAUCAAAAGAAGAAAACAGGGCAAAAGCCAAAGCAGGCACACAAACAAAAUCAAGGAGAAGCAACUAUAAGACAUCCAAAGAGAAGCCGGAUUAAUUUUUGAAUUUUUCUUUUCCUCUUUUCCAUUGUUGUACUUGAAUGUUCCCUAAAAUGUUUAUGAAUUCUUUUUAUAUUCCUAUGAAAUAAUUUAUUUUACUGGAGCUACGAUGUAGCAUAACUAUGAAAAUUUAAUUUCAUAAAUUUAUGUUACUUUUAAUUUAUUAUUCCAUGAUUGAGUACUCAUUAUUGUGCUUGUUGGUGCAAAUUUUGUCUCAACUUAUGAUAUAGAAAUUUCGACUGAGGACAACCCCCUUAGGACUUGGGUUCCUCUUUGUUAGAUUUUAUGAUGGUGAGUUCAUUCUUUGGGCUGAUUUUUAUGGGCCUUUAUAUAUGCUCUUCUGAGUCCACUUCCUUAGGCAAUCAGAAGGUCCUUAUCUUGUGAUGCUCUAUAAAUACAAGAAAAUGAUCAGAGGGCCGGCGGUCAAUUCAAGUUACUGGACUUUUGGAAAUAUAAAUUUAGAAAGAGAAAGAUUAGAGGGAGAAAGUUAGCAUUUUCUCAUUUUGAGUCUCUUUUUUGUCUUACCUUUUAAUGAGAAUGAAAGACAUAUUUAUCGACCAAACUGAUUUGACUUGGGUCCUAGUUAUUUUGAUGACAAAUGUCAUUGUUCUUGUGACAUUUGACAACACUUGUCCUCUAGUGCCCAUGUGGAUUGAUACAUGGAUAUACAAACUUAUCUACAGAUUAGAGGAAGGAACGUUUUAUCCUUAGAUUAUUUUUACUAAGACCUUGGGAUCAGAAGAGCCUUCAAACUUAGGAGGUUUGUCCUAGGAUAAGAGCCUAGAACCUUAGCACGUUUUGGACUUUAAAUCCUUGCCACCUAGUUGAUUUAUCCUAGGUGAUUUGUCUCAGGAUAGGAAUCUAGGACCUUGGCUCCUUUUGGACUUUGAAACCUUGUUACUUAGGAGGAUCAUUCUAGGUAAUUUGUCCACCACUUCGUGGGCUUAAUUGGGAGGAAAUUUAUUAGAUAUGCCUUAUUGAGAUUAAAUUUAUUUGGGCCUUAUUAGACUUAUUUUAUUUUUGGUCCAAUAGUGCUUAAUGCUUUUAAAUAUCAGACCAAUAUUUGAAUGAUUUGAGGAUACGUAAUGAGACCAAGAGGAGAUUUAUGUAUUUUUGCUCUGUGUAAUGAAUGUCGUGAAUUGAAUGAAAGACAAAGAUGCACCAGCGUGAUUCGUGCAAUUUUAUCUAAGAAUUUCUAUAGAGCUUAAUGAAUUUUUACAUAUUUAAAUUUACAUGGAGAUAUAGUUAGUUAAUAUGUCACUACUACAAAAUGAGUCAAUAAUGACGGUUUUAAAAGACAUAAGAUGACGGUUUUAAAACCGUCAUCUUAGGCCGCGACAUUAAAAGGGGUAUACUUUUUAUGACGGUUCAUAAACCGUCAUAAAAAGUCUAUUUAUAAUGACGGUUAAUUUCUUUAACCGUCAUUAUUGGCCAAUUUCCAUUGGUUUUUAAUGACGGUUUUGGUAUUAAACCGUCAUUAAAAAGUGACAUUUAAUGACGGUUAUUUAGAAAACCGUCAUCAAAUAUAACUUUUAAUGACGGUUGUUAUAACAAAACCGUCAUUAAAAGUUAAUAUUUAAUGACGGUUUAUUUUUAAAACCGUCAUUAAAUAUUGAAAUAACAUUUAAUGACGGUUUUAAAAAGGAACAGUCAUCUUUGUUGGAGAACACUACAUUUAAUGACAGUUUUUUUCAAAUAACCGUCAUCUUUGUUGUUGAUUUAAAAAAAAAAAAUAAAUAUGGCAAUUUUAAAACCAUUCCAAGCCCCUAUUUUAAUUCUAAUUUCCUUUCGAGCUCUUUACAAUUAACUUUUAACAAAUGUUUCAUAUACAAAAAGAUAGCUCUACAAAAUACUUUAACAAUAAUAAAACUUUAACAAUAUAUACCAGUUAGCUUUCACAUCAAAAUUCUUGCAACUCUUUAAUAUCUACUAAUGAAUCUACUAGCAACCAACAAGAUUGGCACAAUGGGAGAACCUUUUCUGCCCUAAUCAUAGAUUUGGCAAGUCUUCAACCAACAUGAGAUCUAAACCAUAGAUUUGGCAAAACUAGGGAACUGAAGCUCCAGAUUGGACUGAACCUUUUCUGCCCUAAUCAUAGCAGGAGACUUGGGUUCAAUGGGAGAACAUUUCCCAUCAAUCAAGCUGCAAAUUAAGCCCAAAAGCAUUCAUUUAGUCAUAAAUCAAAUUAAUUCAAAUCAAGUCAAAUCUACAAUAAAGUUAAAAAAUAAAAAGUGGUCACUAACAUCCUAAUCUUCCCUCCUCCUAGAAUCAGGCUCGACCUGUUCAAAUUCAUAAUUUUUUCUAUUAAAACAAUUUAGCAGCUCAAGAAUAAAAUAUGAUAGCCAGUAGCAAAAGUAAAAUGAGAAUAAUAUUGUUUGAGGUGAAGAACAAUAAAGGCAGCUUACGGUUAUAGGAACAGGGGUGAUUCAUCAUUACAGAAGGCUUUGCUACAGAGCUAUCUUUUUUAUUAGAGAUUACAGUCCGGAACAGAAUGAGGAUAAUGAAUUGGCAAGAUUGAUUUUUCAGGUGGACUCUUCUUGAACUUUAAUAUAAUCAAACAAAUUUGUACUAAGACUUUAAGGUUUUGAAGAAUAGUCCAUGGGUAAUUGCUCUGGCCACUCAAUAUCAUUCAAAACUUGUGAAAUUGAGGUGAAAUCAUUUCAGCUUUCACAAUAAAUAAUGUUCCCAAAAGACAAAUCAAUAUAUUUUUAUUUGGCUGCAUAAUAAUUUAUCAGCACAUCAUCUAUAUGUUGUACAUCUAUUUUUUUUUUCAAAUUCAAAGAUUUAUAAGUUGAGAGAGCACUUUAAAUAAAAGAACUAGAGGAUACUCAAAGCCCCAUAGAAUACCAUCUUUAUCUCAUCUCCCCUAGCUUGUAUCUCUAAAAAAUACUAGUCUAAUUGUAUCUGCAAAUUAAAUUCCUCAUAGGCAGCCCUGCAUUAUAGCAUGUAGAGAACAAUGUUAACACACUACUUUUUUUUCUUUUUUUUUUUCCAAUCAAAGAAGCCUACUACAAGAAAAAUAGUUGAGUAUUAUAAUAAUCAACAUGAACAUAUUUUGCUACUCAACCUUUUAUUAAACUUCAAAGUAAUAUUGACCAACCUCAAGUAAUCAUCCAAAUCCUUGUACUUGAUAACCUCAACAAUUUUUCCCAUUCGCUCCUCCAUCUUUGAAUCUUACCCAUUGUUCAUUUUCACUAUAUAUAUAAAUCAUCUACAAUUUUAUUAGCUACAAAUACAGCGCAUAUGCUCAAUUUAAAUCAUUGAUCCUAUUACAUUUAAGAUGUUUAAACAAUUUUUCUACAUUAUCUACUUAGAUUUGUGUACAAACCUAGCAAUUUCCUUGAUAGAAGCAAACUAAGAAUAAAUGUAAGAAAACUGUAAAAUAUUAAAGACCAAGGAUCCAGUACAGUCAUCCAAAUUGACUAUAUAAUCAACAAAAAUGCAAGACCCAAAAAAUGGGUAGUUGACAUCAAAUUAAUUUUCAACAGAAUGCUACCACCACAAAAUUAAAUCCAACUCCUAAAUACAACAAAUCAAAUUAACAAAGCCAUACCCAACUCAGGCAGAGACUGUGUCAGGUAUCAUCGAAUGGACCCGCAGCUCGCGUUUUACGCAUCUCUGAUCAAAUCAACAAAAGCCUACAGAAAUUAAAUGAUUAGAUAAAGGAAAUUACAAAUUGUGAGGAAACUAGUUUAGGAAGAAGAAAGAGGGAAAUCGCAUUUGAAAAGAUUUACACAAUUUCCCCGCUUACCUGACAGGAAAAUCCAAAAUUUAAACCCCACCCCCCCCCCCCCCCCCCCCCCCCGGAAAAGAGAAAAGAGAUCACGCAAGAGUACCCAAUUGAAACAAAGUUGAAAACAAUAAUUUGCAUACCUUAAAUGAAAAGAAAAAAAAAAAGAACUGGUAGUUACUAAUAAUUUUGAUUUUUAUAGAACAAACCCCUCAACAAUUAAGGCUCAAAAUUGACAAAAAUUUAAAUUUCAUAAUUCAAAACCCCCUGCAAAUUGACAAGCACUAGAAUACCCAAAUCAAAACGCACCCACAAAACAAAAAAUAUUACUAGAAAUCUGUGAAGAUUUACCAAGUGUAGAAGCAACAGCAACCGAGCUAUGGCUUUUCAGGCAACUACGCCAUUAUUCUCACUGAAGGUAGCAACAAAAGCUACGGAAAGUGAAACUCUGGUGCAACAGCAACAAUGGAUACGAUUCAAAUGAAAACUCCAAAAUAAUGGCGGCUAGGGUUUUGAUCGUUUUCAACAAUAGCAACUAGGUCAAGUGAAAAAGUCGUUGACAAGGGAUAGGACUAGCGAUAUAGGUGUCGACAACGUAAGAACGACAAUAAAUUCGGCCUUCGGUAUCUGGUUGUUGGAGAUCGAUUUCGAUGAGUUCGAAGAGUCGAGAGUGAUAAGUUUGUAAACACUCGGAGAAAAUUUUGAGUUCAUAAACUCUCAAAACUCACCGUUUGCAGACUAAAUAUAAUUUUGUAGUUGUGACUUUUAAUGACGGUUUU